UUUCUUAGUUGGUUUUCUUCCGGUUCUUCCCCUGCGAGGAUAAGGCAACGUGGAUCCUCCAAGAACUGGACGGGCCAAUCUGGCAUUGGAGUCAGGAUCGCCCAAGUCAUUGUAGACAUCAUAGUCAUAGAUUCUUUCAUGUUCUUUGCGCUCUCCUGUUCCAUCUCCUCUCAAAGUCUUUAAUUCUUCUUCUCUAUACUUCACCAGUGGACCUGGUGUUUCACUUGGAAGGUAUGCCUAUAUUUGUUUAUAUUUAACAGAUUGAUUUUCUCAUUGAUGGGUGAUGCCAAGAUUGGAAAAUAGAUUUAACUAGUUUACUUGGUGAGAAGUUUACCUUGUUGGCAAAGAAAAUGCGAUCAGAUUUGUACUUUUUGUCGUUGUAAACCCAUGAGUUGCAAACAAAGUGUAUGGUUCCGUGGUUAGGAAUAUCUUCAAGAGUCAAACUCACAAGGAAGAAUUCAACUUGCAUGAAAUUCUCAAUGUAAAAGGCUCCAGGAAUUCCCAUGUCACUGUCCCAUUCAAAAUGAAUAUCGAAUGCAGACUGGCCAGCUCCCAAGGUUGGUAAGGAAGUAAUAAUACCUUCCAAAUAUGUUUGUUUUCCCACCUUUCCUUUUCCAGACGCUGAACAAAAUUUUCAAGUGUCAUAUUCUCAUUUAUUCAACUUUCUGUCAAAUUCUCACAUACAAAAUAAUCACGUCCAACGUAAGUUUUACAGCAAAAAGAACUAAAAAUUUCACCAUUUUGCCACCUUUUUUAGCUUAAUCAUGAUUCUCUUCAUUUCAUCUUCUUGGUUGUUUUAUUAUUAAACUGUUUAAUAUGAUCCUUCGAUUGUCAUAUAAUUAUUUUGUACAACAUUAGAGUGGAAGUGAGUGUUCCUAUUUGGUUGGACUGAAUACAGACAGAAAUGAAUUGUAUAAUCAGUUAAACAUUUAAAUAACAAUAAAUAUAAUUUAAAAAGCAAAGAAAGCAAAGUAUAGUAAUAAGAAAAGAAGUCGGUUACCAUCAGCAGCAGUGGCACUGAUCAACCUGAGAGCCACAGAUCGUCCGAGAAAGGAAGUGAGAGUGUCAACGGUGGUGCCGAUGACACCACCCACAACACCGAUUGCGCCACCGAUGAUGCCGGUGGGACUUUGAGCAGAAGUGAGAGCAUUGAUAUCCAACACAUUCUUACGCAUCAACACCACUGUUCCCUUCAGCUUCUGCCCCCGGUUGAUGAGACCUGUCACACCUGAAAACAUCUUUAGAAAUCUUAAACAACAACAACGUUAUACACUUGGUUUUUCUCCAGUAGAGAAACUGGGUUGGGAGAAAGACGAAGAAGGUGGCUAGUAUUUAUAAGGCCAAAACAAGAUCGUCAGAAAGAAAGAGUUGUCAUUUCUUAACAGCAUGUGCCAAACAUGAUCUUCCAUACUCUUCUUCUCAUCUGCUCUAUAAAAUAUCAAUAACAUAUACUUUUUAACAUCAGAUACAUAGCACACAACACACACGUGUUACCUUUUUAUCAUAUUUAAAAUAUGUUAACAUAAAUACCAAAUAAAUAAUAAAUGAGAAUAUAUAUAUAUAUAUAUAUAUAUAUAUAUAUAUAUAUAUAUAUCCUUUAUAUAUUAGUAAUAACAUUAUAGAAACUGCAGUAGAAUAACUCUCCCAAAUAUACUAUUGUAUUUUUUCUGCAUGAAUUUCAUUAAACUGUAUAUCUAUUUAAAAGCACUACUUCUAUGAGAUUACAUAUACUUCUCUGAGAUUACAUAUCUAAUCCGAGCAGUCAAAACAUAAACAUUAAUCAUUACCGUAAGUCUCUGAUCAUAUAUAUAUAUAUAUAUAUAUAUAUAUAAUCUACAGAAAAAAUGUAAUUCAGCAUACUACAUUGAUAUGGUCUAAAGGGAGUGUUCAGAAGAUCUGUGAGAGAGUAUGGGCUGGAUUACAAUAUCAUUGGAGCAAUCAAUCUUCCAAUCUCUAGCCCAACUAUUUCUUUAAUCUAAUAUUUACUGCUAUAUUAUAUAUACAUCAUACUCUGCAAUAUAAACUGCAUGUUUAAAUUAAAAUUGAGAUCUUCAAAAUUAAUUUUAUAUUUUCUAUUUUCGUAUGAAGUUCUUUUGCCUUUAAUACCACUUGAACAACGUAUGUUAAGCAUGUGUAUGCUUCCUAUUGGGGUCUUCUUUUGUCAAUGCCUAUUUGUCUAUACGUUUCAAACUAUUAUUUUUCAAUAAUGUCAUCAAAGUAAUCAAAAUAUGUAUGUUAGAUAUGUAACAUGGGUGAAAGAAACAACAACACAACAAUAAAAAAAAAUACUAACAAUAAAAAAAUACUAAAAUAUGUAAAAAGUAAUUCUUUUAAAUUUAUCUGAGGUAUAAUAGUAAAAAAUAGUAAUAAUAAUAUUAAAAAAAAGACUAGUGUUUUUAAUAUGGAAAAACGUUUUUAAUCACAUCAUACAUUUAUGAAAACAUUAAUUGAGUAUCAUUUACUUGUAUUCUCAUUUAUUCUUAGGAUAAACUUAUUUAAAUCUUGAUUAGAUUUUUAUACAUAGAUCAUAUUGUAUUUGGUUAAGCGGAUAACCAAAACCAACAAUUAUAUAUCACUUAUGAGUCUUUUAAUUAAUUAAGAUUCACCGAUAUAAAUACAAUAAAAUAUGAGUUAUGACCAAGUCAAAUGAGCACUGUAUGAUCCUUGUAUCAAACCUUUUUAAUGGGUUUUAGGCAAAUAUGUUUCAUUGUAAUAUAAGAACAAUAUAAGAAAGUUAGAAAGAUAUAUAGUUAUGAUUGAAAUUUGUUAGAAAUUCAAAUAUGACAAGUCUUAGAGAGUGUUCGUUUGUGGAAGUUCAUUGUGUGAAUGGAUUUAUCAAAGCAAAUUUGCGGGAUUAGGAUGUAUUCGUUUUUAACAAUUUGUAAUUGAGUAAAGGAGAUGAAUUGUGAUAUGCUAUCUUACCAAAACAAAGAGAUUUGUGAGGAUAGAAUAUUUUUUUACCAUAAUAUUCCUAAUAUGUACACAUGUAAUCAAUUCCACUCAUUAUUGGAAUGAGUUCCUUUCCUCUCUACAAUUUGUUGUUCCUUUCUCACUCCUCUCUCUCUCUCUCUCUCUCUCUCUCUCUCUCUCUAUAUAUAUAUAUAUAUAUAUAUAUAUAUAUAUAUAUAUAUAUAAAAUAAUAAUAAUAAUAAUGUUGAGUACUAAUAGGAAUAUUAUAUAAUAAUAAUAAUAUUUAAUAAUAAUAAUAUUAUUAAUAUAAUAGUAAUAAUAAUAUAUUAAUUUUAAUUACAAAAAUAAAAAAUAACCUUAUAUUUUUAUUUUUUUAAUAUUUAUGAAAAAAUUUAUCCAAAGAAUUUAUAAGAUUUAUAUUUCUCUAUUUUAUUAUAACCUGAGUCUCUUCUCUAUUUUCAUUAUUUAUUAUUUCUUUUUAAUUCUAUUAUUUUAAAUAAUUUUUAUAAAAAAAAUAUUAUUAUAAAUAUUAUUUUAUAUUAAUAUUAUUAUUCUUUAUUACAUAUCUGUUAAAACAAUUCUUUUUAAUCUAUUACAUGAGUCAAAUUAUACAUCAAUUUUCCUUCUAAAUUUAUUCUCAAUCACCUUCAAGUCCAUUAAAAAAAGUAACACACAAUUUCCUCUCAAAUCUCUUUAUAUCAUUCUACUUCAUCUCCCUUAAAUCAUCUUUCUCAACUGAAUACACCUUAAGAGUUAGCAUAAAUAUUUAAAGAUUAAAAUUAAUUAAAAAUAGUUAGUAAUUGAAAACAUAAUAAAAUAAAUUUGGAUAAAGGAAGGCACAAGGACCAAUGUUUGAUGAGUUUAAUAAAUUUAAAGAUGAUCACGGUAAGCAUUGGAGUAUUGAUAAAAUCACAGGAUAUUGGAAAAGACCCUAACAAAAAUAACCUCAGUUAUUUUUAUAAAAUAUUAUGCUCUCGCUGAAUCAGAAAAGGUUAUAAAAAUAAGUUGAGUGGUGGGUGUUGCAUAAUUUAUAAUUAAACAAAAGAAAAAUACAAUCUUUAUAUUAUAAGAAAAGGUAAUUUUGUUCUAGCUGUUAAGUCGAUAUUUUUAAAUGAUCUUGAGAUCUUCAACAAUUAGACCUCGAAAAGAUAGAUCAUCUUGCAAAUUUCUCUUAGGUUUUUUUAAGUCUUUUUCUCAUCAUGGAUCCACCUAAAUCUUAAAUUAGAUCAUGAUUUUGGUUUUAAUGCUCCUCACUUUUUCCUUAGACUUUCAUUUCUGCAUUAAAAAUAAUUGAAUUUCAUGUAAGAAAAUAAAUCCUUUGAUUUUGAUGUUCUCAUUACAUGCAUAAACAAAAAAGUUAAAUAUCAUAUAAAUUACCUCUUUGUGUGAAUUUGACACUAAGAUCUUAUUGUUCUUUUGUCUCCCAUAAAUUCCUUUCCAACAUCUAUCAACAAGACAUAUAUAAAUGAAUGGUUUAAUAUUACUCUCUGUGCUUUGCAAAAAGACAUCUAGAUUUUAAUUUCCGUAUCUGCAAAUAAAAAUUUAAUUAGUCUUUGAUAUAUAUAUAUAUAUAUAUAUUUCACACUUUAAACUAACUAUUAAAUAAGCUCACAAGUUAAGCGAGUAGUUUACGUCAGAUGUAUCAAAAUCUAAUGUUGUUUCACCUGUUUCCUUAUAAGUAACUUUAAUGUAUAACUUAAUCACGGUUUGUGUUCUUCGCACUUUUCUGUAUAUGUGAUAACGAUGGAAACGCAUAUGUGAUUUUGUCUUCAUCUUUAUCUUUAUGCAGCUUGUCCUUUUAUCUUCAUCUUUGAAUAUGUUGAUUAUACUAAUGUUAGUGUAUAAUCGUCUUGUUAAUUCUUAUCCAAACAAUUAAAUAGAACGUUACAAUUAAUAAACCUACUAGUGCAAAAACGUUGUUUAAUAUCGGUUAAUUUGGACUUUUAACGUCACUUUCACAUCCGACGUCUAAACGGGUGACGUCUAUGGGACGUCAGAAUUCCUCAGAACCGACGUCCAACUCAAUGUCGGCUAUAGACAUCCACCGAGGUCUCUAUAGAUGUCUGAUUAAACACACACCGACGUCUAAUUACUCUGUAUAGACGUCAUCCUAUGAUUAAACCGACGUCAACAUGAAUAUAUAAAGAGGUUUAAAAUGACACUAACCGACGACUAUGUUGUUACCGACGUCUAACAACAAUUUUGUGUUUUAGUGCAGUUUUGAUUCAGGCUUUCGGUAACAUUGUGUAACAUUUUUCUCUCGCUAGUUUCCUCACAAAAAAGCUUGCGUCUUUUGAAUCCUCUAGUCCUUUCAACCCAAAACCGAAUUUGGGUCCAUGGCUACUUCCCAUUAAUCAACUACAACAGAAAAAAAUUACGGUGUCGAGAAGUAGACAAGGACACAGUUUCCAUUUUGGGUCGGAAGAACUAGAAAACUCAAAAGAUCGCCACUCUUCUUGUGAGGAAACCAGCAAAGGAAGAAUGUUGCACUAUGUUACCCAAAGAGAUGAUCAAAAUUGCACUAAAAUACAACACAAAGAAAGGAAAUUUUGAUCAGUUCAACGACAAGAUAAUCGAUAACAAACUAAAGAAAGUUUAAACGGGUAGUAUAAAAAAAAAAACCACAAACUUGGGAUGCAAGAGAGAAAAAGGAGAGUACGAAGACAAUGACGUUGUGAGAAACGACAACGCAAUGCAGCAAGAGAUAAACAGUAGAGGAGAAGCAGAGAAAAAGGAGAAGAGAUGAAGACGCGAUUGAAACUGAAUUUUGAGAAGAGUCUGCGGUCUAUUUAAAAUGAAAUGGGGCGUCGGUUGCUCCAGAAACCGACGUCUAGGAAGCUGAAAAGAUUGACGUUUUGGUUUCCUGUCAGGGAAGUUAACGUCGGUGCCCCUAAGAGCCGACGUCUACAACCCUCGAAUUUGGUGAAAAUAAAGGAACGUAGACGUCGGUGCCCCUUAGAACUAACGUCUACAUUGAAGAAUUUUUGUCUUCCUGCCUUCCAGACAGGCCUUAGACGUUGGCGUUUGACUACGUGACGUCUAAUUGCCUGGGGUAUUAGGUGAACAACAUUAAUUAAAGCUGAACCAGUUGACGUUUGAUUUUCUAGUGAGUGACGUAGACGUCGGUGCCCUUUCCAGCCGACGUCUAAGCUCCUGGGAUUUUCGUAUAGCAUUAAUUGCAACAUAGUAGACGUCGGUCCCCUGAAAAUGCCGACGUCAAUGGACUGUCUUAUCACAUACCUCAGGCAAUUGGACGUCAGUUUGUGGGAGGUCCGACGUCUAUGAUGUCAUAGACGUUGCCUGAUAUCGAAACUGACGUCUAGUUUUCUAAUUUAUUUACAAUAAUAUCACUGCGCAUUAGUAGACAUCGGAUUUUCACGAAACGGACGUCUAAGGGGUGACGUUAAACAACGUUUUUGCACUAGUGACCUAAAAAUGUUUUAGUCAGUUAACUGAUUGACUAAUCAUCCAAAUAUUUCACAUCUUCAAUAAUUAAGUUGAUAGAUAAAAUGCAUUUAUUAAUUAUUUGGUUAUAAUUAAGUCUAUAUUAAUUGUAAUUCUAUUUUAAAAUCUAUAAAUACGAAUCUAAAUAUCUUAAACGAUUUGGAUAAAGAACAUUAAGACUUAGAAAAACUUUGUAACUCAGAAGGUGAAAACAAUAUUAAGAGGUUUGGAGAAAAUGUGACGGAAAGUGUUUUGAUUGUUAUCUCGUUAUAUCCAAAACAACUAUAUGUGAUUGAUGAAUUUGAAUACAAAUAGUACUUUUUAAAUUUAUUUGUGGUUAUAAGAUUAAACAAUGAUUGAAAUUCAGUGCAGAAGUGUGUUUGGCGUAAUGUGCCUAAGGAUAUGCACCUAUGGAGGGUUGCUUUCAACUUUAGAUUUUGCAAAACAGGAACAGCAAAAACUACUGACAAGGCCAACCAUAUAUUUUGGAAGCAUUAGGCUUUCUAUACAAUGAACUCCUCUGCAUAAUUGUUUUGCAUUAUAUUCAUUUUUAUAUGUUAUAUCUAUCUGCUACAAAUGCUAUUUAGAUUCAUCUUGGUAUGUUAUAUACUGUCUUGUAUUUGGAUCAUUUUAUUUCUUAAACGAGAAAACAAAAGCUCAGAAAUUAUUUUAAAAGCGAUGUUCAUGUUGUAUGGAAGAGUAACUUUAAACCAUAUAUAGGGGAACUUAAGCAAUUAAUUGCAGAAAUGGAUGUAAUUUCUAAUCCGGGGUGAUAACCUACGAGUCAAUCCGACUCACUACGGGUUCGGGUCGGAUUGUGUUUGAAAAAAUUAUAUAUUUUUUUUUUAUGUGGAUCAGAUUUCAGCUCAUUCAAACCCAGCUCAUGCAGGUUGAACUAGUGGUGGGCCGAGUUGGUCCACCAACCCAUAUACCUAAUUUUAUUUUAUUAAAAUUUAAUUUUAAUUUUAUAAAAAGAUAUUUAUUAUUUUUUUGCUUGAAAAAAGAUUUUAAUUUCCUAUUUUCAAAAUUAAUUAAACACCUAUGUUGGGAGUGAAAUUUGGAAAAGAAAUUUGUUUAUAUUUGAAUUAUAAAUAGUUUGUAAUUUUUUUAUUUAAAAUAAAUUGUAAUUUAGUGAGCCAGUGAGCCAACCCGUUUACUUACCAACCCGUGGUGGGCCGGACCGGGUUCGAAGUUUUCUAGCUCGCUAAUAAGUGAGCCGAGUUGGGUUGGCUCACUAAAUGACCAACCUGUGGUGGACUGGACCGGGUCGGGCUGAGUUACCCGUUUUGACAGCUCUAAUUUCUAUCAUACAUAAAUUAAUUAAUAUAAAAAUAUUAGUAAGUAAUUUUUGUUUCUGUUGUUUUAAUUUUCUUUAACUAGUUUUAAAUUGUUUUGACUGCUUAUAAAAAUAUGGUUUAUGAACUAUGGUAUUUUUUUCUUUUCAUUUAUCUCUCAGUGUUUAUUAUAGAAUAUCGGGUUAAAUAUGUUUUUAGUCUCUAUAUUUUGGAACGAUUUUGGUUUUAGUCUCUCUUUCAAACUAAGGUACAAUUUAGUCCUUCAACUUUAGAAAACUCUGGUUUUAGUCCUUUUUACCAAUUUUUUUUAACUUUAUUUGUUGUUUCAAACGCGUUUCUCAAUUAACAUUAAAGCAAAAAUGUGUCAAACAGUGUAAACAAUCCAAAUGCUAUAAUGAAAGGUGUUUGAAACAACAAAUAAAGUUAAAAAAAUUUGAUAAAAAGGACUAAAACCAGAGUUUUCUAAAGUUAAAGGACUAAAUUGUACCUUAAUUUGAAAGAGGAACUAAAACCAAAAUCGCCACAAAGUACAGAGAUUAAAAACAUAUUUAACCCUAGAAUAUCGCAUUAUUGACAAUUUCUUCUUAUAUAUGAGUUUUGAAAAAGAAUAAAAAUAUUCAUUAAAACACUGUCGACUUUACUAUUAGUAUAUAUGGUGGAUCGACAAAUAAUUAUAGUUAUUAAGUGAUGAAUUAUAUUAUUGCUUAUAUUUUCUUUUCAAUGAAGACUUUACUUUUAUAUUAGUUUUGAAUAAAAUGCAUACAUUAUAGGAAAAAAAAAUCAGUUGUGUUUUUUUUGGAGAAGAUAUUGUAACUUGUAAUGUGGUCAUUAUUAAGAAAAAAAGCAUCCAAAAGAAUAUGAUACAUUUUAAAGAAUAAUUAUUGCAAUUUUAGUUUUUCAAAUCGCGUGAUAUGUUUUUAUUUUCUUUAAAAAACGAAAUAUAUAAAUAAUGUGAUAUGUUUUUUUUUUUAAAAAUAUUACUAUUAUUUUAAUUAUUUUAUCAAAACGAGGAGAUUUGUGUUUUAUUAACCAAAGUCAUACAAUUUUUAACCAAAACUGAAAAGGUGUGUAAAUUUUUCAAAAUUUUCAUUGAAUUAUUUUAUCUGCACGAGGAGAAUUGGUUUCAAUUAUUAUAGGUGCAGCUGUACAUCUUUUUUAUUUCGAUUCCUACAACUAAUGUAGAAAGAUGCAUGAUUUUUUUUUUUUUAAUUUUAAGAGUAUUUCACAUUAGUUAUUUUUAUAAUUGAGGCCAAAUACAACAUUAAGUUAAAAUGUAUGCAAAAGUUUUAUUUAUUUUUUUCAAAAUUCUCAUUAUUAUUUUAAUUAUUUUAUCUUUAGUUUCAAUUAUUAAAAUGAAGCUAUACAUAUUUUUUUACUUCGAUUCCUAACAACUAAUGUAGAAAGAUGCAUUAUUUUUUAUUUUUAAUUUUAAGAAUAUUUGACAUUCGUUAUUUUAUAAUUGAGACCAAAUAUUCUAUUUAUGAACGUUGUUUUGCUACCAUCUUCCAUUGUUUUUUCAUCAAACAUCACCAUGUCAUCACUAAUUUCGUAACCUUCAUUUUUGCUUCCAUUUUGAAAUCAUGAGAGAGAGAUUCACUAGAGUGUUUUUUUCUAUUAUUUUAAUUUGAAAGGUUAAUGCAACUAUCUUUUAUUCAUGUUCUUCACGUCAAAUGUAAUUUGUCAGUUUGUAAUUUGAAGAUUUGUGAGACAUUUAGUUGCAAUUUAUUUUGUAGUCUUAUGUUCAUGAAAAAUUUUAUUUUUUUGUAGAUAUAUUCUUAUUAUUUUUUGGUAUAUUUAUAUUAAAAUAUGUUUUUUAUAAUGUAUUUUUUUUAUAUUUGAUAUAUGUUACAUUAGUGUUUAGCAUAUUUAUUUGUUAUAAAAAUAUUACAUUCUUGUAUCUGAAUUUUGAUUUAUUAUGAAUGUGAUAAAUAUAAGAUGUUAUUUUUUGUGUUGGUUAUAUAAUAUUAUAUGCAGGUUUAAUACGUAAAAAGAAAAAAAAGUUAUUAAAAGAAUAUCUACACUAAAGUUUGGUUACCAUGAUUAAGCAUAAACUAGAAUUUAGUUCUAAUAUUUUUUUCAAAAUUAAAAUAUUAUUUAAUUUUAAAAGUAUCGAUUCUGAUAAAAGAAUUAAAACUAAAUAUCUUUAAAAUUAAAUAACAUUUUUAUAGAAAAAGAAUUGAAAUUUUAAUUACUGUUUGAACUGAAAUUUAAAUCUACAUUUGUUUUAUAUUUAUCAUUAUUCAUUUAUAAUUUCAUAUGAAGAAAAAUAAAAUCAAAGUAUAAUAAAAAAAUUUGAAAAAAAUCUUUUUUUUUUAUCUUAUCUCAUAUAUUUCGAUUAUAAAAUCAUAAGUUAAUAUUUAAAAUAAUCUAUGACAAAACCAUGAUUGAAAAAACACGUCGAAAAGGAUAUAUGCAUUUAAAAGAAUAAAAAAUGCGGAUCGUGGUGCGCGAGGGGAAUAAAUAAAUAAGACGAUAACGGUCUCAAUCAUAAGAUAAUAUAAUAAUAUAUGAUGUCUGAAUUGGAAAGUCAAAAACACCAUUUUCCAUGCGCCACGUAUUCAAAACUAUCAAAUCUCUAUAAAUGGAUAUAUUAUAUUUACCUAAUCUUUUAUUGCAUCAAGAUAAUAUAUUUAAUAUAAAUGCCACACGACAGACGGGUUCUCCAAACUUAAUCAUCAAAUCAAUUUUAUGUUUUCAAGAAAAUCACAGAGAAAAUAUUCAUUUAAUAAGCUAUAUAUAAAAGAUCAAUUUAUUAAAAAUAAAUAAGAAAACAAAAUUCAUUUCCUUUUGCAUUUUUGUUUUUCCACUUUUCCCACACAGCAAUGACUUAAAAACGACAUUUGAGUUUUGUCGGUGGAGAAGUUUUUGCUUAUCAGGGACCACCAAUUGCUUUUUCUGGCAGUGAUUUAUGUUUUGUAUUUAUAUCCGUCAGAAUAAAUAUAGAUUUUUUUUAAUUUCAGCAGAAAAAUAAACCAUCGUAUAAAAAAUAUUCAAAUAAUUUUAUUCAAGUUAUUAUUAUUAUAUAUUAGCCAAUAUGAAAAUACUUAUUGUAGUAAAAAUACAAAGUUAACUAUUUUCAAAUAUUUGAAAAUAUUAUAAUAUAUACUAGUUCUUGUUAUCUUGAUGGUUGUUAGAAGUAAGUAUAAAUAUUUUUAAAAGGAAGCAAAAAAAUGUUGAAGAAUCCAAUCAUAACUUCUUUUAGGGUAAGAAUGAUGGAGAAAUAGUGAGUAAUGAUUGAGACACGCCUUGUGUUUGAUUGAACACUUUUAUAUCUUUUACAUAAAUUUUCACGUGAAUAAAUUUUAUGGACGAAUUCAUCCUUUUUCUUAAUUAUAAUUUUAAAAUAAUUAUAAAAAUAAAAUAAUUUUAUUAUUUAGAAAAUAUUUCAGUAAAAUUAAAGUAUUAUGCAGAGCACAAUUACAAUUAUAAUAAAAUAAAAUCGAAAUCUUAUUUCUACGUACUAUUUUCAUUUUAUAAUAAUAAUAAUAAUACAUAUCAUUAUUAUUCUAAUUAUUUGCCACCUCAUCGAUUAUAAAUGUCGGACCCAUUACGCACAUGACUGAUAGAUUGAUUUGGAUUGGACGUUUCAGUCAAUAAUUAAGGAUCGAUGAUAUAUUAAAAAAUGAGUUACAAACUGAAUUAUUAUUUGAUAGGAAUUUUCAAUAAGAAAAUCAUCUGUUUUCUUUUUUCUUUUCAAUAGGAUAUUUUAAAUUAUAUUGAUAUCUUCAAUGUGAGAAAAAAAAUCAGCAGCAAAAUCUGUGUACAGCACAGAUGAUUUGAAAAUAAACUUUUAAAUAUAUCAUCAAAUUUAUUUCUUAAGUAUUUUAAAUUUAUAUAUCGAUUUUACUAUUAAGUAAAUAAACUUUCAAACUAAUCUAAAAAUAUACAGUUCAUAUUUGUAUAAUAAUAAAAUUUAUUAUUUAUUACUUUUAUAAAAAUAUAUGUAAAGUUAAACUUAUUUAAAUCAAUCACCAAUACUCAUUAUGGAUCAUGAAUUUUCUGAGAAAAGAUGAAACUAGAAGAAACUUUAAUAUAUUUAAAGCAUUAGUUAAUGUCUUUUGAAAUUUGAGGCACGUGCACUGUUUGUUUUGAAGAGACAUUUUUGGUACGUGUCCAUGUUGUCUUUGUCGGUAUGUUAGGAAGAAAAUUUGCACAUCUUAUCCAUAAGAAAUAAGAAAUGAGUGCAUGCUAUACUGAAAUAAAUAAAUAAAAGUAAUAGUACUUUUUGUUUCAUAUAAAACAGUCAAAUAAUACAAUACGGUACCAUAGUAUGUGUUGUAAACAUUUUUUUAAGAAGAGUUGAAACGUGGAAAUCCAAACAACACAAAAUAAAAAAUUAUAUUUUCUAUAAUACAAUCUAUUUCAUAUCUCAAAAAAAUAUUUUCUUCUGGUGAAUACCCAGAAAAAAAAUAUUAUAUUUCAGAAUUUCAAAUCUAACGUACCUGUGUGUACGUGGCAUGAAAUAAAAAAUGAACAGAAUCUUCGUUUGAUUGCUUAUUUAUUGCAAAAAAAAAAAUAAUAUUAAUUAUUAAACGAUACAAUUAUUAUAGUCACAAUAAUGUUGAAGAAAACACAGUUUGGCUUGUGUUCAUACAACUCAUUCGUAAGGUUGCUUUGGAUUCUUUUUGAUAAUCAUUCUCUCAAUAAAAAAUGUGAAUAACGAGUUUUCUUUUCUUUUUCAAUGUUUUAAUCUAUUAAUAACGAUAUAUUUACACAAUAAAAUAUUUCUACUUUCUUUUUGAUAAUCAUUCUCUCGAUAAAUUUGAUUUCUACUACAAUUUAUAAUAUAUAGAUGAAAAUAUAUCUCAUUUUAUUUAAUCAUUUUUAUGAUGAAUUAGUUUUAAAUUCGUUUUUUAUGUGUUAACUUUUUUUAAUAACCUACCUGAUCUUUAAAAGAUAAUUUAUUUUAAUUAUUAUAUUGUUUUCUUAGACAUUUGACUUAAAAGAGAAUAUAAAGUUUCAAAUGUGGAGUCCGAUAUUAAAAUAUUAAACACAAUCUAUCAUGAUCAAAGCACUCAUUUUAUAUUUAUUGUAGUUACAUUGUUUAUUAUUAAUUAACUUCAAACUCAAUAUAUAAUACUUGGUUGACGUGACUCAAAUCACAUUUCUAAAAGUAUGAAUUAUAAUGUUGACGUGUUCAAAAUAAUAAAUAAAUACAUCCACGUCUUUUCCUUGUCCAAUGGAAAAACGAAGGGUAAAUGAUUCUUUUCAAGACUUAAAAAAUAUAGGUUUAAUGUCUAGAUAAGUGCUAUUUUCGUUCAGAAUUUUAAAUAGGUUUUUUUCUUUUUCGAUGUCUCAAUUAAGUAUUUAUUCUUUGUAAAAUGAAUUAAAUAGGGUCUUUCCAUCAAAUUGAGAUGACGCCGUUAAAAAGGAUACGUUGAUAGUGUGUUUUUUAUUACGUGACAUUAGAAACGUGAUUGAAUUGUAUUAUUUUAAUUUUUGAAUUAAAAAAUGAAAUAUACAAAAUAUACUUCAUUUUUUAAUUCAAAAAUUAAAAAAAUACAAUUCAGUCACAUUUUCAAUGCCACGUAAUAAAAAACUACAGGGUCAACAUACCUUUCUUAACGGCGUCAUCUCAAUUUGACCGAAAGACUCUAUUUGAUUCAAUUUUAAGAAAUAAAGACUUAAUUGAGACGCCGAAAAAGAAAAGGGACCUAUUUGAGAUUCUAGACGAAAAUAGGGACUUAUUGAGACAUUAAACCAAAAAAUAUAUAUCAAAUGAAAUCUGAGUUUAAUCAUAUAAGGAAUUGACAUUACUUUCUAUCCAAAACCUUAAAACUUGAAACAAGUAGUCUUUAUUCUGUCUAUCUAGAUUAAUGAAUCUUUCAUUUUUAUAUAGUAUUUUUCUUUUUCAUUUUUAUCUAAUGUGAAACUUAGAUUUAAAAUUUCAACAAGAUCAUGUCAAAUUAAAUAAUUGUUUUAAGAAUAAAAGAAAAUAUCUCUCUUCAUUAUAUCAUCUAGGUUUAAUUGCUUCUUUCGUCCCCUUUUUAGAAAAAUGUCAAUUUCGUCCCCAUAUAGAAAAAAUUUGUGUCAAUCAAGUCAUCUCCGUUAAAAAUCAUUCCUUUCAAAACUCACUUUAUCUACUGCAAUAUCAGAUAUCGGACCCAUGAAGUGGUUAUUNUUCAAAACUCACUUNNNNNAAGUGAGUUUUGAANAAUAACCACUUCAUGGGUCCGAUAUCUGAUAUUGCAGUAGAUAAAGUGAGUUUUGAAAGNAAUGAUUUUUAACGGAGAUGACUUGAUUGACACAAAUUUUUUUUAUAUGAGGACGAAAUUGACAUUUUUCUAAAAAAAAGACGAAUUUGACACAGUUCAACCAACCUGAGAACAAAAGAAGCAGUUAAACCUAUCAUCUAUAUCUUUAUAACGUAGAAGACAAAUAGAACAUAUUAAAAUAGUAAUUACUUUAUCAUCCCUACCACGUGUUCGUAUGGUUUGAACAUUAAAUAUUAAAGAAAUGGUAAUAAUUUAUGCUUUUAAUUGAAAGAAAGCGAAGGUAGAAGUUGUAGCUGUCAUUAAUUAAUUGAUUAAUUAAUUAAUUAAUUAAUAUUGUCUAAUCUUCAAAAGCAAGAAUACAAAAUAUAUUAUAAUUUGCACGCUGGUCACGAGUUGAUGAAACAAUUGAAACUCCUUUCUCCUAAUUGGCUUUAACCAUGAAAAAUAACACAUUUUUGUCAUUAUAUGAAUGCAAUAAAUAGGGUUAAAGUAACACAUGUUUCAGGCAGAUUAAAGUGCUUUCAUAUCUUAUUAAAACCAUAAACUUUAUAUCACAAAGUCAGAUUUACAAUAUAUAAUGAAGUUUAGACUCAAGAAAAGAGUUGUAAUACUUAAAAGUGACGACAUACUAGAAAAUUUUAUUUAAUAUAUAAUUGAAUAUAUUAAUUAUAACAUUUUAUACUUAUUUUUAAAGAUUUAACUAAUUAUAAUUAUAGCAAUUUUUUUUAUAAUAACAAUGAUCAAUGAUGGUGAUGAUAAAUAAACAAAAAAACAUUUUUUUCAUUUAUUUUUUUAUUAAAUUAUUUGUAUUUGUAUUUUUCUUUUGAUUUAUUUCUUUCCAUUUAAACCAAUUAUUUUUCCAUUUCCCAUUUGAUAGUAUUUUAGAUUUUUAUAAUAAUAAUUUAAGUAAUCAUUUAUUUUAGUGACAAUGCAUAGUGACCAAAAUAAACCAAGAGAAAUUUUUUAGGAUUGAUUUAUGUAAUUUUUCUUAAAUAACUAAAAAAGAAUUAUAUUUUUUCUAUUGGUUAUAACUUUUACAGAUAUAUAUUUUAAGAACUAAUAAAAAAUUGUAUCCAAUUGAGGAAUUAAAAAGUAUAUUUGUCUUCAUAUAAGUAGGUAUACUUCUCCUAAAUGAAAAUUAAAAAUAAAUUAGCAUAUAUUUCUUAUAAAACCAACUUCUAUGAUUUUAAAUAUCUAAUUUUUUCUAUCACAUUCAAUAAUUUCAUAUAUUAUUUAAAAGUUGAUAUUUAAAUAUUUUUCCAUCAUCACAUAAUUACAAACUUGCAGACAAUAUCUAUAUAACAUAUUUUAAUAGAAAAAUAUUAUUUGACAAGUAAAAAAUUUUAAAUUUUUAUGAACAUUUUAUCUUAUUACUCAAUGUCAAAUGAAUUUAAAAAUAUAUUAUGAUAUCAUUACUCCUUUUAAAACUAUGAUAAUAUGUUGAAUUACGUGAUCAUGUCAUUAAACGGAGUUGGAUUCUUUAAUAAAUUAUAAAUUAACACUUUUGUGUAUUCUUAAAAUUGAAACUCUUUAAUAAUCUUUCAAUCUCUAGACAAAAUCUUUAAAGACCUAUAUAUUUCGUAUAACAUGAUUUCGUUGAUAACACUGUCAAAUUAUGUUAGCAUAUUAUUAAAUUUGUAAGCCAACACAAGUGUAAGAUGUUAACUUUAUGCAUGCAUGAGUUUUGGUUCUCGUAAAACUAAUGAACGGAAACAACUUGUACAACUUUGGUGGUAAACAUAAAGAACUAAAUAAGUGAUAUUGAAAAAACUCCUUAUUUAUUAUAUGCAAACCGAGAGCAUGCAAAUACAAAAGUGCAAACAUACAUGCUAUAGUUACACACAGGAUAGCAUAUACCUUAAUUAUUCAGAAGUACAAUGAUAAAGAGAAGGAAAACCACACAGUCUUUUUAGAUAGAGAUACUGUUGGGAAUGCCUCUGAAAGUUAACCCUUCCUCACUUGAACGAUGGAGCAAUGUGUAUGGCAGUUGAACUGGUCCAUGUCGGUUUCUCAGACUUGGAUCACUGUUCCUUGCAUUGAUUUUGCUCUCAAUUUCAGUGAGUUUGCUUCCAAACCUUUGGAAAGCUUCUAAUGCCUUGUUAUCAGUUGUCCAGUUUGGAGUAUCCCUUUGUCCAAGGUAGAUCUCAUCAGAAGCAUGCCUUGAUAAUAUCUCUAUCACUGAAAGGUCAACGAGGGUCUCGUACUUUGGUGUGAUUGUUUUCAGAUAAGCCUUUUGAUAAUCGGCCACCAUCUCAUCAUAUUCUGGAGUUCCUGGUUCAGGGAUAAACCUUCUGCUUAGAGUUGGACGGUUCAGGAUAUAGCCUCCAUAAGGAUACUGUCCAAAGUUAACAGCUGAAUGAAGAGCAGAAGCUGUCCAUAUUAUAAUAGAGCAAGAUUGUAUGAGAUCUUCAAUGCUCUUCAGUUUAGGCCACCACGGUUUAUCUUUUAGGUCUGCAUGACCCUUCUCCACAACUUCCUUCCACCAUGCUUGGAGUUCAGUAUCUUGUUGAAUUGCCACAUCUGUUGGGUAAUACAAGGACACAUACUCUUUCACCCAUGACUUUAUAGCAUCCCAAAUUUCAAGUCCAUCAACAGCAUAAGGGUAGUCCUCUAUCACAAGACGAAGGCCAUGAGGAGCAGAAGGAUCUUCAGUAGCCAACCCUCUGAAUCAAGUAACAGUAAAAUGUUAUUACAAAUUCAAUAAGCCUCUCUCCAUUUCUUCCACCAUCAAACACAAAAACUUGUUUUUGUAGUUCCAAAGCUAGAAAACUUAAUGUUUUCAUUAAUAGAUAGAUAGAUAAAAACAAUAGUUUAAAGGAAUGGUUGGCUUUUACUAUAUAUAAAAUACCUCUUGAUAAGAUCUGCUGGUAAAGCUUGGUCAGUAAAAACCCAGUUCUUGUAAACUGCUGAAGACAUCUCAAUAGAGUACUUUCCGGGCAAAAAUGAUUGCUCUAUAAUUCCACCUGCAUUAAUCAAAGAUUGCCUAGCAAGUCCAUUGAUAUUAAUGGUAUCACGAUAGUGAGGAUAGAGAAGUUUAUAAAUGGGGUGAAGCACACUGAGUUGUCUGUUUGUUGCUAUGGCAAAAGGCUCCAUCACUGCAUGAGUAUUUAACCUGCAACACCAUAAAGAAAAAGAAAAAAACUUAUCAAUAAUAAAUUCAUUUACGCAUACAUUACAUAUGUGCUAAAUAUUGCCAAAGAAGUUCUUACCAAUGACUCAUGAGCUGAUGAUAACCAGAGUCAUUCACAACUACAUGAGCCUUGGCCAAUAGCCAAAUUGUGCUGUCAACACCAUCAAUUGCAGGCAACACAACUUUGCUCACAGGACCCAAAUUAUCUCCACCUGGAUGUGGCUUGCUUAAUUCGAUAGCAAGUGGCUUCAAAGUGCCAUCAUCUUUCAAGAAGAAGAUUGUUCUGGUGGCGUAAGCUCUUGCAACAGGUAGGCUGUUUAUCCUCGUCAAAUACGGAAAGAAUGCAUCUUGAUAAUCUAAUAUGAAUAAUCUCUUUGCGCUAAGUGCCUGUGUUCCAGAGUUUAAUUUCAGUGAUCUUUCUUUCAUAACUUCAAAUUACAAAUCUAAUAUGGCUUCAAGUGCUUAUACUAAAAAGAAAUUAUAAAAGAAUAUGUAACAAAAGUUAUGCUAAGUACAAAAUUACCUCAUCUACUGUGACCCCAUCCGUGUUAAUCUCCAACUGUUCUCUUGUUAUGGUACUGGUUUGAUCACCAUAGAGAGAGGGAUCAAGAGAACUUUUUGGUGGGAAUUCCUGCCAUUAUUAAAAGAUGUCACAAAUAACAAGAGAAACACAUUAACAUCUUAACUUUGUCAUCAAAGUUGACCGUUUUAGAGACUUAAUAUCAAGAGUAUAGACAUACCUGAAGAAGACGAAAUACAUUUGGAUUGACACCAGCAAUCACUUCUCUUGCAAACUCUUCAUCUGUGUUCCAUUCAGACCUUUUAACUGCAGAAAUUAAAAAGGAAAAAGUUGAGUAACCAAGUUAAUAAUUCAAUUAAAAAAUGCUAAUAUAUUGAAGUUGUUUUGAUGAAGUACCUUGGAUAACAUGAGGCAAUGGAAAUUGAAGGACAUUUUCACCAUCACUGCGGAAGAGUUCCUUGAGGGCAGGUACAGGGCUAAUUUGGCUCAAAAAAUCUGUUGGCAGCUUAAUUCCACCCUCAUAGAGACUACGCACAUCAUCGAAGUUCUUAAACUCACUUGAUGUGAUCCUUAAGUCAAAAAUUGCAGAUUUUAACAGGGGCAACACGUCCUGAGAUAAAGAUUUUAUUCCAUACAUGAUGAAAUCUGAUGACUUCAAGUGACCAAAAUUUUCAUCUCUUGGAACAUAAAUCGCGCCUGGUUUCUCACUGUUGGGAUCUGUUAUAAACCAACCAAAUACAGCAUUAAAUCCUUGUUUUUCAAUCAUAUAUAUUAUCAAAUUUUACAACUUUUUUCACUUAUAUAGCCUAUAUAUUCACGUUGACCUCUCUACAUUGUUUGCUGCUGUGCAAAACAUUACCAAAUCUGGAAGUAUUUCUAGGAUCAUUUCAAGUUCUUUCAGUAUAGUGUAUUUAGAAAGAAAACAUGUUAAAAAUUCUUGGAUGGGUUAAACAACUUCACCAUAGUUAUACCAUUGAAACUAUAUGCUCAUAUAAUAUAUAUAUUAAUUUUAUAUCAUGAUCAAUGUCAGAAACAAAAUAAUUGAAUAUAAUUAAACAGAAAAAGUCUAACCUGUCCUGGUUCGGUCUCUACCAGUUCUAACCCUGCGAGGGUAAGGAUAGAUGAUAGAUCCUCCAAGGAUUGGGCGAGGAUCACCACCAUCUGGGUUUCCAAGGUCAUUGUACACGUCAUAGUCAUAGAUUCUAUCUUGUUCCUGGCGUUUACCAGUUCCAUCUCCUCUAAGAGUCUCCAAUUCUUCUUGUCUGUAUUUGAGAAGUGGAGCUGGUGUUGCACUUGGAAGAUAUGUCUGAAAUAUAUUCAUGAAUUAGUUUUCUGACCACUAAUAGAAUGAAAACAAAAACGAUCAGGACUUGGAAAAUAAAAUCUGGGCAUAAAAAAAAUAGAAGCUUACAUCAUUCACAAAGAAAAUACGAUCUUUCUGGUAUUUGUUGAAGUUGUAAAUCCAGGAGUUACAAACAAAGUGAAUGGUUCCAUGGUUUGGAAUGUCCUCAAGAAGAACACUGACGAGGAAAAACUCAUCAGUUGUAUAGUUUUGGAUGUAAAAUGCCCCUGGAAUUCCAAAUUUAGCAUCCCAAUCAAAGGAAACACGGAAUGCUAGCUGCUGAGCUCCCAACGUUGGAAAGGUCGGAAGAUGUUUUUCCACAAAUGCUUUGCUUCCAACUUUUCCUUUUCCACUAGCUGCAAACAAACAUACAGAUAAAAUUGAAAUAAUAAUAACAAACUAAAGAUGAGUAUUUUAGAUUACGAUUGAACAAUAAUGUUAAAAAAAGGUGAUGCUUUGCAUGAAUAUUUCACACAAAUAAUUCACGAAUACAUAGCUGUCUCUGAAAUAAACAAAAAAACUACGUUAGCCACUUGCAAGAUAUACGUAUGUCGGAAUAUAAAACCGUGAAUUAGUUCUUACAAUGAAGUUUGUCUCUCUUUCAUCUUUUUGCAUCACUGUAAAGUUAACUUCACCAUUCAAGUUUACUAAAAGAGUUUUUAACUUAUCCAAUAAAAACAUAUGAUCAAACUUAUAAUAAUAGUAUAAGUGUACGACAAUUAUUUAAUUAAACUUCAUAUUCAAUCUAAACAAUGACUCGUUGCAUUAUUGAGAUUCAGUCCAGAAACGACAAAACAAUAUAGUAUUUUAAGAGUGGCUAUAGAGCUGGAUGAGAUAUGUUCAUACAUCAGAGAUAUUAAUUAAUAAGAGUUUCAUUUAGGUACUGCAAUUUUAGUAUAAUAACAAUUAAUUAGCAACCAGUUGAAGUCUAAUCUGUGAAAUAAUUUAUGACAGAAAAUAGUGUGGCUGGUAAGAUGAGAACAAACCAUCAGCUUGAGUAGCACUGAUCAACUGCAAGGAAAUAUUUUUGCCUGCGAAGGCAGUUGCAGCAUCAACCAAACUACCAGCUACGUUAACGACAGUGCCAAGGAUAUCUUUGGUAGUUUCAAUAACACCGUCUUUACCAAUGGAAGUUAAAGCGUUGAAGUCCAACACGUUCUUGGGCAUCAACACCACAGUGCCCUUUAUCUUCUGACCAUUGUCAAAGAGGCCACCUAUGAGACGUGACAUCUUAAUUUGCUACUGUAUCAGCACUGUAUAGUGUUGUUAUUCUUUCUGCAGAGGAAGAAGGAGAGAAGAUUGAAGCUUAGUUGUGUGUUGUGAAGAGGCAAAGAAAUGCUAUUUAUAGAGAGGACGUGAGAAGAGAGAAGCAUAGCUCCAUUACAGUGAGGUUUGCAGGCUGAUUUUUCUAUGGCCACCAACUCCAUAUGCAACACGUUAUCCACAUUUCAUUGCAUAUUUUUUUUCUUCCUUCUUAUGUAUUCAAAUUUAAUAUUCUUGAUGCCAUUCAAUUGAUUUUCUUAUUACAAUCUUUUUGUUUGAGUUUUGGACGUUCCUAGCUGUCCUUUUCUUUUUAUUAUGCAAAUGAUCUAUUACAAUCAAGAGUAGAAAAAAGAAUGGUUUAUUUCAAGAAAGAAAAUCGUGUGAUCGUUAUUUAUACUUUUUUAAACUGUCCUCUGAUAUAAACAAAUAUUUUUACAAUUACAAUACUUAUUCUUUUGGGAUUGGAAGCCAUGUUGUAUAUGUGAAAAAUACUGAACUUUUAUUACUUUUUAGAUGAGAAUUCCGUAUUGAAAAAAAAGAUAAUCUUGAAAAUUAUAUUUGUUAUACAAGUAACCCAUCUAGAAUGUGUAUGGUGUUUGCUCUUAAUUAUUGCACAUGUUAGCAUAUUUAUUAUUGUAAGUGUGUUGUUUUGUGAUUUUUAUAUUAUUAGAAAAAUUUGUACACUUUGUUUUUUUUAUCUUUUGUUUGUGAUGAGUGAUUGGAAGAACAUGGUUCUUUGAGAAUAAGUCUCAACCAAAAAUUACAUAAUUGAAAGACUUGGCUCUCUACAAAGAUGGUGGUAAAGAAAGUCUCUUUUGAUUUUAGUACAAAGAACUAAUUGAAACUUCUCAACUUUAUUACUGAUAAACAUAAGAUGAACUAGAUAGGAAAUGACAGUGAAAACAAACUUAUAACAUACUCAAAUUGAACGAGAGCAGCAUACUGCAUACACACUGAGACAACGAUUUCACACAGACUUUUGUUGUUUCUUACUCAAAAGCAUAAUAUGGAUAAGGAAAACACAUCCGUUUCAGAUAGAGAUACUGUUUGGAAUUCCUCUGAAAGUCAUUCCUUCCUCACUUGAACGAAGGAGUAAGGUGUAUGGCAACUGAACUGGCCCAUGACGGCUUCUCAGACUUGGAUCAUUGUUCCUUGCUGUGAUCUUUCCUUCAAUUUCUGUCAGUUUGCUUCCAAACUUUUUGAAAGCUUCUAGUGCCUUUGAAUCAGUUGUCCAAUAUGGACUAUCUCUCUCCCCAAGAUAGAUCUCAUCAGAGGCAUGCCUUGACAAUAUCUCUAACACUGAAAUGUCAACAAGGCUCUCGAACUUAGGUGUGAUUGUGUUCAAAUACGCCUUUUGAGGAUUCUUCACCAUCUCAUCAUAUUCUUUGGUUCCUGGUUCAGGGAUAAAUCUUCUAGUCAGAGUUGGACGGUUCACGAUGUAACCUCCAUAAGGAUAUUGUCCAUAAUUAACAGCUGCAUGAAGAGCAGAAGCUGUCCAUAUGAUGAUAGAGCAAGAUUUAAUGAGAUCUUCAGUCGUAUGCAUUUUAGGCCACCAAGGCUUAUCUUUUAAGUCACCAUGACCCUUUUCCACAACUUCCUUCCACCAUGCUUGUAGUUCAGUAUCUUGUUUUAUUGCUUCAUCUGUUGGGUAAUACAAGGAGACAUAAUCUUGGACCCAUGCCUUAAUAGCAUCCCAUAUUUCAAGUCCAUCAACAGCAUAAGGGUAGUCCUUUAUCAGAAGACGAAGGCCAUGAGGAGCAGAGGGGUCUUCAACUGCUAAUCCCCUGAGUCAAGCAACAAUAUAACAUCUUAUUGACAAAUUCAACUAGCCUCACUCCGUUUCUAUUAUCAUUAAGGGAAAUUUUUUGUUUUCAUAGUUCCAUAACUGAAAUAAUUCAUGUUUCUAUUGACAAACACAUAUUUAAAAGGUGAUAAUUAAUAGUUCAUGCAAUCACAAAGUCAUCUAAUCACCCGUGACAGCAAAGCUUCUCUCUUACAUUAACAAUACGUAAAAAUUAAACCCUAUCUUGAAUUACUAAUUAGUAAAUAAAACUUCAUAUAUCUUUAUUUUAGUGAAGUAUAUUUUAUGAAUAUCACCUCUUGACAAGAUCAGCUGGUAAUGCUUGGUCAGUAAAAACCCAAUUCUUGUAAACAGUUGAGGAAAUCUCCAUAGAGUACUUUCCAGGCAAAAAUGCUUGCUCAAUAAAACCAUCUGCAUUGAUCAGGGAUUGCCUAGCAAGACCGUUGAUAUUUAUGGUAUCACGGUAGUGAGGAUAAAGAAGUUUAUAAAUGGGGUGAAGCACACUGAGAUUCCUGUUUGUUGCUAUGGCAAAUGGCUCUACCACAGCAUGAGUAUUUAACCUGUUAACCCAAGAAGAAAAAUAUCAGCAAUAAAUUCAUAUGCACAUACACUAUACAGUACACAUGGACUAAAUAUUGCAAAGGAAGUUCUCACCAAUGACUUAUGAGCUGAUGAUAGCCACAAUCAUUCACAACUACAUGAGCUUUGGCCAACAGCCAAAUUGUACUUUCAACACCUUCUGUUGCAGGCAGCACGACUUUACUCACGGCACCUAAGUUGUCUCCACCAGGAUGUGUCUUGCUUAAUUCGAUAACAAGAGGCUUUAAAGAUCCAUCAUCUUUCAAGAAUAGGAUUGUCCUUGUGGCAUAAGCUUUUGAUGUUGGUAGGUUGUUUAUCCUCGUCAAAUAAGGGAUGAAUGCAUCAUGGUGAUCUAGUAUGAAUAAUCUGUCUUUACCAAGUGCCUGUUCCAGAAAUUUUUAUUUCAGUGACUCAAUUUCUUAACUUCAAUUUACAAAUCCAAGUAGAGCAAUUAAAUAUUGACUCUUUUACAUGUUAAUCGAGUGUAUUUUGUUUUUAAUUUGCAUCAGAAGGAUUACUGAAAAGGAAAUUAUAAGAGAAUUUAGCAAAAGUCAUGCCAGAUAGAAGUCGAAUGAUGAUGUUUUUUUAUUGUGAAAAAUGCAUAUCAUUACCUCUUCUACUGUGACCCCAUCCAUGUUAAUCUCCAACUGUUCUUUUGUUAUGGUACUAGUUUGAUCACCAUAGAUUGUGGGAUCAAGUGAGCUUUUUGGUGGAAAUUCCUGCCAUUAGUAAACAAUGAUGUGAGGAAGGAUGACAGAUAUACGUAUAUAAUGAAUUUAAUAACAAAACAUUUGAACUUACUUGCAGACGACGAAUUACAUUUGGAUUUACACCAGCAAUGGUCUCUCUUGCAAAUUCUUCAUCAGUCAUCCAUGCUGACUUGCUAACUGUCCAAAGCAUAAAAUAUGUACUUGUCAAAUUAUCAAUUCAACAAACGCUAACAUGAUUAAGUUGUUUUGAUCAAGAUGUAUAAUCGAAGGUACCUCUGAUUACAUGAGGUGGUGGAAAUUGAAGGACAUUUUCACCGUCAGUACGGAAGAUUUCCUUGAGGGCUGGUAAGGGACUGAUUUGGCUGAGUAUAUCUGUUGGCAGCUUAAGUCCACCCUCAUAGAGACUACGCACAUCAUCGAAGCUAUCAAACUCACUUGAUGUAACCCUCAAGUCAAAAAUUGCAGAUUUUAACAAAGGAAACACAUUCUGAGAUAGGGAUUUGAGUCCAUAUAUAAGAAAAUCCGAUGACUUCAAGUGACCGAAAUUCUCAUCUCUUGGGACAUAAAUCUCACCCGGUUUCUCACUGUUGGGGUCUGUUACAAAAUAACCCAGAGUGAAAGAAUUAUCAACAAACGCAUAAAUUUGUAUACCAAGAUCAACAUAAUAAUAAAGUUUACAUCUUUAUCCACCAAUGAAACCAUAUAUGCCCUUGUGUUUAGUUUCACUAUAAAGAAAAAUCUUACCUUUUUUGGUCUUGUCUCUACCAGAUCUAACCCUGCGAGGGUAUGGAUAGUUGCUAGAGCCUCCAAGGAUUGGGCGAGGCUCACCACCAUCUGGGUUUCCAAUGUCAUUAUACACGUCAUAGUCAUAGAUUCUAUCUUCUUCCUUGCGUUUUCCAGUUCCAUCUCCUCUAAGAGUCUCCAAUUCUUCUUGUCUGUACUUCAGCAAUGGAGCUGGUGUUGCACUUGGAACAUAUGUCUGUCAUAUAUUUCACCAAUUUUGUCAUUCAAAGAAUUACAAACAAAACCCAUUUGUCUUUGUUUGAAAAAUUAGUUGGGUGAACUUUUGUACACAUUAGAAAAGCAGAACUUACAUUGUUGACAAAGAAAAUACGAUCUUUUUUGUAUUUUUUGAAGUUAUAAACCCAGGAGUUACAGACAAAGUGAAUGCUUCCAUGGUUUGGAAUGUCUUCAAGAGUCACACUAACAAGGAAAAACUCAUCAGUCUUGAAGUUUUUUAUGUAAAAUGCUCCUGGAAUUCCAAAGUCGGAAUCCCAUUCAAAAUAAAUACUGAAUGCCUCUUGUCUUGCUCCCAAAGUGGGUAGUGUUGGAAGAUGACUGUUCAGAUAUGUUUCCUCUCCAACUUUCCCUUUCCCACCUACAUAGUUAAACUCCAUAAAUAGUUAAAAAAACAAGGGCACGUCACCCAACAAUAAUUUCAAAUGCUAUAUAUGUAUUUUUUUAAAUAUAAAUAUAUAUUCAAUUUAUAAUAUGUUUAUACAAUAUAAAUACAAAAAAAAAAUAUUAUCUUAUAUCUAUUUACGUGUAAAUGUAAAUAAUUAAAGAAUUUUUUUUGAAUAAUGAUUUAUGAAAUGUACUAUUGUCACAAAUAAAUAAUUUUAUAUGUACAAAGAAUAUUAUUAAAUGUUAAUUAAAUAUUGAAUAAGAUUAAAAUUAAUAAUCUUAUUAUUCUCAAAAUUAUUACAACCAUAAUAUUAUAUAGAUUUUUCUUUCAUAACUUUUUUAUUUUACUUUUCCUCUUUUGUCCUGUUUUUAUGCAGUGAGGUAAUUAUUUGACUUAUAUUUAUUACAUUAGUUAUUUUCUAUAAUUACACCUGUUUGAUGGUAGUUCUGUUUUAUUGUGUUAAUAAUAAUUUGAAGAAAUGAAAAGAGAUUGAACGAACCAUGAGUCUGAGUAGCACUGAUCAACUGCAUGGAAACGUUACGCCCUAAGAAGGCGGUGGCAGCGUCGAUUACUCCGCCGGCUACAUUGGCGACGCCGCCCAAGAUACCGCCGACGGCGCCAACAGCGCCGCCGACAACGCCGCCAAUACUGUUAGGAACGGAGACGGAGGAGAUGGCGUUGAAGUCCAAGACAUUCUUGGGCAUCAACACCACAGUCCCCUUUAUCUUCUGUGUCCUUUUGCCGAUCCCAAACAUUUUUCCUCCUUCUGUUUACACACACUCAACACUAUUGUUCUUAUCCUUUUCAGAAGAAGAAGAAGAAGCUUGUGUGGUGAAACACUGCAUAGAAGGUACUUAUAGUGGCAGAAUUCAUGGCAUACCUACCUGCAUAUCUAACACGUGCUAUAUAACAUUGCAUAAUGAUGUUCCAGUCCAAUCAAACUCCACAAAUUUCAACAUUGAGUAAGAAAAAAUGAUUCAAAAGUUUAUAUAUAUACAAAUACCUCUAAUAAAAAAAAUAUUUUGAAUAACUAUAAAAAACAUAAAUAUCUCCAAUAAAAAAAGGUUAAAUAUCUUUUUUUUCCCAUUGGUUAAGAAUAUUCAAAUUGGUCCUCAUUUUAUUUUUCUGUUCACUAUAGUCCUAAAGAACGUAAUAUUAUGUUCAAUUUAGUCAUUUUUAUGUUCCAUGUAGUCCUAAAGAACGUAAUUUGUGUUCAAUUUAGUCCUUGUUUGUAGUUCACGGAAUUUGUAAAAAGGAUUAAAUUGAACACAAAUUACAUUCUUUAGGACUACAUUGAACAGAAAAAAGACUAAAUUGAACAUAAUUACGUUUUUUAGGACUAUAUUGAACAGAAAAAUAAAAUGGAGACCAUUUUGAAUAUUUGUAACCAAAACUAGGACCAAAAAAUGUAUUUUACCUAAAAAAAAAGUAUCUUGAAUAAGUAUAAAAAACAAAUCAGUAAAAACUUAAUCCAAAAUGGAUAAUAUUUUUUGAUGUAUAGAGAUCUAUGUGUGUCCAACCUACCUACAAUGACGAUAGAACAAUCAUUUACAUUCAUUUUACAUAUUAUAAAAUAAUUUAAAAAAGUAAACUUUUUGUAAUUUUUUUUAAAUAAAAAAUAAAAAGUAAGAAAACAUUAUACUAUCAUUUCUCUUCAUUGUUUUGUCAAUUUCUUAGGAUCAACAUUAUCCACUCAUAUCUCUUCUGUGUUCUGGUUUGUUAUAUUAAUUAGUGGUCGUAAAAAUUAUUUCAAAUAUUUCAUAAUACAGAGAAUUUUUGUAAUACAGGCAGAUUUUUUUCUUAAUAUUUCAUAAUUUAUUUAUAUUAGCCAUAGAAUGGUCCAGUUCUACUUUUCAUGCUUUUGUUUUUAUAUCAUUGGACCACCUGCGUAUGCUUAUUCGUUCGCCUUGUGGAUGAGAUAUGCAUUAAAUCUAUUAAUGAUUGAUUUUAUAUCAUUGCCUUUUCUCUUCUAUCUUUCUAAGAUUUAGGAGUUAAUUUUUAUCAUCUUAUUGAUCAAGGUAUUAGUGAGACUACGACAAAGUGAAAAUGAAUUCUGACUCUUAAAAAAAUUCAAUUAAACUAAGAUUUUAUUUUCCCUCUACUUAAAAAAAAUUGAUAAACUACAUUUGUAUGUGAAAGUAAAAUAAAUUUGUACAUUAAAGUUUAAUGUUUCAAUAGGAAAUUUAACAUUGUGGGGUUUUGAUUGAGAUCGAAGACAUACAUUCCUUUUGAAAUUCUUCUUGGAACUUGAAAUAAUAGAGUGAGAAUCAUCAAAUUGAUUUAUGUUAGUUAUAAUAUAGAGUAUAUGUAAUAUAUUUGUUCUUUUAUACAUUUGAAAUUGGGUUGGACAAUUAUAUUUAUUUUUGUUCCAUCGAUUUAUGUUUAGAUUAUGAUUAGAUAUUGUUGAAUUUAUAUAUUGGGUUUUGAAUGGUAAUUUUGAGCUGAAAUGAUUCAAAUAUAAAAUUGAUGUAAUAAAUAGGUUGGUGUGUUUUGAUUAAGAGUGUCAAAUGGAUUGAUUUACCAAUGCACUAAAAGUAAAUUAGUUUAAGUCAACAAUUUUAUAAUAUGACUUAAUUCUCAUAAAUUGAUUAAUGAAUUUACUCACUUAAAAAUAUUUUAUAUAUUUUUAAUUUAUUUUAUAUAUAUAUAUAUAUGCUAGAAAUAGGAUCGUCCAAUUCUCCUUUUUCGUGGCUUGUUUUCAUAUCAUUGGACUAUAUAUAGGAGAUGCAAUAAAUCACUGAAUAAUUGGUUUGAAAUUUUUUUGAAGGGUUCAGAAUUUAUUUUUAUAUUUAAAAUUGAAAAAAAAAAUAUCAUUCGUAGCUUCUUAAUAUCUCCAUAAAUUAAUAUUAUUAAUUCUCUCAAAAGAUACAGGAAUUUAAUUAGGGGAACGUGGAAUUAUGGACUUACGGGUGUCAAUUCGUUAAUAUAUCGUAAAUCUUAACUCAUUUAAAUAAGUCUCUUUUGAGGAUUUUAAGCAACGGGAUAAAGAAAACUUUCAAGUUUAGAAAGUCUCUCUUUCAAAUAGAUUAUGGUUAGGACUAAAAUAUGUUUGGUGCAAUGAAAAAUUUAAUUAAAUACGCCAGUUGCAAUUUGUUGGAAUUUGAACCAUGUUUCCAAGACUAAUGCCGGGUGGUUUAGAUUGAAAAUUUAGAUGAGUGGAUUUAGUUUUGAGGUUUAUAUGAGUUGAUCGAGUUUGAAGGUUAUGGACUAGUUAAGGUUAAUUCAAAUCAAAAGUUAAAAUAAACUAGUUUGGGUGGUUGAUUGAACCAAGUUAAUAAUCGAGAUGGGUCAAUCAAGUUGAAGGUUGUGAUGAGUCAAUCUAGAUUGAAGGUUGAGACGAACUGACAUGUAUUGGAAGUCAAGACACACUAUGAUCGCUUGACAACAACUAAAAUUUUAUCAAAUUCAACAAAUUUGGUUGAACUUGGCCCAAUCUUCCUUGACCAAAAUUUGACCAUAUUUGACAAAGUCGAGCCAAGCUGAAAUUUGUCUAAAUUUGACUUAUUUAGACCUUGUUGAAAUACACCCAAAUUUAAUAGUAUUGACUUGGUCAAAAUUUGGCCGAAUUCGACCAAGACGAUUAUGACCAAAAUUUAGUUGAAUUCGGUCGAGUUGGUCCAAGCCAAAAUUAGGUCAAAAUUGAUCGAGAUUACCUAGGUUGACAUUUUUUUGAAUUUUAUAUAAUUGACCAUGAUCGUAAUUUGGCUAAAUUCGACUAAGUCGUCCCGAUCGAAAUUUCGUCAUGUUAACCUUAGCAUAAUUUUGUCCGAAUUUGACUCAAUCAGUUUUGUUCGAAUUCUAUGGAAUCAACCACAACUAAAUUUUGGUCGAAUUCAACUGAGUCAACCAUAAUUGGGAUAAGGUCAAGUCGGUAACAAUAAAUAGCGAAUUCCAACCACAUAUGGUCAUUUACAAAAACGAAGCUGAUGACACUAAAGAAAAACUUAAACAAAGACGAUCAGAUUCGUUUAAAGUAUUCAAAAAAAGGGGUGGAAAGCAGAUAGAAGGUGCGAUGCAAGAGUCUGCAAAAUCAAAUAUGAGUAAAAGUGGGUGUAUGGAUGGGUGGAGUUAAUUAUAAGAGAGAAAAAGUUUUUUACCCUUAUCAGAAAGGUACUUUUCUUAAUUUAGAAUUUGGAGGUGUAGAAAGAAAAGUUGAAGGUACAAGGAGAAGCAUCCGUGGAGAGAUAGCAUGUAAUCUGUAACCCAACUUUAGAAAACUAAAUUGAAAAACGGAUAGCCCAAAAGAAAAACGGGCUUAACGAGAGUGUUAUCAUUAUAUAUUAUUAUUAUUUUAAUAUGAAUUUCUUAAACAUAUUUAGUCAAUUUUUUAUUUAGUUAUAAAUUAGCAUUUUAGUUUGUGCAAGGAAGAUAAAUGUUUUAUCAUAUAUAACAAAAAGUACGAUAUAUAUAUAUAUAUAUAUAUAUAUAUAUAUAUAUAUAUAUAUAUAUAUCCAUCAAAUAUCUUACUUAAACAAGUUUUAUAUUUUAUAUUGCUUUAACAUCAUUUCAAGAAAUAAAUUUAUGUUUAACUAUUGAGAGACGAUAAGGACAUUUGUGAAAUGUUGUUGGUCAUUAGUAUACUUUUCAGAACUAGAAGACUUGUUGCAUCGAUUUAUCUGUUUUAUAUACACAAUGAUUGCACCAAAUCUAUCACAUUAUUUUCUGAUUAAUGUUUAAAACAAAAAACACUGUUAUUUUCUUGGUCAAUCAAAGCACACAGUUCCAAACAGAGAAUUACAAGCAUAAUAAAAAACACAACAGCAUGAUCAUUUGUGUUAUGACAAAGUGGAUACAUAAUCAUGGUAUUCAACCACACGUUGUCUAGAUAGAGAUACUGUUAGGGAUUCCUCUGAAAGUCAACCCUUCCUCGCUUGAAGGAAUGAGCAAUGUGUAUGGAAGUUCAACUGGUCCACAUCGGUUUUUCAAGGCUGAAUCGGUGUUCCUUGCUGUGAUUUUUGCUUCAAUCUCUGUCAACUUGCUUCCAAACCUUUUGAACGCUUCCAAUGCCUUAGAAUCAGAUGUCCAAUUUGGAUGAUCUCUCUUGCCAAGGUAGAUCUCAUCAGAAGCAUGCCUUGACAGUAUUUCUAUCACUGUCAGAUCAAUAAUGGCCUCACGCUUAGGUGUAAUUGUUCUCAAAUAUGCAGUGUGAGGACUCUUCAGCAUCUCAUCAUAUUCUUUGGUUCCUGGCUCAGGGAUGAAUCUUCUGCUUAAAGUUGGACGGUUCAGGAUAAAACCUCCAUAAGGAUAUUGUCCAAAAUUAACAGCUGCAUGAAGAGCUGAAGCAGUCCAAAUGAUAGUAGAACUUGAUUGAAUAAGCUCUUGACGAGUCUUCAUUUUAGGCCACCAUUGUUUAUCUUUUAAGUCUGCAUGACCCUUCUCUACAGCUUCCUUCCACCAUGCUUGAAGUUCAGUAUCUUGUUGAACUGCCACAUCUGUAGGGUAAUACAAGGACACAUACUCUUCAACCCAUAUCUUAAUAGCAUCCCAUAUUUCAAGUCCAUCAACAGCAUAAGGGUAGUCCUUUAUCACAAGACGAAGGCCAUGAGGAGCAGAAGGAUCUUCAGUAGCCAAUCCUCUACAUCAAGCAAAAAGAAAAAAAAUGUUACUACCCUCUCAGUUUUUGCCAUAAUUAAAAGGGCACAUUUUGUUUUUUAGUCCCAGUUCAUUUUUCUAUCAUUAACCAUAUUAUUAUAGUUUAGUUUAUGCAGUAAUGUGUAUUUAAGAAGAAUACCUCUUGAUGAGAUCGGCUGGCAAUGAUUGUUCAGUGAAAACCCAAUUCUUGUAAACGGCUGAAGACAUCUCCAUAGAAUACUUUCCAGGCAAAAAUGAUUGUUCUAUAAUGCCAUUUGCAUUAAUCAGGUUUUGUCUAGCAAGUGCAUUGAUAUUAAUGGUAUCACGAUAGUGAGGAUAAAGAAGCUUAUAAAUGGGGUGAAUCACACUGAGAUUCCUGUUUGUUGCUAUUGCAAAUGGCUCCAUCACUGCAUGAGUAUUUAACCUGCAACACCAAAAAGGAAGAAAAAGAAAAAAACUUAUCAAUAAUAAAUUCAUAUACGCAUAAACUAUAUAUGUGCUAAAUAUUGCUGAAGAAGUUCUUACCAAUGACUCAUGAGCUGAUGAUAACCAGAGUCAUUUACAAUUACAUAAGCCUUGGCCAACAGCCAAAUUGUGCUGUCAACACCAUCAAUCGCAGGUAACACAACUUUGCUCACAGGACCCAAAUUAUCUCCACUUGGAUGUGGCUUGCUUAAUUCGAUAGCAAGUGGCUUCAAAGUGCCAUCAUCUUUCAAGAAUAGGAUCGUUCUUGUGGCAUAAGCUUUUGCAGUAGGUAAACUGUUUAUCCUCGUCAAAUAAGGAAUGAAUGCAUCUUGGUAAUCUAAUAUGAACAAUCUCUUAGCAGCAAGUGCCUGUGUUUCACAGAAUUUAAUUUCAAUGAUCACUUAGAAUCACAAGGAAUAGUUGUUUUAUAAUUCCAAAUUAAACUAAGUAAAGAAUAUAAAAACCUAGUUGUUUUAUAUUUCUAACAUAUUAAAUAGAUUCAAAUUGUUCUGUCAGCUGAUGUACCUAUCAGUUUCCACUUGACCAAUAUUAUAUGUUCCUCGAAAAGUAAGUAGUUGUUGGAAAUAAUGCAGUGGUCAUUAUUAUAUAUGGCUAUAGGUAAUAAGUAUUAUCAUAUGGAGCUAUGACACAUGUGUGUGUGUAUAUAUAUAUAUCAUUACCUCUUCCACUGUGACCCCACCCAUGUUAAUCUCCAACUUUUCUUUUGUUACAGUACUAGUUUGAUCGCCAUAGAGAGUGGGAUCUAGCUGGCUUUUUGGAGGGAACUCCUGCAAUUUUUAAAAUGAAGAAAUUGUCUAUUAACAAGAUAGUGGGGCAAUAAAGCACCUAACAUUCACUGAUUAACAUUGGAAAAAUUUACACUUACUUGAAGACAACGAAUGACAUUUGGGUUUACACCAGCAAUCAUUUCCCUUGCAAAUUCCUCGUCAGUCAUCCAUGCAGAUUUAUUCACUGCUCAAAUCAUAGAUUAUAGAAUUCAUUAACCUUUGUUUAGGUAAUUUGGAUUAAUUAUAUAUGUGAUUAAUUAUGUUUUGAUGAAAGUUUGGAAAAUACUAAAUUGUGUUGAUUAGGAUGUUGAAUUAAGGUACCUCUGAUAACAUGAGGUGGUGGAAGCUGAAGGACAUUUUCACCAUCAGAUCGGAAAAGUUCCUUGAAGACUGGUAAGGGACUAAUGUCACUAAGUACACCUGUUGGUAGCUUAAUUCCACCUUCAUACAAAUCACGCACUUCUUGAAAGCUAUCAAACUCGUUCCAUGUGAAAUCUAAGUCUACAACGUUUUCGAGUGAAGGUAAGAGUGAUUGAGACAAGGAUUUUAAACUAUAUGAGAGGAAAUCUGAGGACUUCAGAUGACCGAAUUUUUCAUCUCUUGGUAUGUAGAACUCUGCUGCAAGUUUCUCACUUUUAGGAUCUGUCAGAGAAUCGAACAGCAGAAAUAUCAGAAAACAUUCACAACACUCAAAGAUUGCAUGCCCAAAAGAGCAAACAUUCUUAAUUUAUAAAAAUAUAAUAAUGAUAUCUAUAUUUUCUUUCUUCCUUGUGAUUUUGCUUUUUUACCAUUUCUCCUUAUGAAUCAAAUCAAAUAAGGUAUGCCUCAUUGCUCAUAUUCAUAUAAAGUCAACUUUUCUCUCUUAUCCCUUAUCUCUUCUCUUAUAAACUAAACAAACAAAUCUCUUCCUCAUUCCUGCUCUUUUCCAACUAGAAUAUUGUUUUCUCUUUCUCUCUUCUCACCAAGCACAUUGUUUUCUACUGAAAAGUAUCAUUGUUAUCCUUUUAUUCGUUAAAGAACCACUGUUAUUUUAUCUAUAUAAAAAUUCCCACCAAAUACUUGGUCCCAUGUGAGUUUCCUUAUUAAAAGUGAAAACAUGAUAAAAGAAAAGCCAAAAAAUCUCACCUUUCUUGGUGGGUUUUCUACCAGUUCUAACCCUACGAGGGUAGGGAUGGGUGCUGGAGCCUCCAAGCACAGGACGAGCAAGACUUUUAUCACUAUCUGGGUUGCCCAAAUCAUUGUACACAUCAUAGUCAUAUAUCCUUUCCCAUUCCUUGCGUUCUCCCGUUCCAUCUCCUCUUAAAACCUCCAACUCUUCUUUCCUGUACUUAACUAGUGGAGCUGGUGUUGCACUUGUAACAUAUGUCUGCAACAUUUUUCAUGAAUCGUUUCAAAAAUGACUGCAAAAUAUUGAGCUUAAUCUUGCAAAAGUAUUACUAUCAAAACAUUCAAAACAACUGGGUAGCUUUUUUGGCAAAGAAAAUACGAUCUUUUUUGUAGCUUUUGGAUAUUCAGACUUACAUUGUUGGCAAAGAAAAUACGAUCCUUUUUGUAGCUUUUGAAGUUGUAGAUCCACGAGUUGCAGACAAACUGAAUGCUUCCGUGAUUCGGAAUGUCAUCAAGAGUGACACUGACGAGGAAGAACUCAUCAUACAUAAAGUUUCUGAUGUAAAACGCUCCCGGAAUUCCAAAAUUAGCAUCCCAUUCAAAAUUAACAGCGAAUGCAUCUCGUCUAUCCCCAAACGUUGGUAACGUUGGAAGAUGCUUCUCUAGAUACGUUUCCUUGCCAACUUUACCGUUUCCACUUGCUACAAAUAAAACCAAAAACAUCAGUUUCUUUAUCCAACAGGAAUCUUAAAAAAAUCAUAGUUGCAUAAAUAUUUAUAUAAAGCAUUGAAAGAAGUGAAAAAAAUGAAGAAAGUAUCACGGCAACUUGUUUAUAUAUGGACAAAAAGUCCCAUUUAUUUAAGCAAAAAAUGGAAGAAAAAAAGGUAGAAGAACAAACCAUCAGUGGAGGUAGCACUGAUCAACUUGAAGGAGACAUUACGGGAUAAGAUGGCAGUUGCAGAAUCAACUACUUGUCCUGCUACGUCGCUCACGGCGCCGAAUAUACCAGAGACAAAACCACCAAGACCUCCGUUCUGCACUGCGUUUAAGUCGUUAGCAUCCAACACAUUCUUCGGCAUCAACACCACAGUGCCCUUUAUCUUCUGGCUUUUGUCGAACAGACCAAACAUCUUUGCAAGUUCUUGUCGAUGAUGAGUUUUAUCGUAGGUUGUGAAUUAUAAGGAAGCAAAGUGAGUUAUUUAUAGAUGGAAAGAGAUGAAACCUUGAAAAAUUCUUUUACUGUCAAGUUGCCAACUUUGAUUGAUUAUUAUAUGUAUGGCUGCUAACUCCAUGAGCGAUAUACUUAUCAACUCGUUCUUAAUGUGUUUUUUAUUAUAUCAUAUAUUGAUAUUAUCCAUGUUAUUAAAUUGUCUAAUCUCAUUUAACGUUUCUUAUUGUGUCUUUCUGCACUCAAAUGAUUCAUCUGAGGUCACAAAAAUCUUAAAACUAUAAAUCAAUGUGGCAGUCAAUUAUAUCUUUUAUUUGAUAGAAUGAAAAUAUAAUUUUAAAACAGUUCUAUUUGGAUAAAAAAUAUCCAUACAGCAGAAAGAAAUUAUAAUACUCUGUAUAGAGAUUGCUUUCCAACACAAAAUCUGAAGUGAAAAACCUUGAAAUUAGAGGUACGGGAAGCACUAUACUGUAUAUAUUAAUCACCUACGUACGCUGCUUAAUUGUUUAAUCUGGACAAAGUCACAACAGUAUAAUAUUGUGUUUUGUAUAUACAGCCAUUAAUUAUUUUAUAAAAUGCUUCUAACAGGGUGUUUUAAAUUGUCAAUUACGUUAACAAUUUAUUAAAUUAUAGAGUGUCUUUCUUAAUUGUCACGGAAAUUGUUUGUAAUUGAAUCUAUAUUAAACUUUUGAACUAUUUUUUUAAUAUAUAUUGUUAUAUAUAAUGAGUAAAAAAUUCAGCUUUUAUAGCUAAUUGUGACGAAGUAUUAACUAUAAUCAUAGCAGAAAAUUUCUAGACACUUAUUUUGAUUUUAAAAAAUUACUAGUUCCAUGAUUAAAUUAGAAUAAUUAAUUCUACCGAUUUAAAUAAUAAAUUAGCUAUACCUUUUCAUAUGCAAGACCUAUAAUUCAAAUACAUAUUAACGUGUAUUAGUAUUUGGUGUCCCAUGCAUGAAUAUCUAUUGUUAUUGUAUCUUGUAAGUCGAUUAUAUUGUUUGCUUUUGAACAGUUACAUUCUUAUUUGAACUUUAACUUAGUUAUCAAAGGAGGGAAGUGAACGUAGGUUUAUAAGUAACAAUAACUAACAUUUAUCAAUAAAAAAACAAAACAAUUUCUAAAAUGAUAUUUAAGUAAGGAUAAUGAUAUUUAGACAACAUUUUUUUGACAACAUUUAAACAUUGAUUACGUGUCAAUCGAUCAAAAAUUACUCUACAAUUAAUAAUAAUAAUCAUAAACAUUACUUUGGUGUAAUUUUUAACCAAUCACAUAUUGACACGUAAUCAAUGUUUAAAUGUUGUCAAAAAAAUGUUGUCUAAAUAUCAUUAUCCAGUAAGUAAUUGUAAUUCAAGUGGAUGACACUCUUUUAUUAAAAGAGUUACAAUAACAAGUACUCUAUAAUUAUAUUUAUUAUUUUUUCUGAUAAAAAUAACAUAUUUAUGUGUAUUAGUAACUUAAGAUAAAUAAUAAUAAAAAUUUUAUUUCACUGAUAUCUAAAUUACCAUUUUAUUAAUAAACCAUACUAACUUUUUAAAAAAUAGUUAAAAAAAUGUUAAAGUAUAUUUAAAUAAUUUAGCUGUUUAUAGAGUCGACUUAAUCAUUCUAAACUAUGUUAAUAAAUUUUAAUUUUUAAUAAAUAUAUAUAUAUAUAUAUAUAUAUAUAUAUAUAUUUAUAUUAAUGUCACAUUAAUAGAGUUUGAUUAAAUGUUGAGCACUAAUAAAAUUAGUAUGGUUAACUUUUUUUUUUCAAGAAAGAAUAUAAACACAUGGUUUAUAAUUCAUAAAAUAAAACGCUAUAAAAUUUAUCUAUUUCAAUUUAUAUAUAUAUAUAUAUAUAAUAUUAAUACAAUUAUUUAAAAGAAUAAUUAUAUAAUUAUAAAUAUAUUUAAAAUUACUACAAAUAAUUAUUAAAAGACCAAGAAGAUAAUUCUCUUGUAUCAUUACUAGAGAUGCUUCAACAUUUAUUUUUCAUUAUCUCACACCAAUAAGGUGAUCAUUGCAAAAGAAACAAACACAAACACAUGAAAACAACAAAGAAAUAAGUAAGCUAAUAUAGAAAGAGUUUUUAUAAAUAAUUAAAUCAUAUAGAUACACACAAAGUAUAAGCUAGUUAAGAUAGAAAAAGAAAAUAUAAAUAGCAUAACACACUAAAUAACAUGUUAAACUUCAUCGCAUCGCUUUCACACAUUCAUACAUGAAACCAAAUCAAACGUAUUCAAAUACGUUUCAUUGAGUCAGACUAGUGAAACCAUGCAUUUGUGGUGACAAAAAAAAUAUUGCUCUACCGAACUGACACACACAUGAUUAGUCUUAUUCACAGUCAUAAAAACCCUAAGGCCGCCAUCCUUAUGACAAGACCUCUGGCCACUCUCACCACCUAAUCAUCCUCCUUUACAUGAGUAUGAAUGAUUAGUAGAGUUCAAGAUGACUACAUAAAAAUCAAUCGUCCUUACCUCAAUUCACACCCAAGUAAAACACAUUCAACAAGAUUCCUCCCUAAAAAUUCCCUACAAUUAAUCCAUUCAUACUAAUAUUUCACUUUAAAAAACAAAAUACAACAUUUACCACACAUUAAACAUAUCAUAAGAGACAUGAAAAUUUAGUUAAAACUUUGAUAUUUUCGCUCAACUAGAAUAUCUACUCGAUUAAUAAAUAGUGCUUGAUAGCACACUCGCCCAACAACUAGAUAGCUCUCCCAGCGAGAAUAUAUUAUCAGAGUAGUAUAGGGGGGGUGAAUUGGUUUCUUAUCGCAAAUAGUACCUUUAAUAAUUUUCUCGUCAAAUAUAAAUUCUUUAACAAAAAUUUAAACAAAUUAAAGAGUAAGGAAGAAAGAAAAUUGUAUAGGUGAUUUUUAUACUGGUUCGAAUCACACAUAUCCUACGUCGAGUUGUUAAUCUCAAACGAGAAUUAAUGCUUCGCUAUCACAAACCAACAAACUAUUACAAUCACAAAUAAAAUAGCACAAUUUAAGGUUAGAACACUUCUCUUGUUACCACAAGAGAUGAAACUCACUUUUCCUGAAACUCACUUUUCCUGAAACCCACAAGGGAUGAACACCUCCUUUGAAUGCUUCACGAAGGAUGAACACCUUUUUUGAAUCUUCAUUAAGGAUGAGAAACUUUAACUCUGCAACAACAACAACCCGUGAAAGCUCUUGCUUUAUGCCAACACCAAGUUCUCAAAGCCACAAGCACAUGGGUUACACAAAUCCUAUAACACUUAUCACAUCACACAACAUAUAAGAAUUUCGAAUAAAAGUAUUUCGUAUUUUAGAAUGAGAAUCCCAAUCCAAUUUAUAAAAAUCUCACUCAAGGAUACCUCCAAAAAUCCAUUAUCAGGUAAUUAACGUGUGAUAAUCGAUUAUCCACUUAUAUGAUAAUAGAUUAUGCAUUUAAUGAAUGCACAACGAUAAAAAACUUGGUUAAAAAUUCUCAUAAUUGCUCGUGAUAAUAAAUUAUGGCAAGUCAUAAUUAAUGAUAAUAGAUUAUCUUGAGUAUAAAAUGAGGUUUUCUUAUUCAAAACGAAUUUUAACGCAACCUAAGGAAAACAAUACAUAGAAUUAAAGAUAAACUACAUCCUAUACAUAAAUCUACUAAAUUACAAAAGCUUUAACAUAAGACAAGUCUUCAUGAAGAUCUUCUUGCAACAAGAGUACUUGAGACUUGACUUUGAGGCAUCGCCAAAACUUUUUCUCUUAAGCUUUAUGCUAACAUAUAUCACUGGAACUUAUAGACUUAAAUUCUCGCAAAAGUCGCUCAACGAGUAUAUUCUUGCCCAAAGACUAUCAAGUGAAUGAACUCUCUAACUUUCGUCUUGCUUAGUGACUACUAAGUCAGUAGCUCUCCGACUUUAACUUCGCCUAGCAAGUAUAUUCUCGUCCAACGAGUCUGCAUAAUUUUGAAAAACCUAAUUUAUGAUAAUUUAUGUCAUUCCAACUCUACAAAGCAGUUCAACCACAACCCCAAAUGCAAGAACAUACUAACUAUCAUAUUAAUGAUUUAAUUCAUCUCAACUGCAAUUUUAACCAUAUACCAAUUUCAAAGUACAAUGCAUGUAAACCAAAUCAAUUUUAACUAAACUCAACAUAUCAUAUUUCAUCAAACAACUCAAUUACACAAACCAACGAUCAUAUAAGCAUAUCAUCAGCGAUAAUGGUGAAUGGCUUGAAAGAGAAAAGUGUUUCAUUGUUUUUCAUUGGGAAGAGAAGAAGAAAUAAUAUAGGCAUGAGAGAGAAGACAAAGUUCGAAAAAUGAAAAGGGUUUUCGUGCUUUGUAAUGAAGACAUAUUAGAUCACUUGUUUCUUUAAUCAAUUUAAAAUACUUUCUAGAGUAUUUACACAUUACCACCGCGUUUUGAAUUAAAUCGGUUCUGCUACAAUCGAUUUUAUAUCCUGUUCUAAUAUAACCAUUUUCCAUUAAUGCAUCCUACCACACACAAGGUUAGUUCGUUAUCAUCUUAGGCCAAGGUAAAACCCCUAAACUAGGAUUUUUUGUUAUUCUUACCACGUACCUCAUCCUUCUUUACUUGAGUCUUGAUGGUUAUUACAAUGUCAAGAUAACUUCCAAUACUUAAUCCUUAUAUCAAUGCGUACACUACGAAAAUCCAAAUAUAAUCCUUCUUGGAUCAAUACCAACCAUUCUUAUUCAAAUCACAUGCACAAAUAAUUUUCCUAAUAACUUAUAAGAUUACAUCAAACACACAAAAUCAAUGAACAUAAAGAAUUGAUUAACUUUAUUAAUCCCGCUCAGUGAAAACAUUCAUUGGCUUAGUGAGUAGUACCUGAAGGUUAACUCGUCCAACAACUAUAAGUCUCACCCAACGACAUUGGCAUUAGAACUUACAAGGAUUAAAUCACCCAAAAUUCACCUAGUGAAGUCUUGUCUUGCCUAGCGAAGUCCUAUCGCGCCCAACUAAGUUAGUGAACUCUUUGACUCUGAAGUCACUCAGGAAGAAUAUCCUCACGCAACGACUACCAAGUCAGUGGGCUCUUUAAAUUUGGCGUCACCUAAUGAUGCAACCCCUCGCCUGGUGAGUAUGCUUAAUUACAAAAAAUGAAAUUAUGAUGAAAAUCAAGACAUGGUAAACUCAAUUCAACAACUUCAUACACACCAUAAACAUACCAAAUUUUGAAUUACAACAGUCCAAUUGAGUUCAAAUCAUUGCAAUUGCAAUAUUACUCCUUACUUUACUUCAAAAUUCAUCUUACAAUCAGAUAAUUUAAUUGAAGAACCUAACCCCCAAUUCAAUAGAUCAUAGAUCAUGCUCAUCAAACAACUCAAUACCUGAAGCAAUGAUCGUACAAUCACUCAAUCAUUAAUUUGAAUAUAUUUAUAACUUAGAAAUACUAUAAUUAGCUUCUCUUACUUGUGAGACCACUCAAGAUGCUUAGAGACCCUAAAAUACCUUUAGACGCUUUUACCUACUCUUAGAAACAACACAAAUUUAAUCAGGAUACAUAACUAAAAGCACCGAUCAACAAACAAUCUUGUAGAUGACUCUAAAGACACAUGGUGGCAAGAUAGACCUACAUGCAAUAGAAGAACAAAUUUAACCUCUAAAUGGGCAGAAAAAUAGUUGACUUAGAUGGAGAAACUGAUCGAACAUGAUUGAAGAACUCAUUGUGAGAAUCAUUAUUGCAAUAUUUUUAAUUUAUCACGUAAUUUAUAAAUAAUUUUUAUUAUUUUUUAUUCUUUGUUUAGUUUUAUUUGAAUUUAUUUUUCUAUUUUCUCUCAAAUAUUUAGCUUAUUCAGCUUAUUCGAUUCUCACAAGUUUGUUAAGAUUUUAAAGCAUUCCGAAUUUCAGAUCUUAAAAUUGACAUAAAUUAAAUAAAAGAAAAUAUAUAUAUCUUUUUAAUAUUGAAUAUUUAAUAAUAGUUUUAGCUUUUGAAAGAAAAUAAUUUAAUUAAUAAUCAAGACAUUACACGAAGAGAUAAAAUGACAGAAAAAAAAUAAAUGUGAAUUUUUAUAUUUAAAAACAAAGACACAAAUACACUGAAACCCGCAACUUGAUCCGUUAUUAUAACUCACAUUAGAUCUUUGAUGGGAAAUCUUGUACGAAUAAUCUUUAUUAUAUAUUAGUCUAUUUCACAUUAUUAUAUAUAGUCAAAUAAUAAUAAUAAUAAUAAUAAUAAACUACUUUUUAAAUUGGGAUUGUGAUUAGAGUCCAAAGACAUAUUGACAAACACAGUGGAAAUACUAUUAAAUGAAUGGUUGGAAAAAUUCAAAGAUUGUCAAAGAAAAAUAUUUGUUCUCUUUCUCCUUUUCUUAAAAAAAACAAGUUUUUCAAACUAAAGUUUUCAGACAAAAUCAUCCAAUAUAGUUUAGUAUCUGGGAAAAUGUUUUAAAAAAUCCAAUUAAAUACCCUUUCUAAUGUUUUUCCUUGAGUAUAGAUUAGAUAAAGUAUUUAUUUAUUAAAUUAUACAAUACAUAUCAAUCUUAUUUGUGAUCAUAUUAAUUAAAAAAUUGUCAGGAAAUAUUUCUAAAUAAGGUAACUCAAUUAGAAAACUCUGGCGCACAUAAUGGAAGUCACGUGCAAAGCAGGAUAACUAUUCAUUAAAUAAUCUAGUCGUAAGAAAAUAUUUUUUUAAAUCAAUGGUAUCACGCCUAAUUUUAUAUUUAUUUCAUUCAACUACAAGAUAAAAUGGUUACAAAAAUAUAAAAUAUUAUAUUUUUUUAAAAAGAAUAAAAUAAAAAAUUAAAAAAAAUAAUAUCAAAUAAAUGAAAAAAAAGUUAAGUAUAUGAAAUAAUUGUUUUUAUUUUUUAAUGCUAAUAACUAUGAUAACAACAUUGACAAUGUUAAAGACUAAUUUCUUAGUCGUUCCACCAUACCACAUAUUUUAAAUUUCUUAACAUUUUUUAUUUAAUUCAAUUCCAAUCAAACUAAUAACAUGUUAUUAAUGUUUGUACAAAGAAAGAAAACAAAGGAUAAUAAUAUCUAAAAGAAAUAAGAGAAAAAAUAAAAAUAUAUAGUGAUAUAUAUAUAUAUAUAUAUAUAUAUAUAUAUAUAUAUAUAUAUUCUUCUCUCUUUUAUUUUUUUUUUAAUCUAUCACACGAAACAGAAUAAAAGGUCAGAUGAUGAUAAUUUUUUUUCUGCCAAAACGAUCUACCAACCCAUGUACUAUUGGCAAGGACACUAAUAAAGGUAGAGCAAUAUUUUAUCACCUCGUGGGUUUAUCUUCUUAAAUAUAUUCACAUCUUUGAAGGAAAGAGACUUCAAGUUUAUAAUACGCAAUGCCACCAUGAUUGUGAAUAUAUAUUAUUUUAUAAUUUAAUCAUAUCAGCGUAAACCUUUUUAUAAUCUUAUUUAACUAUGCAUUAUUAUAAAGAGACAAACAUUAAUUUUUUAAUUAAUUUACUUUAUAAAUUUUAUCCAAGUAAGGUGUGUUAAAAUAGAACUAUACUAUUUAGCUUUUUGGAAAGUUGCAUCCAAUAAAAAAACACGUGUACAACGUGGAAAUGACAAUGAUGAUAUCAAUGGCGUGAGAAGAAUUAUGACGAGUUUUUUUAAUGUUAUCAAUAUGAACCUUAGUGUCUGACAUUCCAGAAAACCUCAUGGGAGAGAUUAAGAAGUCUUUAAAAUGUAAUGGCUUUUUUUAAUAAAAUAAUCAAAGAGAAAGAAGAAAGGAAUAGGAAUGAGUUAUAUAAAAAGUAAAAGAGAAAUCAUACUUUCACAAACAACACUAUUAUUUCUUAUUUUUUGCUUAUUUUUUAAUAAAAAAAUAAUUUGAUAUAUAUAAUUUUUUCACAUUCGUAUGAUACACAUAAGUUUUUUACUUUGGUUUGACACUAUUUUUUUUUUAUCAUUUUCUUUCUAUAAAAAAUAUAAAAAUUUAUUUUUUUAUGAUUAUUUUAUAUUUAGAUUAUCUCUAAAAUGAAGGUAAAAGUAUAUCACCCUAUGAUUAUUCAAAUUAAAAUAUGAUAUUCAUGAUAAUAACACUAGAAUGAUACAACUCAGGCCAAAUAACUAGAUUUCCAUUGAUAAAAGGAAAUCUGCUAAUAAGUCUGCUUAUUAGGGUACAAAAGCUGCAAGAAAGGUAAAAGCACACACGCAGAGAGGCAUGCAUGUAACAUGCAUCUGUUAUUGAAAGGUAAACACAACACAACACCAUGCUUUAGAUAGAGACACUGUUAGGGAUUCCUCUGAAAGUCAUCCCCGGUUCACUGUUAGGAAGAAGCACAGUAUAAGGCAAUUUGAUUGGUCCGGUUCGGUUUCUGAGUUCUUCGUUGUCGUUCCUGUCCGAGAUUUCUUUCUCAAUUUUUGCUAGGUUUCCUGUAAAUUCUUCAAAUAUUUCUUUUGCAUUUUCAUCACCAGUCCAAUUCAGACUGUUCCUUUGUCCAAGAUAUACCUCGUCCGUAGCAUGCGUUGAUAGUAGCUCCAUCACAGUAAGAGCCAUAACAGUCUGGUACUUUGGAGUAAUUGUUUUCAGAAAAGCUUCUUGAGGAUUCUUGGUCAUCUCAUCAUACUCUUCAGUUCCUGCUUCUGGGAUCCAUCUUCGGCUUUGUGUAGGACGGUUCAUGAUAUAACCACCAUAAGGAUACUGUCCAAAAUUAACAGCGGCAUGAAGAGCUGAAGCAAUCCAUAUAAUGGUAGUGCAAAUCUCCACCAGAUCAUUAGAAGUAUCCAUUUUAGGCCAUAGAUCUGCUUUUAAGUCAGCAUGACCCUUCUCCACAGCUUCCUUCCACCAUGCUUGCAAUUCAGUAUCUCCUUGAACUGCUCCCUCUUCUGAAUAGUACAGAUACACAUACUCCUGUACCCACUUCUUAGUAGCAUUCCAUAUUUCUAGUCCAUCAACAGCAUAAGGAUAAUCGUCUAUCGCAAGUCUAAGGCCAUGAGGGGCAGUGAUAUCCUCAACCGCCAACCCUCUAAAUCAAUCAAAAGAAAAAAUAAAGGAGUUAUUUUGAUAACAAGGCCAUAGUUGGACACAUUGAUCUUUCUAAUUUAAUAUGGUUAAUUUACCUUUUGAUGAGAUCCUUUGGUAAAGCUUGCUCAGAGAAAACCCAAUUCUUGUAUACAGCAGAAGACAUCUCCAUAGAAUACGGUCCAGGCAAAAAAGAUUGCUCUAUAAUGCUACCCGCAUUAAUUAGGGAUUUCCUGGCAAGUGAAUUGAUAUUUAAUGUGUCACGGAAGUGAGGAUGAAGGAGUUUAUAAAUGGGGUGAAGUACACUGAGAUUCCUGUGUGUUGCUAUGGCAAAUGGCUCCAUCACUGCAUGAGUAUGUAACCUGUGACAGGCAACAGAAAAGUUACGAGAUAAAAUUUCAUACUACAUGUUUGCAUAUGUAUAUAUGUGUAGGAUGUAAAAGAGUUCGAGCACCAAGCACUCCUUUAAUUAAAUAGAUUAUUUAUUGUUGAUCUUGCAGAUGUAUGUUGGUAUAUACCAGUGGCUAAUGACUUGAUGAUAGUUGGUGUCAUUUACAGUAACAUGAGCUUUGGCCAGUUGCCAAAUUGUACUUUCAACACCUUUAUCUGCAGGCAGCACCACUCUAGUCUCGACAUUCGGAUGAUCAUGUGGCUUGCUUAAUUCAAUAGCAAGUGGUUUCAAUGUCCCAUCAUCUUUCAAGAACAAGAAUGUCCUGGUGGCAUAAGCCUUUGCAGAAGGAAGCUCAUUUAUCUUCGUCAAAUACGCCAUGAAUGCGUCAUAGUAAUCCAAUAUGAAUAAUCUCCUAUCAGCAAAUGCCUGUUCCACAAAUUUAAGUUUAGUGAUCACUUUGUUAAUAUCAUAUACCUUUGAAUCACAAACAGUAUCACUUCAUAUCCCUUUAUAUAGGAAAGAAUAAUUCCAUAUCCAAGUAUUUAGAGGAAGUGUUGAACUUUGUAUUUCUAUGAUAUCAAAUUGUUUCUGCUUACUUCAUGUAUAUUAUUACCUCGUCUACUUUGACCCCAUUCAUGUUAAUCUCCAAAGUUUCUUUUGUUACUGUACUUCGUGAUUUGUUCCCUGGCAAUGCGAGCUCCUCCUUCUGCCAUUAAUAAAGAUGUCCGAUAAUCAGAAAGAAAGGCCAUGACAAUAGAAUAAUUCAGCAUAUAAAAGAUCUCUGUAUAUGAAAAAUAAAAGUAAUAUCUGCACUUACUUUAAGAAGGCGAAUUACAGCAGGGUUUACACCGGCAAUCAUCUCUCUUGCGAACUCUUCAUCAGUAUUCCAUGCAAACUUGCUUUCUAUAGAAAAUUAUAACAAAGAAAAUACAAUUUACAAAGGUGUAAUGUUUGGAAGUAGUUACGCCGGAGUGUGAAAUAGUUACCUUUAAUUACACCGGGUGUUGGGAAAUCAAUGACACUCGGGGUACCGUUGGCAGUGAUAGAGAGAGGCAGACCAACUCCACCUUCAUACAUUUUAUCCACUUCUUCGAAGCCAUUAAAUUCAUUUGAUGUGAUCUUUAAAUAUAAAGAAAGGAGCAAAGGUUCGACUCUUGCAGCUAAAUUUGUCCUUCCUAAUGAAAGGAAUUCUACAGUCUUCUCCUGACUGAAAUAUUCAUCUCUUGGCACAUAAUUAACCUCGUCUGGUACCUCGUAUUCUUCUCCUGUCAAGACAUAAAUUAAGCAUAUUUAGAGACUUUUAUCAUCCACAAUUCAUUAGACCAUGUGAUUAAAACAUGAUAAAAUGUAACUCACCAUUUCUUUCGAUGAGGGGUCUCCCCGUCCUAAGCCUACGAGGGUAGGGAUAUUUGAGACCUCCAAGAACUGGGUGAUCUUGUGGUCCAUCGCUUUCAAGAAAGCCCAGAUCAUUAUAGACAUCAUAAUCAUAAAUCCUAUCCCAUUUCUCACGCUUUCCUUUUCCAUCUCCCCUUAAAUUCUUCAACUCUUCUUCUCUGUAAGCUUUUAAUUGCUCCGGUGUCUUAGCAGGAAGAUAUGGCUGCAAUGCAUAUUUUUUCAUAAAUAUAUAGUUUUCUCAUGUAAAUUUUAAAAAUGGAAAUAACAAAGACUUACAAUGUUAGCAAAGAAAAUGCGAUCCGUCUUGUAAAACUUAUGGUUGUAAACCCAGGAGUUACAGUCAAAGUGAAUAUAGUUCUGGUCGUGGUUAUGGUCGUGCUCAUUUCUUUGAGUUGGAUAUUCAAGAGUCACACUAACAAGUAAAAACUCCUGAUCCAUUAGGCUUUUUACGUAAAAUGCUCCUGGAAUUCCCAUUUCUUNAUCAUCCCAUUCAAAAUAAAUAUCAAAUUCCUCCNCUCUCUCUCCCNANGUUCGUNACACAGAAAUAUUNUUUUCCANAUANGUUUNCUUUCCAACUUUCCCAGCNGAANCUAAAACUGCAAAUGAAAACAAAUCAAAAUCCAACAAUAACGAGAAAAAGUACAAGUUCAAGGAAUGCAUAGAUUCUUUUUGCAGUAUCAUUGCAGAAAGAAACACACAAGAAAGAAGAAACACUGACGAUUGUUUGAGUUGGUACGACUGAUCAACUUGAAAGACACAGAUUUAGUGAAAUCAAGUUGGGAUGAUGAGUCAAUGAUGGUUUUGCCAGUGGCAAAGAUACCCUGGACAGUGCUCAUGGUUUGAACAACAUUUUUCCGGAUCAAUACCACCCUCCCCUUCACCAACUUCUUCCUUUCCACUAUUAUUAGACUCAUUGCUAUAGCAAGGAUAUAUAAUUUCUGUGCUUGAUAUCUGAGAUUUGUGAGGUGUGAGGAAGCAAUGUAAUCUCGGGUAUUUAUACACGAAACUAUGAAAAGAUUUAAUGAAUAAACCAACCCAGUUGGAAAAAUGUCAAAGAAUAAAUACAAGCUUAAUUAAUUCUCUACUGUGAACAAAAACAUGAAACUCAUGGAAAGCACCAAAAAUGUUUACCCGUUAAAAAAUUUGUGUGAAUAUGAGGUGUUUCCACGUUAAACUUAUGUGAUAACUAUUCUAUUGAAAUGAAGUUAAAAAUAGAGUCCUAUAUAUCCCAUUAAAGCUGUCUUGUUCUUCUGCCAUUCAUUUCCUGCAGUCCCAUUUUUCAUGAACUAGUUUUUUCAGCAGUAAUAGGUUGACACAAUAACACGGGAUUUUUUAAAUUUUUAUUUAAAAAUGAUCUUUUGCUUUUAAUUUUUGUUUAAAAAAGUGGGUUCCAUGCGUGUUAUAUGAAUGUAAAUCAAGUUGAACUAUUUUUAAUCUUUUCAGAAAUAGCCCUUGAGAGUGUGAAGUUGCAUGUGUGCACUGACAUACAGUGAAUUCAAACAUCGUGUGCACCGGGACAAACAGAAACCAAUUUGGAUACGUUACUGUGGAUAAUCCUUUUUUACUUUUUACUCUUUUUUUUUUCUUUUAAAAAAUAUAAAAGUUUAACCUUAUAUAACUAUUUUACUCUAAUAUAUAAAUAUAUCAGGUUACCAUUACUCUAAAUUAAAACAUACCUUUUAUUUUAUUAAAACAUGAUUUUAUAUAAUUUUUUAAAUUUAAUAUAUUGCAAGAGAUUUCACCUUAAAUCAUAUACUUACUCGAAAUUAUCACAUCCCUCUUUCAAAUUUAUUUAAUCUCUUGUACUGAAAUCACCACAUUAUAUAUAUAUAUAUAUAUAUAUAUAUAUAUAUAUAUAUAUAUAUAUAUAUAUAUAUAUAUAUAUAUAUAUAUAUAUAUAUAUAUAUAUAUAUAUAUAUAAACGUAUAUAUUUACAAUUAUUAUUUUUAAUUUCUUUUUAUGUAAUUAUAUUCUAAAAAAAUCAAUUAUAUAAUAAGUAACUAGGAAAAUCGCUUACGUUUAUUACUUAAUAAUUUUAUUGGAUUAAAAUUAUUAGAUCAAGUAAUAUUUUGUUAUAGAUUUUAAAAUGUGAUUUACUUGCAUGGUUCAUUCUAAAAUCUAAAAUUUUUAGAAAGUUAUAUUUAAUUUGCAAUUAUCUAAGAUUUUGGAAGAAAGGUUGGGAAGUGUCAUAUUAUUUUCCUUAAUUACCAGAAUUCGUGUUUUGGUAGACAAUUUUGAGUUGGAACCUAACAUGCUAAUAAAAUUUAUAAUUGAUUUUGGUAAUUUUCUGGUUCGGAUGACAUUUAUAAUUGUCGUGACGAGUGCAACCUUCUUCUUCUUGUAAUUGUAACUUUUAUAUAUUUAUUGAAAAUUUAAAUGUAAGUCUAAGUUUUACAUUGAGUAAAAAAUGAAAAAGUUAAGCACAGUAUAAUAAUAAAGAUCAUAAAUGUAUCUUUUUAAGAUUUUGAAUUAUAGGUGAUAUUAUGUGGAUUAAACUUAUGUAUGGUAUUGUAUUAAACUUCUACAUGAACUAUAUUUUAAGUCCAAAAUUGCUUUCAUAACUCUUCACAUUCCAUUCUUGCCCUCAAUUUCCAUUUUCCAAAUAAUGCAAUAUUAAAUAACCUUAGGUUUUUAACUCCUAAUCCUCCAAACUCUUUUGGUUUGCAAAUAUUAUCCCACUUAAUCCAUGCAAUCUAUAGUUUCACUAGCCACCAAAACACUAUCCAAUAGCCUUUGUCCUCCAAAAAAUGCAGAUUAGGUAUGAUCAAUUAUGUUAUGUAAAACCAAUUUCAACCUUAGAGAAAAGCUUUUAGAUAUGAUUUUGUAAAGGCAUCCUACUAGAGAAAUGGGUUAUUAACAUGAUAUCAGAGUUAUAGUUAGAGUCUAUCCUAACGAUAUUUGUUAUUUGUUGGACAUAUUGUUUCACCCGCUAUUUAGCCGCUAUCAGACCAUCCAUUAAUGUCUAAUCUUACACUCGACAUGUAUAUACUUCGCCAUAAUGGGUGUGUGUUGGAAGUCUCAACCAGAUAAGGCCAAUUUAGAAUAUAUAAGUGGGUAGAUGACAUACUUCGCCAUAAUGGGUGUGUGUUGGAGGUCUCAACCAGAUAAGGACAAUUUAGAAAUAUAAAUGAGUAGAUGACGAUUUUGUGAAAUUGAGUUAGGGUUAAAGUUUAAUUCUUAACAGAUAUUAAUGCAAUAAAUGAUGCAUUAGAGCUUUUGGAAACUUACCUUGGAAAUUAUGAACGGCCUUUAAAAUCCCCUUUGAUUAUUUUCCAUAAAUAAUGCAAUAUUAAAUUUAAAAUUUAAAUCUUGUUUCAAGGUUGUAAAUGGUCUAAGGCCCCAAUCUACAUGUGUGAUGUGAAGUAAUUAAAUCCUUUGGAAGUUUCAUAUUAUCUCCUUUAAGUAAUAUUGGAGUGUGAUGUGAAUUGGUGUAAGUUGAAUCCUAACAUACUAUUCAAACUUAAGACGAUUUUGGUAUAUAUUUUGGCGUUGUUAGGAAUGUUGCAAAAUCUCAGUGUCUUAGAGUGUAUUGUUCGACAAUUCAAUUCAUGUUAAUUGGUUUUCCGAUAACAAAGCCACAAAGUCUUCUAAAACUUGUUGGAUGGAUUAUGAACACGUGAACUCCGAAUCAAUUUUUGUUGGUUAUUGAAAUCAUUUAUAUUCAUAGAAAUAAUACAAUUGUACGAAAUAAUUAUUUUUAAAUGAAAAAUUCAUAUACUUUUUUCUAGUAAAGAAUAUGCUAUUAUAUCUUAUUAAAUAAGAAAAAAAAGUUACAAAUUAAAAAAUGAAAUUCUUUAAAUAAAAAGUAACACUAAAAGUAAAUAAAAAUGUAUUCCUCAUAAUUUUAAUUUUAUUUUUAGUUUUAAAGUCAAAAUAUAUUUUUAGUCUUUAAAUUUUUACUCGAAAUUAAUUUUUUUAUAUUGUUUAAUAUAUUUCAGUUUAAAUGUUGACCUGAAACUACAUAAUAAACUUAAAAAAAUUAACCUUGUUAAAAAAGUUAUAUACCUCUUUUAAAGUUUGAAAAUUAAAAUAUAUCAAAUUUGUGAUAUAUGAUAAGUAUGAAUUUUAAUUUUACGUCAAAAUUUAAAAAUUAAAAUCAUAUUUAGCCUUUAAUUAAAAAAAAUUAACCUAGAUUAAAAAAUUAUAUUUAUUCCUUAUAAAAUUUGAGAAUAAAAAUAUAUUAAAUUUAUAAUUUGUGAUAGAUAUAAAUUUUAAUUUUAUUUCAAAACUUAGAAAUUAAAAUUAUAUUUAAUCCUUAAUUUUAUAAGAAAUAAAUUAAAAAAAUUAACCUAGAUAAAAAGAUUAUAUUUAUUCCUUAUAAAAUCUGACAAUAAAAAUAUAUCAAAUUUAUAAUUUGUGAUAGAUAUAAAUUUUAAUGUUACUUCAAAACUUAGAAACUAAAAUUAUAUUUAAUCUUUAAUUUUAUAUUUAUAAAUUAUGAACAUUUUUAAUUUGACUUUUAACAAUAGAAAAAAUCUUAUGUAUUUCUUUAAUAUAAAAAAAGUGAACUAAUUUUUAAUAUACUUGACUUUAUUUUUUUUUAAUUACUAGUAAAAUUAUUCUUAAAAAAUAUAUUUUAGUAUGGAAGUAAAUUUAUAAUUACAUGGAAAGAUAGAACUUUUUUUCUUUACGUAAUUAAAUAUUAGAGUAUAUAUCUUAUGUAUCAGCGUGAUCAUAGGCUGUUUUGCAACUUAAAAACCAAAGUAAAACUUCUUAAAUAAAUUGAUAAUUUAUUAGAUUAUGAUAUCUUAAUAACUUUUGUGUAAUAAUUUUUUAAUAAUAAAUUAUAAUAUACUAUUUUAUUGAUUUAUAUAUUUAAAACACAUCACGAGCUCCCAUUAGAUAUUAUAAAAAAGUUUUAAGAAAAAAGAAGUUGUUAAGAAAACAUUUUUCUUUCUUAAAUCAUAUUGAAAACAUGUAUAUUGAUUAUUUGUUACGUAUCAGUGUGAUCACUGGCUGUUUUCUUUUACCACGUUUAAAACCCGCUGUUUUCUUUUACCACGUUUAAAACCCUUGUCCUUAGUAAUUUAAAAGGUAUUUUCUUAUUGGGAGUAUCAAUGAUAUGUGCCACGUCACCAAUUCACUUCAUUUUAUAUAUUGAUUUAGAAAGAAAAUUACAUAUUUUAUUAACUUGUUUUAACAUGUUUAUAAUUUCUUAAAUAUAUUGUUUUCAAAUAUUAUUUAAUUGGUAUCUCAAAUCAAAAUAAACAGUUAACAUUUAUAAAUUUAAUCUAUGUUAUUAUAUGUUGUGAGUGAAAGUUAGUCUCAAAAUAGAAAAAUUGUAACAUUCUAAUAUAGAAACUAUAUAAUAUAAAAAUCAUUAAAUAUAACAUUAUAAAACAGUUAAAGACUUGUAAUAAAGUAUUAAGCUUACAGUCAUUCAAAAUGACUAUAAAUUUAAAACUUUAUGUAUAAAAGAGUAUUUCAAAACUAUACAUAACAACUAAGAAAUCCUACUAAACUAGGCAGCAGCGUCAUCACCUCCAAGGCCUGCUCUAGAGACACAUCAUCUACCUCUAUUUGUACAUCCAAAUGGAUGUUCAUUGCAAAAGGAAAACACAACACUAAGAACAUACAAUCACAAGCAGAAGGUGAGCUAGGUAUACAAAAUCAUACAAGUAUAAUAGUACACAACAUACAUGUUUCAUUCAAGUAAAGUAAAAUAAAUUGCACAUCCUAGCAUGUUAUAUUCUAGACUUGACUCGUUUGGACGUAGAAUGAUAAUCGAGCUAUGGCGAGUCAUGCACUCGUGGUGGUCUCUACUGCUUUGCAAAACUGUUACCAAUGGAUUUCACUCUACCACACUCACGAGGUUAGCUGUUCCGGACGUUGAGGCAUACUAGAAGCCUCAAAACAUGUUUCCAAAAGAGUUUGGUAGAUCCAAAGGUUCAGUGGAAAGCCAUCAGCCCAGUGGCAUGUCUCAGAAAUAGAUCCACUAGGUGAUCUGCAAGCAAGACACAAUACAAUAGUCCGAAAGGUUUGUAUUGAUUCACACACUCCACUCACUUCUUCCUCAUAAUAAAACAAAAAUUCCAUGACUAUUAAUAGCUUCUUAAAUUUUAGAGCAAAAAUAUUGUCAUUCUAUUACAAGUAAUCCUAUGACAAAAACCACUUUAAAGCUCAUCCAAACAUGAAUUCAGAUUGAUUGAUAAUCUAAAGAUUAUAGAAAAUUAAACUCAAAACUAAGUUCAAAACUUGGCCUACAACAAUUUUGAGAAGUGCUAUUCUAAUUCCGGUAUCACUCUGCUCAGAAAUCUUCAUCUGCACUCUCACCAACUCCCCCAUCGUCCCCACGCGCUUGCUCCCCUUCGACGACGAUGUUUUGAGCCCCAGAGCCCUCUUCACCUUGCUCGUCGUCGUCGAAGUCAGCGACCGAUGCAACGACGGCGCCGGCAUCCCCUAUCGUGAUCCCCCCUCUCCGACUGUGAUAUGAACGUCAACGGCUUCGGCCCCGAACUCCGGCAGGCCGCGACUUGGAUCUCAUACGUCGUCCUCGCGCGCUUGCUCCCCUUUGACGACGACGUUUUGAGCCCCAGAGCCCUUUUCACCUUGCUCGCCGUCGUCGAAGUUAGCAAUCGAUGCAACGAUGGCGGCGGCGGCGCCCUAUAACGAUUCCCCCUCUCCGACUGCGAUGUGAACGCCAGCAGCAUUGGCCCCAAACUCCGGCACGCCGCAACCAGGAUCUUGUACGCCGUCUCGCGAAGCUUCGAUUAUGAAAAAUACGGAGCAGGGUCGCCAAACAGAGCUCCAGCAAGUUCCUGAAUUGGGUGUGCCGGUAUGGCCCUCUAAUGGUGUCUCUUUCUGGACAUUUGGAUCUGGAUAUGUUUCUCGGGAAUAACCUAUGGUUUUGAUCGGCCAAAACGGAUCUCCCAUGUCUAUGUCUGUUUGUCCUUGAAACGGAUUGUGCAACAUUUAAGAGAAGAAAACCGAAUGGAGAACGGAUCUCAAAAGCUUAUUAGAACUGAGGGUAUAUACUGCUCUGAUAGAAAAUAAGAGAGGGUAAAUCUUUAUUUGAUAAUGAAAGAUAGCUUAUAUAAGCUUUACAAUGAAACUGAAAAAGUUAAAGUGCGCAUACUGCACAGCAGAUAAAUAGGAGAAGUGACUAGACACUCCUAAUAUCUAGUUAUUAAAAGACUGAGUCACCCUAUAAAGUAGNGAUCUUUUACUGACAUGAAAUUUAAACAACAAAAUUAAACUUAAUAUUAACAUACCCUCCCUUAAGCUAUAAUAGUUAUAUUUAGCUUAUAUCAGUAACUUCUAUGACCCCAAGCAUACGUCGGAUCCUUUCAAAUUGAUCAAGCUUUAAUGCCUUCGUCAUUAUGUCUGCUGCUUGCUUAUCAGAGGAGCAAUAGAUCAAGCGAAUUAUGUGAUCAUGUACUAAUUCUCUAAGAAAGUGAAAUCUCACUACAAUAUGUUUACUUCUUCCAUGAAAGACAGGAUUCUUGGAUAAUUGAAUGGUGGAACUAUUGUCACAUAGAAUUUUUGUUGCUUCCUUUUCUUUUGACCCAAGAUGCUCUAAGAUUCGUCGAGUCCAAAUGCAUUGACAAGCGCAAAAUGCUGCAGUAAUGUAUUCAGCCUCAGUAGUAGAUAAACUUACCACGAGCUGUUUUUUUGAUGCCCAUGAGACAACUCCAUUUCCGAUUAAAAAUACCGAACCGAAAGUACUUCUUCUGUCAUCUAAAUCUCCAGCAUAGUUGUUGUCACUAUAAGCUGUUAGACCACUAUAUGUUCCUUUUUGAUAAAAUAUGCCAUAUUCAAUAGUACCUUUGAUAUAUCGUAGGAGCCUUUUGAUUGCAGCCCAAUGUGACUCCUUUGGGUUUGCCAUGUAACGACUGAUUAAGCUUACUCCAAACAUUCAGUCUGGUCGGGUAACUGUUAAAUACAUGAGGCUUCCAACUGCUUGUUGGAACUUUGUGGCAUCCACAGCAGCACCUUGAUCAUCUUUGGACAAUAUUGUACCUGGUACGAUGGGGUUUCGUACAGGGUUACUUUUGGUCAUGUUGAAUCGUUCUAGCACUUCACGAGCAUAUUGUCUUUGACAGAUAAAAAUUCCUGUGUUACUUUGUAUAACUUCAAUGCCAAGGAAAUGUCUCAUUUUACCCAAAUCAGUCAUUUCAAACUCUCUCUUCAUUGAGUUUUUGAACUCAUUACACAAACAGUUACUAUUUCCAGUGAAGAUCAGAUCAUCAACAUAGAGACUAAUAAUGAGAAUAGUACCUUUAGUUCUUUUCGUGAAGAGCGUGUGUUCACUGGAGCAUCUUUCAAAUUUCUCUUUUACGAAAUAAGCUUCAAUCUUGCUAUACCAAGCUCUUGGAGCCUGUUUGAGGCCAUACAAUGCUUUUUUGAGUCUCUAGAUUUGAUUUUCACUACCUUUUUGGAUGAAGCCUACUGGUUGUUGGAAAAAAACUUCUUCGUGAAGUUCUCCAUGUAAGAAUGCACUUUUUACAUCAAGCUGAACCACAUCCCAUAUAUUUUGAGCAGCCAAUGCUAGUAAUAUUCUUACCGUGUCAAGUUUAGCAACAGGAGCAAAUACUUCUGUAUAAUCAACUCCAUACCUUUGAGCAUAACCUUUGGCCACUAGUCUAGCUUUGUACUUCCCUAUGUGACCAUUUUCAUUGAAUUUGGUCUUGAAGAUCCAUUUAACACCAAUAGGUGUGACCCCUUUUGGAGGAUCUACCAACUCCCACGUAUGAUUCUUUUCAAUUGCUUUCAUUUCUACCUUCAUAGCUUCCCUCCAUUGUGGACUUUUACAGGCUUCUUCAUAGGAUUGAGGAUCUUUAGAGUCUGUAAUCAUCAUUGCUUGUAAAUUUGCUUCAUCUACCGAGAGAUGAGUUUCGUAAUCAGCCAUCCAUAUAGGUUGCCUUCGCGUUCUUGUGGUUCUACCUUCAAUUGGGGAAUCAUCUUGUUCAGAAUUUGAGGUUGAUUCGGGUUCGGGUUCCAACAUUUCUAGGUUAUCAACAUUACUGGAUGUUACUUCGUUUGAUGGAGACUCUAUAUUCCCAUUGUCGGUGGCUGCUUCAUUUUCCCAGUCAAGAAUUGUGCUUUGCUCUACAUUUUCAUUCCAAUUCCAACUUUUGUCCUCUUCGAACACCACAUCCCUACUCACAAUUACUUUUUUUGUAACAAGAUCAAAACAUUUGUAGGCUUUAGAUUUGUCACUUACUCCCAAUAAGAUGCAUGGUUGGCUUUUGUUAUCAAGUUUGCUACAUUUUUGAUCUGGAACAUGAACGUGAGCAAUGCACCCAAACGUUCGAAAAUAAUCAACUCGAGGUUUGACACCGCUCCACAUCUCUUCGGGAGUUUGUUGAUUAAUGGCAGAAGUGGGACUUCUGUUCUGAACAUGUACACACCAUCGCACCGCUUCAGGCCAGAAAGGUUUGGGCACCUGUUUGUCAUGUAAAAUAGUACGGACAACAUUCAUGAUAGUGCGAUUUUUGCGUUCUGCAACUCCGUUCUGUUGAGGGGUGUAGGCUGCCGUCAAUUGCCUUGUAAUUCCUUGUUGAGUACAAAAUUCUGCAAAUUCUUUGGACGUGAAUUCACCACCUCGGUCUGUUCUGAGACAGGUGAUGUAAACUCCUGCUUCCUUCUCAACACUGGCUUUGAAGCUUUUGAAAAUAGCGAAGGUCUCAGACUUUUCAUGUAAAAAAUAAAUCCAAGCUUUACGCGAGUAAUCAUCGAUAAAACUAAGAAUGUACCGUUUGUUGCUAUGUGAGGCUGGUGAAAUAGGACCGCAAAUGUCGGCGUGAAUCAAUUGAAGCUUUGUCNAAGCUCUCCAUGAACUUUGCUUUGGUAUAGGAUCUCUAUGUUGUUUACCACUAAGACAGGCAGUGCAAAUUGUUCGAGGAUGUUUUAUUAGUGGUAACCCAAUCACCAUUUUCUUCUUUGCAAGAAUGCUUAAUCCGUGAAAAUGAAGAUGCCCAAAGCGUUUAUGCCACAGAUGCAUUUCCUUCUCUGAUUCGUCCUCAGCGUGGAGACAACUGGAAUGUUGAGUAGGCAUUGAAGCUGAGAGAUGGAACAUUUUAUUACCCUUCAUGUUGGUGUGAAGAAUUAGGCCUCGCUCGGGAUGAAAAAUUUUGCACGUAUCAUUUUGAAUUAGGAUAGCUAACCCUUUCUCCUGGAGUUGCCCUAGACUUAAGAGAUUUGUCUUAAGCUCAGGAACAUAAUAAACAUCUGAAAUAGUGUGAAAGGUGCCAUCAAUUUGAACACGAAUGGUUCCUUUUGUAGCGACAACCAUUGUAGUGUUGUUCCCAAGUUUGACAGUUCUACUGAAGUCUUCUUCCUGUACUUCUGUGAACCAGAGUUUAUUUCCGGUCAUAUGGUUGCUACAGCCUGAGUCUAGAAACCAAUCUUCUACAUGAGCAGAUUGGGUUACCUCCUCGUAUGCCACUAGUAGGAGUUCUUCUUCAGCUUCUGUUUCUUCUUCACAUGUUGCAUAAUGAGCUUUUUUUGCCAUCUCAGGACACUCGUAUUGAAAAUGACCUAGCCUAUGACAUUGAAAGCAUUCAAUAAGCGCUCUGUUUAACGAUUGUCUCCCGCGACCUCUCCCACGGCCGCGUCCACUUCUGCCUUGUGCUCGGCCAGCUCCAAAUUUGACAUCAUGAGUGACUUUUAAUACUUGUUCUUCUGGUUGAAGAUUUUUCAUUCUUUGUUCAUGGACGAGUAGACUUCCAUGAAGUUCAUCAAUACUCAAAGUGCUCAAAUCGUUAGACUCCUCGAUCGAACACACCACGUAAUUAAAUUUCGAGGUUAGUGAACGCAAUACUUUGCUAACCACUGUGUUGGAGUCUAUCUUCUCACCAUUGGAUUUCAUCUUGUUAACGAUACUGAGCGUGCGUCCCAGGUAGCUAUCUACCGUCUCACCAUCUUUCAUGCCCAAUAACUCGAACUCGCGCCGCAAUGCUUGGAGUUGGGCGCGUUUUACUCUCGUCGAUCCUUGAUACUUUUGUUGCAUGGACUGCCGUAUGGCCUUUGAUGUGCUUUUGUCCAAGAUAGUUUUGAGAAUCUCUCGAUCAAUGGCCUGGAACAGGUAGUUCUUCACUUUUAGGUCGUUCAGAGUUGCCUCGGUCACAUUUUUCUGUUGGGCUUCAGUGGGCAUGGCUCCAAACACAGGUACGCCCUCUUCUACAAGCUGCCAUAAUUCCUUGCUUCGUAGGAAGUUUUCCAUUGUCAUGGACCAGAAAUCAUAAUGGCCAUCAAACCUAGGUAUGGCUGGUUGCACAAAUUUCUCUGAGAUAGACAUCCUUUACACUCUCACUCUUGGAUUGUUUAUGAUGCUCACACUUAAUUUCUCACUCUCUGUAUCAGGCGAACUUUCUCACUCACACUUAAUUUCUUACUCUUUGUAUCAGGCGCACUUUCUCACUCUCUGUAUCAGGCCCCUUUAGAGCUCUGAUGCCAAAUAUUAGAACUGAGGGUAUAUACUNNNNNNNNNNNNNNNNNNNNNNNNNNNNNNNNNNNNNNNNNNNNNNNNNNNNNNNNNNNNNNNNNNNNNNNNNNNNNNNNNNNNNNNNNNNNNNNNNNNNNNNNNNNNNNNNNNNNNNNNNNNNNNNNNNNNNNNNNNNNNNNNNNNNNNNNNNNNNNNNNNNNNNNNNNNNNNNNNNNNNNNNNNNNNNNNNNNNNNNNNNNNNNNNNNNNNNNNNNNNNNNNNNNNNNNNNNNNNNNNNNNNNNNNNNNNNNNNNNNNNNNNNNNNNNNNNNNNNNNNNNNNNNNNNNNNNNNNNNNNNNNNNNNNNNNNNNNNNNNNNNNNNNNNNNNNNNNNNNNNNNNNNNNNNNNNNNNNNNNNNNNNNNNNNNNNNNNNNNNNNNNNNNNNNNNNNNNNNNNNNNNNNNNNNNNNNNNNNNNNNNNNNNNNNNNNNNNNNNNNNNNNNNNNNNNNNNNNNNNNNNNNNNNNNNNNNNNNNNNNNNNNNNNNNNAUAUAUAUAUAUAUAUAUAUAUAUAUAUAUAUAUAUAUAUAUAUAUAUAUAUAUAUAUAUAUAUAUAUAUAUAUAUAUAUAUUUCUAACAAUUUAUUAAAUUAUAGUGUGUCUUUCUUAAUUGUCACGGAAAUUGUUUGUAAUUGAAUCUAUAUUAAACUUUUGAACUAUUUUUUUAAUAUAUAUUGUUAUAUAAUGAGUCAAAAAUUCAUCUUUUAUAGCUAAUAUUGUGACGAAGUAUUAACUAUAAUCAUAGCAGAAAAUUUCUAGACACUUAUUUUGAUUUUAAAAAAUUACUAGUUCCAUAAUUAAAUUAGAAUAAUUAAUUCUAUCGAUCUAAAUAAUAAAUUAGUAUUACCCUUUUCAUAUGCAAGACCUAUAAUUCAAAUAUUAAUAUUUGGUGUCCCUUGCAUGGAUAUCUAUUGUUAUCGAGUCUAUGUAAGAUAUUCAAUUUUGAUCCUGUUUUUAUAUUGUUUGUUUAUAGAACAGUUAUAUUCUCAUUUGAACUUUAACUUAGUUAUUAAAGGAAGUGAUACUAGUAAAAAAUCGAUCUUUUACCACACACAUUAUGUCGUGAUUCAAUAGAAACCGAAACAUAAUAUAGAAAUCGAUCUAUUGUCAUUGUAUUUUGUAAGUCGAUUAUAUUGUUUGAUUUUGAAUGGUUACAUUCUCAUUUGAACUUUAACUUAGUUAUCAAACGAGGGAAGUGAACGUAGGUUUAUUUCUCUCCAUUAAAAAAAAUAAUAACAAACAUUUAUCAAUAAAAAAACAAAAGAAAUAUUUUAUAUUGAUAUUUAAGUAAUUGUAAUUCAAGUGGAUGACACUCUUUUUUUUAAAGAGUUACAAUACCAAGUACUCUAUUAUUAUAUUUAUUAUUUUUUUCUGAUAAAAAUAACAUAUUGUGUAUUAUUCAAUUAAGAUAAGUAAUAAAGUAAAUUUUAUUUAAUUGAUAUCUAAAUUACAAUUUUAUUAAUAAAUCAUACUAACUUUUUAAAAAAUAGUUAAAAAGUGUAAAAGUAUAUUUAAAUAAUUUAGCUGUUUAUAGAGUCGACUUAAUUAUUCUAAACUAUGUUAAUAAAUUUAAAUUUUUAAUAAAUAUAUAUUUAUAUUAAUAUCACAUUAAUAGAGUUUGAUUAAAUGUUGAACACUGACAAAAUUAGUAUGGUUAAUUGUUUUUUGUUAAGUAAGAAUAUGAAACAUUUCAAUUUAACUUUUUAUAACUCAAUAAUAUGUUAUAAGAUUCAUAAAACAAAACAUAUUUAUUUUAAUUUAUAUAUAUAAUAUUAAUGCAAUUAUUUAAAAGAAUAAUCUUAUAAUAAUAAAUAUAUUUAAAACUACUACGAAGAACUAUUAAUAGAUGAAUAAGAAGAUGACUUCGUUACAUCAUCGUCUUCCAUCAUAGAUGCUUUAACAUAUAUUCCUCAUCUACUCACACUAAUAAGGUGAGUAUCACAAAAGAAACAAACAUAAACACAUGAAACAACAAAGUAAGUUGAUAUAGAAAGAGUUUUCAUAAACAAUUAAAUCAUAUAGAUACACACAAGGUAAGCUAGUUAAAAAAGAAGAAGAAAAUAUAAAUAACCCAACACACUAAAUAGCAUGUUAAACUUCAUCGCAUCACUUUCACAUAUUCAUACAUGAAAUCAGAUCCAACCAUGCAUUUCUGGUGACAAAUAUAUAUAUAUAUAUAUAUAUAUAUUGCUCUACCGAGCUGACACACAUGGUUAGUCUCUGUCACAGUCAUAAGAACCCUGAAGUCUUCCCUAUGGCAGGACCUCUUGCCACUCUCACCACCCAACCAUCCUCCUUUACAUGAGUAUGAAUGAUUAGUAGAGUUUAGGAUGACCAAACAAAAAUGAACCGUCCUUAUCUCAAUUCACACCCAAGUGAAACACAUUCAACGGGAUUCCCUUCUUGGAAAUUCGCUAUAAUCCAUCCAUUCAUACCAGUAUUUCACUUUAAAAAACCAAAUACAACAUUUACCACACAUUAAACACAUCAUAAGAGACAUAUGAAAAUUUAGUUAAAACUUUGAUAUUUUCGCUUAGCUAGAAUAUCUACCCGAUUAGUAAAUAGUGCUUGACAACAACCAGAUAGCUCGCUUAGCGAGAAUAACACUAAAACUUAUAGACUUAAUUUCUCACAAAAGUCGUUCAGUGGGUAUAUUCUUGCCCAAUGACUGUCAAGUGAGUGAACUCUCUAACUUUGGUCUCGCUUAGUGACUACUAAGUCAGUAGCUCUCUGACUUCAACUUCGCCCAACAAGUAUAUCCUCGUCCAACAAGUCUGCAUAAUUUUGCAAAACCUAAUUUAUGAUAAUUUAUGUCAUUCCAACUCUACAAAGCAGUUCAACCACAACCGCAAAUGCAAGAACAUACUAACUACCAUAUUGUACACAACUCAAUGAUUUAAUUCAUCUCAAUUGCAAUUUUAACCAUAUACCAAUUUCAAAGUACAAUGCAUGUAAGCCAAAUCAAUUUUAACUAAACUCAACAUAUCAUAUUUCACCAAAUAACUCAAUUACACAAACCAACGAUCAUAUAAGCAUAUCAUCAACGAUAAUGGUGAAUGGCUUGGAAGAGACAAGUGUUUCAUUGUUUUUCGUUGGGAAGAGAAGAAGAAACAAUAUAGGCGUGAGAGAAAAGACAGUUCGAAAAAUGAAAAGGGUUUUCGUGCUUUGUAGUGAAGAAGACAUAUUAGAUCACUUGUUUCUUUAAUCAAUUUAAAAUACUUUCUAAAGUAUUUACAAAUUACCACCACGUUUUGAAUUAAAUCGGUUAUGCUACAACCGAUUUUAUAUCCUGUUCUAAUAUAAACAUCUUCCACUAAUGCACCCUACCAUCCACAAGGUUAGUUCGUUAUCAUCUUAGGCUAAGGUAAAACUCCUAAACUAGAACUUUUUGCUAUUCUUACCACAUACCUCAUCCUUCUUUACUUGAGUCUUGAUGGUUAUUACAAUGUCAAGAUAACUUCCAAUACUUAAUCUUUAUAUCAAUGCAUACAUUAAGAAAGUCCAAAUCUAAUCCUUCUUGGAUCAAUACCAACCAUUCUUAUUCAAACAUACACAAAUAAUUUUCCUAGUAACUUAUAAGAUUACAUCAAACACACAAAAUCAAUGAACAUAAAGAAAUGAAUAACUUUAUUAAUCCUACUCAGUGAAAGCAUUCAUUGGCUUAGUGAGUAGUACCCGAAGGUUAACUCGUCCAACAACUAUAAGUCUCACCCAACGACAUUGGAAUUGGAACUCACAAGGAUUAAAUCACCCAAAAUUCACCUAGUGAAGUCCUGUCUUGCCUAGCGAAGUCCUAUCGUGCCCAAUGACAACCAAGUCAGUGAACUCUUUGACUCUAAAGUCACUUAGGAAGAAAUCCUCACGCAACAGCUACCAAGUCAGUGGGCUCUUUAAAUUUGGCAUCACCCAAUGAUGCAACCCCUCGCCCAGUGAGUAUGCUUAAUUACAAAAAAUGAAAUUAUGCAAUUAUGAAAAUCAAGACAUGGUAAACUCAAUACAACAACUUCAUACACACCACAAACAUACCGAAAUUUGAAUUACAACAGUCCAAUUGAGUCCAAAUCAUUAUAAUUGCAAUAUUACUCCUUACUUUACUUUAAAAUCCAUCUUACAAUCAGAUAAUGUAAUUGAAGAACCUAACCCCUAAUUCAAUAGAUCAUAGAUCAUGCUCAUCAAACAACUCAAUAGCUCAAGCAAUGAUCAUACAAUCACUCAAUCACUAAUUUGAAUAUAUUUAUAACUUAGAAAUACUACAAUUAGCUACUCUUACCUGUGAGACCACUCAAGAUGCUUAGAGACCCUAAAAUACCUUAAGACGCUUUUACCUACUCUUAGAAACAACACAAAUUCAAUUGAAGAACCUAACCCCUAAUUCAAGAUACAUAACUAAAAGCACUGAUCAACAAACAAUAUUGUAGAUGCUCUAAAGACACAUGGAGGCAAGAUAGACCUAUAUGUAAUAGAAGAACAAAUUUAACCUCUAAAGGAGCAAAAAAAUAGUUACUCAGAUGGAGAAACUAAUCGAACAUGAUUGAAGAGCUCGUUGUGAGAAUCAUUAUCGUUGUCUCCAAUCUUCAACCAGAGAAGUAGAGAGUGAGAAAACCUAGAGAAAAGUUAUAGAAUUCUAGAAAAAUAGUUUAUAAAAACAUGAUUUGCUUUUAAAUAAUGAAACUCAUUUAUCAAAAUUUUAUCGCACUUUAGCGAUCUUUAAUCUCUAAACACAAGAGAAGUUAGUUCUAAAAAUGUAAUUUCUAAAACGAUAAUAAACUUUUAAAUAAUAAAACUCAUUUAUAAAAUUUUUAUUUAUAUUUUAAUUUUUUAAUAUUAAAAUAAUCAAGUAUGUUUUGAUCACAUUUAAUUCUAAAAUAUUAUUUAUAUUUAUUUUAUUUCUCUUUUAAAUUAUUGCAAUAUUUUUAGUUUAUCACGUAAUUUAUAAAUAAUUUUUAUUAUUUUUUAUUCUAUGUUCAGUUUUAUUUGAAUUUUUUUCUCUAUUUUCUCUCAAAUAUUUAGUUUAUUCGAUUUUCACAAGUUGAGAUUUUAAAGUACUCAGGAUUUCAGAGCUUAAAAUUGACAUAAAUUAAAUAAAAGAAAAAAUAUAUAUCCUUUUAAUAUUGAAUAAUUAACAAUAGUUUUAACUUUUUGAAAGAAAAUAAUUUAAUUAAUAAUUAAGAAAUUACCCGAAGAGAUGAAAAUGACACAGAAACACAAAGAUGAAGAAAAAAAAUAAAUGUGAAUUUUUAUAUUUAGAAACAAAGACACAAAUACACUGAAAUCCACAACUUGAUUCGUUAUUAUAACUCAUAUUAGAUCUUUGAUGGGAAAUCUUGUACGAAUAAUCUUUAUUAUAUAUUAGUCUAUUGCGCAUUAUUAUAUAUAGUCAAAUAAUAAUAAUAAUAAUAAUAAUAAUAAACUACUUUUAAAAUUGGGAUUGUGAUUAGAGUCCAAAGACAUAUCGACAAACACAGUGGAAAUACUAUUAAAUGAAUGGUUGAAAAAAUUCAAAGAUUGGAGAAGGAAUAUUUAUAAUAUAUUAUAUGAACUUGUAAAAGAAAAAUAUUUGUUCUCUUUCUCCUUUUCUUAAAAAAAAAAGUUUUUCAAACUGAAGUUUUCAGACAAAACCAUCCAAUAUAGUUUAGUAUCUGGGAAAAUGUUUUAAAAAAUCCAAUUAAAUACCCUUUCUAAUGUUUUUCCUUAACUUUAUAUUAGAUAAAGUAUUUAUUUAUUAAAUUAUACAAGAUAUAUCAACCUUAUUUGUGAUCAUAUUAAUUAAAAAAAACUUACUGUCAGGGAUCAAUCGACCAUUGUCUAAAAUACCCUCUUCAUUUUAAAUAUUUCUCUCUGUUUGUCCUCACCCACUUGCACCAGCUUUGCACCAGUUUUCACUGUGUAUAUGGGUUGUUGCUGUAAUAUUUGCAUACUGUAGAUGAGGAAGCUUUGGUGGAAGAUGAAGAAAAGAGGUGGUCGGCUGCAAGCUCCGUCGCUGGUGACGAAGAAGACGAAAGAAGAAAUUCGUAUCCGGUUACACAGGAAGGUGUAUCCGGUUACGGAGAAGCCAUGAAAAUGCCCAACAACUUGUAUCUGGUUACCCAUAUACUUGUAUUCGGAUACAGUUGUUCUUGUUCAAAAAAAGCACGUAUCCGGAUACGCGUUGUUCUUCACCCAUGUUGUAUCCGGUUAUGGUCAUCAUCAUUUCUUACCUCCUUUGCUGCCAGCGUGGGGCGUAGCGCAUGAUCGGGAAGUGCUGGAAGCUUCUUACCUCCUUUGGUGCCGGCAUGGGGCGUAGCGCAUGACCGGGAAGUGCUUGCUGGAAGUUGCUCCGUAACGCAUGAGUUGCAGGUGGUGGACAUUGUUGUUUGCACGCGGGUCGUAGCAUGAGCUGCAGGUGGUGGACGCUGUUGUUUCUAACUCAGCAAUUUGCAGAAACGAAACACUAUAUUCACUGGUGGACAACGACACGUCUUCCAGCUACAGUCACCUCAAAGGAUGUACAAUGGUUCAGCUUCCUACAAGCUCCGACGUGCUAUUUGUGGAUCUUGAUCCCCACGACCCUUUCAAGUACGUAACUUAUGAAAUCGAAAUUGGAAUAGAAUUAUCUGAGAACUGUUCUAGGUGUUUGUAUGCUAAUGGAGGCCAAUGUCGAGUUGACAACACCAGAAUGUUUUACUGUGACCAAGGUUCAUUCCCUCUGUCACAUGUCUACCACCGUCGCUGUGCUGGAGUCUCGUCGACAUAUAAUAAUGAUGUUUAAUAUUAAAACUUGCAAUAAUAUUAAGGUAUUUUAGAAUGAGUUGUUUUUGAGAUUUGAUUUAUUUUAAGAAGAUUUACAAAUGUUUUGAUAUGUAAAUAUAUUAACUAAUUCUUUAAAUAACUAUUUUAAUGUCACAAAAUUUAUAUAUAGUUUUGUUUGUUUUAGACACACUACAUAAGAUCGUGUUUAUCAGGUCAUUUGAGCUAGUUUUUUUUUUUAUCCUUUCUUAUCUCAAAAGCUCGUUUGACUUGGUACGUAGUCUUUGAAUAAGAUUUUUUUAGUGAUUCUAAACUUUUUUUUAAAAUACAUACUUCAAGUGACUUUUUUGUAACCCAACUUUCUAUUUUUUUUAUAUUUAAUCUUAUUUUUAUCAUUUAAAUGUUAAUUAAUUCCCCAUUUAUUCUAUGGAAUAAUUUGUUUCUUUUAUCUGAUUAUGUUUGUACUUUAUUUCAUGUGAUGGAUAAUUAUAACUUGGGAUAAUUAUCGGUUGUGUACAAAAUUAAUAAAUCUCACUUCCAUAACAAAUAAAUUCCUACUACUUAAAAUUAAAUUAUAUCACAAACAAGUACUACAUUUAUUUUUUUAUGACACUAUUUUUUUAUCAUUUUCUUUCUAUAAAAAAUAUAAAAAUUUAUUUUUUUAUGAUUAUUUUACAUUGUAUUAAACGAAGGUAAAAAUGUGAUACCGUAACAAUACUUUUUGUAAAAAUAUAAAAUUUUAUUCUUUUAAAAUCAUUUUAUCUUUACAUUAUCAUUCAAACGAAGGUAAAAGUAUAUCAUCAUACGAUUAUUCAAAUUAAAAUAUGAUAUUCAUGAUAAUAACACUUGAAUGAUACAACUCAAAGGCCAAAUAACUAGAUUUCCAGUGUAAAAGGAAAUCUGCUAAUCAGCCUGUUUAUUAGGGUACAAAAGCUGCAAGAAAACAAACAAGCACACAAACAAGAGGCAUGCAUGGCAUGCAUCUGUUAUUGAAAAGUAAAAGCAUAACACAGAAGGAAACCAACAUGCGUUUAGAUAGAGACACUGUUAGGGAUUCCUCUGAAAGUCAUCCCUGGUUCACUGUUAGGAAGAAACACAGUGUAAGGCAAUUUGAUUGGUCCGGUUCGGUUUUUGAGUUCUUUGUUGUUGUUCCUGACCGAGAUUUCUUUCUCAAUUUUUGCUAGGUUUUCUGUAAAUUCUUGAAAUAUUUCUUUUGCAUGUUGAUCAGCAGUCCAAUUCAGACUGUUCCUUUGUCCAAGAUAUACCUCGUCCGAAGCAUGCGUUGAUAGUAGCUCCAUCACUGUAAGAUCCAUAACAGUCUGAUACUUUGGAGUAAUUGUUUUCAGAAAAGCUUCUUGAGGAUUCUUGCUCAUCUCAUCAUACUCUUCAGUUCCUGCUUCUGGGAUCCAUCUUCGGCUUUGUGUAGGACGGUUCAUGAUAUAACCUCCAUAAGGAUACUGUCCAAAAUUAACAGAGGCAUGAAGAGCUGAAGCAAUCCAUAUAAUGGUAGUGCAAAUCUCCACCAGAUCAUUAGAAGUAUGCAUUUUUGGCCAUAGAUCUGCUUUUAAGUCACCAUGACCCUUCUCCACAGCUUCCUUCCACCAUGCUUGCAAUUCAGUAUCUCCUUGAACUGCCCCCUCUUCUGAAUAGUACAGAUACAAAUACUCUUGUACCCACUUCUUAGUAGCAUUCCAUAUUUCUAGUCCAUCAACAGCAUAAGGAUAGUCCUCUAUCGCAAGUCUAAGGCCAUGAGGGGCAGUGAUAUCCUCAACCGCCAACCCUCUAAAUCAAUCAAAAGAAAAAAAAAAGGAGUUAUUUUGAUAACAAGGCCAUAUUGACACAUUGAUCUUUCUAAUUUAAUAUGGUUAAUUUACCUUUUGAUGAGAUCCUUUGGUAAAGCUUGGUCAGUGAAAACCCAACUCUUGUAUACAGCAGAAGUCAUCUCCAUUGAAUACGGUCCAGGCAAAAAAGAUUGCUCUAUAAUGCUACCCGCAUUAAUUAGGGAUUUCCUGGCAAGUGAAUUGAUAUUUAAUGUGUCACGGAAGUGAGGAUGAAGGAGUUUAUAAAUGGGGUGAAGUACACUGAGAUUCCUGUGUGUUGCUAUGGCAAAUGGCUCCAUCACUGCAUGAGUAUGUAACCUGUGACAGGCAACAGAAAAGUUACGAGAUAAAAUUUCAUACUACAUGUUUGCAUAUGUAUAUAUGUGUAGGAUGUAAAAGAGUUCGAGCACCAAGCACUCCUUUAAUUAAAUAGAUUAUUUAUUGUUGAUCUUGCAGAUGUAUGUUGGUAUAUACCAGUGGCUAAUGACUUGAUGAUAGUUGGUGUCAUUUACAGUAACAUGAGCUUUGGCCAGUUGCCAAAUUGUACUUUCAACACCUUUAUCUGCAGGCAGCACCACUCUAGUCUCGACAUUCGGAUGAUCAUGUGGCUUGCUUAAUUCAAUAGCAAGUGGUUUCAAUGUCCCAUCAUCUUUCAAGAACAAGAAUGUCCUGGUGGCAUAAGCCUUUGCAGAAGGAAGCUCAUUUAUCUUCGUCAAAUACGCCAUGAAUGCGUCAUAGUAAUCCAAUAUGAACAAUCUCCUAUCAGCAAAUGCCUGUUCCACAAUUUUAAGUUCAGUGCCAUACCUUUGAAUCACAAACAGUAUCACUUCAUAUCCCUUUAUAUAGGAAAGAAUAAUUCCAUAUCCAAGUAUUUAGAGGAAGUGUUGAACUUUGUAUUUCUAUGAUAUCAAAUUGUUUCUGCUUACUUCAUGUAUAUUAUUACCUCGUCUACUUUGACCCCAUUCAUGUUAAUCUCCAAAGUUUCUUUUGUUACUGUACUUCGUGAUUUGUUCCCUGGCAAUGCGAGCUCCUCCUUCUGCCAUUAAUAAAGAUGUCCGAUAAUCAGAAAGAAAGGCCAUGACAAUAGAAUAAUUCAGCAUAUAAAAGAUCUCUGUAUAUGAAAAAUAAAACUAAUAUCUGCACUUACUUUAAGAAGGCGAAUUACAGCAGGGUUUACACCGGCAAUCAUCUCUCUUGCAAACUCUUCAUCAGUCAUCCAUGCAAACUUGCUUUCUAUAGAAAAUUAUAACAAAGAAAAAACAAUUUACAAAGGGUGUAAUGUUUGGAAGUAGUUACGCCGGAGUGCCAAGUGAACUAGUUACCUUUAAUUACAGCGGGUAUUGGGAAGUCAAUGACAGUCGGAGUACCUUUGCCAGUGAUAACACUCGGCGUACCGUUGGCAGUGAUAGACAGAGGCAGAUCAACUCCACCUUCAUACAUUUUAUCCACUUCUUCGAAGCCAUUAAAUUCAUUUGAUGUGAUCUUUAAAUAUAAAGAAAGGAGCAAAGGUUCGACUCUUGCAGCUAAAUUUGUCCUUCCUAAUGAAAGGAAUUCUAAAGUCUUCUCCUGACUGAAAUCUUCAUCUCUUGGCACAUAAUUAACCUCGCCUGGUACCUCGUAUUCUUCACCUGUCAAAGACAUAAAUAGAGACACUUUUAUCAUCCACAAUUCAUUUGUGAUUAAAACAUGAUAAAAUGUAACUCACCAUUUCUUUCGAUGACGGGUCUCCCCGUCCUAAGCCUACGAGGGUAGGGAUAUUUGAGACCUCCAAGAACUGGGUGAUCUUUUGGUCCAUCGCUUUCAAGAAAGCCCAGAUCAUUAUACACAUCAUAAUCAUAAAUCCUAUCCCAUUUCUCACGCUUUCCUUUUCUAUCUCCCCUUAAAUUCUUCAACUCUUCUUCUCUGUACGCUUUUAAUUGCUCCGGUGUCUUACCAGGAAGAUAUGGCUGCAAUGCAUAUUUUUUCAUAAAUAUAUGCUUUUCUCAUGUAAAUUUUAAAAAUGGAAAUAAUAAAGACUAACAAUGUUGGCAAAGAAAAUGCGAUCCGUUUUGUAAAACUUAUGGUUGUAAACCCAGGAGUUACAGUCAAAGUGAAUAUAGUUCUGGUCGUGGUUAUGGUCGUGCUCAUUUCUUUGAGUUGGAUAUUCAAGAGUCACACUAACAAGUAAAAACUCNUNAUCCAUUAGGCUUUUUACGUAAAAUGCUCCUGGAAUUCCCAUUUCUUNAUCAUCCCAUUCAAAAUAAAUAUCAAAUUCCUCCNCUCUCUCUCCCNANGUUCGUNACACAGAAAUAUUNUUUUCCANAUANGUUUNCUUUCCAACUUUCCCAGCNGAANCUAAAACUGCAAAUGAAAACAAAUCAAAAUCCAACAAUAACGAGAAAAAGUACAAGUUCAAGGAAUGCANAGAUUCUUUUUGCAGUAUCAUUGCAGAAAGAAACACACAAGAAAGAAGAAACACUGACUGUUGUUUGAGUUGGUACGACUGAUCAACUUGAAAGACACAGAUUUAGUGAAAUCAAGUUGGGAUGAUGAGUCAAUGAUGGUUUUGCCAGUGGCAAAGAGACCCUGGACAGCGCUCAUGGUUUGAACAACAUUUUUCCGGAUCAAUACCACCCUCCCUUUCACCAACUUCUUCCUUUCCACUAUUGGUCCCUUCUUUUCCACUAUUAUUAGACUCAUUGCUAUAGCAAGGAUAUAUAAUUUCUGUGCUUGAUAUCUGAGAGUUGUGAGGUGUGAGGAAGCAAUGUAAUCUCGGGUAUUUAUACACGAAACUAUGUGAAGAAUUAAAGAAUAAACCAACCCAGCUGGAAAAAUCUCAAGAAUAAAUACAAGCUUCAUUAAUCCUCUAAUGUGAACAAAAACAUGAAAGUCAUGGAAAAAGCACCAAAAAUCUUUACCCAUUGAAAAAAUUGUGUGAAUAUGAGGUGUUUCCACCUUCAACUUAUGUGAUAACUAUUCUAUUGAAAUGAGUCCUACAUAUCCCAUUAAAGUUGUCUUCUUCUUCUUCUGCCAUUCAUUUCCUGCAAUCUCAUUUUUCAUGAACUAGUUUUUUCAGAAAUAACCCUUUGGCGUGUUAUUAGGAAUGUUGCAAAAUCUCAGUGUCUUAGGUUUAUUGUUCGAUAAUUUCAAUUAAUGUUGAUUGGUUGUACGAUAAGGCCACAAAGUCUUCUUUAACUCUUGUUUUGGAUGGUGUUGUGAACACGUGAUCAAUUCUUGUUGGUUGUUGAAAUCAUUUAUAUCCAUACAAAUAAUACAAUUGUAUUGUAUGUAAUAAUUAUUUUUAAAUGAAAAAUUCAUAUACUUUUUUUUUUCUAGUAAAGAAUAUGCUAUUAUAUCUUAUUAAUAAGAAAAAAAGUUAGCAAUUAAAAAAUGAAAUUCUUUAAAUAAAAAGUAACACUAAAAAUAAAUAAAAAUAUAUUCCUAACAGGAAUUUUACUUUUUAUUUUAAAGUUAAACUUUUAUUCGAAAUUAAAAUUUGUCUCAUAAUUUUAACUCAGUUGUAUUGUUUUUUUUUGCGAGACAAACACUUUCAUGGUAAUAUUUAAAUUUUUUAUAUUAUUUGAUAUAUUUUAGUUCGAAUGUUAACAUGAAAAACUACUUAAUAAACUUAAAAAAUUAACCUUAUUACAAAAGUUAAAUACUUUUUUAAAAUUUUAUAAUUUUGUAAUUUUAUAAUUUAUAAUUUUAUAAUUUAUAAUUUUAUAACUUUAUAAAUUUAUAACUUUAAAGUUUUAUAAUAAUUUUAUGAUGUUAUAAUUUUUUAAUUUUAUAAUAUAAUUUUAUAAUUUUAUAAUUUAUAAAAUUCUAAAAUUAUAAAUUUAUAAAUUCAUAAAGUUAUAAAAUUAAUUUAAAUGUAUAUGACAAUCAAGCCUUUAAAUAGUUAAACUUGUUUUAAAUGUAUAUGAUAAGUUUUAUAAAAAUAAAAUUCAUUCUUCUUUAUUCAUGAAAUCUUCAAUCUAAAUACAUAUUAUAUAAUUAUGGUAUUGAAAUUAAGACAAAAUUACAUCCAUUCAAAAUGUCUAUAAAAUAAUAUCCACUAAUUCAUAAAUAUAACCAUGAUUAUAUUUAUAAAUAGAUUAAAAAUAUAUAUCUUAAUAAUGAAGUAAAAUAAAUAAUGAUAAUGAUAAAUGUUACUUUAUGUUACAAAUUUAACUCUAAAUAUCAAAUUGUCUAACAUAAACAAUUAUCAAAUUUAUUAUAGUAAACAGUGUCGAAAAAUAUUUAUUUUCGAAAUUUAUAUUUGAAACGGGUUUACUAAGAGAAAACGUAAAAAAUUGUGAAAUACAGAAAAAAUAAUUAUUAUUAACUACAAUAGUUUGCAAUUUAUUAGUUUCUACAUAGAUUUUAUUAUAAAAUUUAAUUGUUUUAAAACAUAUAAUAAGUAUAAUAAAAAACAAAAUUAUUUUACUAUAUAUUGGAAACACAUUUGUCAUUUUGUCUCAGUAUUGACGUUUGUUUAUUUUAUUAAAAUACUAUUGGAAACAUAUUUAAGUACAAUAUUUUGUAUAUAUAUUUUUUAUAUUUAAUGGGUGUAAAUUUAAUAUAUAUAUAUAUAUAUAUAUAUGAUUGAUUAAUGUGAAAGGAGUUCCUUUGUCAUUAUAUGAUGAAACUUCUCCGCAAAAUUACAAUAUUACAAUAUUUAAUUGUGUUACACGUGACCGACCGAGAGUGACAAUAUGGUCAGUGUCCUAUUCUGAAAAGGAAUAUUUAACGGAUUAGGCAUUUAAAAUAAAUAAUAUUUGAGAAGUACUAUAAAUUAAAAAGUAUUAAUUAUUGAAAUGUAUAUAAUUAUUUUUUGAUGAAUGUAUAUUUAUAUUUAUAUAUUUUCUUUUUAGUAUUAUUUUACUAUAAUACAUUUAUUUCAUUUAAAAUAUUGUAAUUUUAAAUAUAAUAAAAAAAUAAAUAUAAAAUAAGUAUAUAAGAUAAAGAUAUCUUUUAUACAUUAUUGUGUAUCAUAAUAAAAUUUUAAAAGAAAUAAUAAUAUAUUAUCUUGUGUUGGAAAUCCAAAGAUAAUUUUACCACUCAUAAAGAGAUAAAAAGAAUUAAAAACUAAAUCUCAUAUUUUAAAAUUUUGAAUAAGAAGAAUUAUAAUCUUUUAUAUAAAUUAAACUCAUAUAUUAAUCUUCUCUUUUUCCGUAUUUUUUAAAAUAUUUAUCAUUGUUACAUCUUUUAUUCGAUUAAAUAGACAUAUUAAAGAAUUUGGUUUAAUAAGUUUUUUUAAUAGAAUAAUAUAAAGUUGUAUAUAUCUAGGUUAUAUUUAUACGUCAUAAUUAACUCUCAAUAGUUUGUGUUAUUCUUUCAUUUAGUCAUACAAAUAAUUUUUAUUUUUAGUGACUUUUUUCACUUUUUUAAAUUGGAUUUUUACUUUUAAAAAAUUAAAACAAUUAUGUCCUUGUAGUUAGAUAUGUAUAGAUGGUGUUAGUUCCAGUUUUUCUUUUUCAAAUUUUAAUAUAUUUUUAAUUUUUUAAACUAACAUUGUGACACGUGUCAAAUUGAUAUGGUGUUAUUGACAAUGACAUUUUAAUCCAAAUCGAACGGAAUAGAGUCGAAUCGAAUUGUGUCAAACCAAACCGAAAUGAGUCGAAUUGAACCGAGCCGAGCCGAGCGAAACCGAACCAAAUCGAAUUGAAUCGAGUGGAGCAGAGACAAACCGAACCAAAUCGAACCGAAUCGAACAGAACCUAACUGAACCAAACUGAACUGAACCAACCAAAUCGAGCUGAAUCAAACCCAAUACAACCAAACCAAACCAAAACGAGUCGAGUCAAGUUGAAUUGAACUGAAUCAAGACGAGCCAAAUCGAACCGAAUCAAAUCGAGUCCAACCAUCGGAACUGAACCAGGCCCGACUGAGCUGAAUUGAACCGAACCUAACAAAACCGAGCCGAAUGAGCCAAACGAUUCGAGCUUAGCUGAGCUAAACAAGCUUAUUUAAGUGGAGUCAUGCCGAACCAAAUUGAACCAAACUGAAUUGAACUUUGCCGAAUCGAACUAAAAUGGAUGGACCGAGGUGAGCCGAACCGAGGCGAGCUGAACUGAUUCGGACAAGCCGAGCCGAGUAGAACCAAACUAAUCUGAAGUAAAAUGAGGCAAGCUGAUUCGAGCUGAACCGAACUAAACCAAACCAAAUUGAGCCGAACCAAACGGAACUAAGUUGAACCUAAAGGAACGAGUCGAGCCAAGCUUAACGAGCCAAGCCGAGCGAAGAUGAGUCGAAUAGAACCGAACAUAGCUGAGCCGAACAAAAUUGAAUCGAUCGAAUCAAAUUGAGUCGAGCCGAACCGAACCGAGUCGACUUGAGCUGAACCAUGCCAAUCUGAAUUGAACUAAACUGAAUUGAACUGUAUCGAACCAAACCGAACUGAACAGAGCCGAGCUUAGCCGAGUCGAGCCAAACGAGCCGAACGAGACAAGCUGAACGUGACGAGCCAAAUCGAUCCGAAGUGAACCAAAGCAAACUGAACCGAACCAAUAGAACCAAAUUGCACCGAACCGAGCCAAAUCGAACUGAUUUACUCGAAACUAUAUUAAGUGCACUAACUCAUAUUAAAAGGAAAAAUAAAAUUAUUUGCUAGAACUUGUAAAACAAAAAUUCUUAAAAGAACUAUGGUAACUAAAACAAUGAUAUUAUAAACUAGACUAUACUAGGAUUAAGAGGGAAAUAAGGAUGAGCUGGGUAUAAUCUAACGUUUCAUAAAGGCAGAGCUGAAAAUGGUAAUCUUAGUUUUAACAUACUUCACAUUUCAUCAAUCUGGUUUUUCUUUUUCUCACUAACUUAGUGUUGCAAGAUGAUUUUGGUGUUGGGACAUUGAUAAAAGAUAAGAUGCAAGAACUUGAUGGCAGUCAGAACUCUAAAAUCAUGUUAAAAUACUUUGCAUAAGUUGAAAGAGAUACAAGCUCAAGAUCCCAAAGAAGCUAAAGAGAAGUAUCAAAGGGUUAAGAAAGCCCAUGAGAUGUUUGAGACCUUAAGAGACCCAUCAUGUUCUGCCGCCAAUACUGCUAUCAAGCUCCAGUUGUGGGGAAAUGUUUUUGCAGAAGAAAAUAUACAUUUGGGGGAUGAUCCGGUCCUAGUGGAAUUGAAUUCACUCCACCAAGUCAGUAGCUCUUUGACUUUGACUUUGCUCGGUGAAUAUAUGCUCGUCCAACAAGUUUCCAUAAUUUUGCAGAACAAAAUUCUGCAGAUUUAUGUCAUUUCAACCCUACAAAAGAGUCUAACACUAAUUCUAGAUGCCCAAAACAACCAACCAUAAGAUUAAACACGAAUCAAUGACGUAAUUCACCUUAGGUGCAAUGUCAAUCACACAGUAUACCAACAUUUCAACAUUCAAUCACUAAAAGCUAUCCCAAGCCCCUAACUCAACUCAACAUUUCAUAUUUCAUUAGCACAAAUACCAAUACCAGCACUUCAACCAAUUUCAAGCAACUCAAACAUGCAAUUCAGAUUCUCAACACAUCAUACACUUAAAUUAGGGAAAUUUAACUUUCCUUACUUGAUAGAUGACUAAACCGCUCUAGAAAAUCUAAAAUAGUUCCAAAUGCACAAGAAGUUUUAUCUGUUCCUACGAACCACAAAAAUAUGAUUAAGGUACACAAUUAGGAAAACUGAUCAAUAGAUAGUCUUAUAAAAGACUCAAACUUCAAUGUAGAAAAAGGGGCUAGCAUGCAAGGAAGAAGCCCAAAGAGAAGCAAAAAACCAACUUACUUUAUUUAAGAAACUGAUCGGUUAGACUUGAAGAUCUCACGACAAGGAUCACUCUGGCGGUAUUUGAUCUUCAAACACAUGAACAGAGAGCGACAAUUCUUAGAGCGGAGUUAGAUAAUUCUAGAAAAGUGGUUUUUUAGAGAGAUGAUAUGUUUUAAAAUAAUGAAACUCGUUCAUAACGAAACUAUCUAUAUUAAAAAAAAUUAAUAUUAAAAAUAAUUGAGUCUCACUAUUUUUAAACCACUGCCACCUCUAAAAUUUUGUUCGAAAAAACUCACUCAUCAAGUAGAAAGAAAAAUAUGCUCUUUUCAUUCUUUCUUAUCACAAACGACCAACUUGAUCGAGAUAUUAUCCCCAACACUCAACUGAUUGAAAAACAUUGCUUUUGCAUUAAAUUCUCUAGUAUUCAAUAGUAUAGAUUAGUCUAGCCACUACUCUUAAAACAAGCUCCAAACCUAAUCUUUUAAGGAUCCUUUUUGCGCCUGAUCAAAGAAUUUGUAUCGGCCAAACUAAACUCACCUCCCAAUUAAUGUCUUCCACUAACUCUUAUUAUUUUCAAAACUUUAGCUAGUCUUGACUUCAAACUAAAGCCUUCCCGAUAUCGUUUCACAUAAUCUUAUAUCCUCUCUAAAGUACUAUACAACUAACUUGAUCACACACAACUCUGAUCUAUCGUCAAACGCUGACACUCUUAAUUCACCCUUAUUCACAAUUACUCUGAUAACAUAAUUAACAUUUAUAUAAUUAACUAAAUAUAAAUAUAAAUAAACUUAAUCUUAUUAUAAAUAUUUAAUAAAAUAUCAAUUGUAAUAAAAAUAUUUAUAAAGAUUUAUAUAAAAAUUAAAUUUUGUUUGAAUUUGGAGAGGGACAAAAUUGUUUAAUUUUUAAAAAAAUUAGGAUUAAAUUGAGACCAUAAAAAUACGGGACUAAAUUGAAAUUAAUUCAAUGACACGUGGCCUGACAAUGACAUAUGACACUAUCGUUGCCAUGUCACAUUGUCAUCGUCAUGUGACAUAAUGUCAGUUUGACACGUGGUAAUUUUUUUUCUAAAAAAAAAAGUAAAAAAAUAAAAAUAAAAGUAUUUAAAAAAAUAUUUCGAAAUUCAAAAAAAAUAACGAACUGACAUGUGACACGUUCUUUAAGUUUGUUAAUACAAAAUUAAAGGCAACACCUAAUUGCUUCAAAUUUUCAAAAAUAUGAACCCAUUUGAGAUAAAAAAAAAAGUGAGAGACUUAUUUAAGAAAAGUCACCAAAAAUAGGGACCAUACGUAUGAUUAAACCUUAUUAUUUAUCAUUUUGUUAUUAUUUAUUAUAUUGUUAUUAUGCUCUUAGGUAAAAAUUAUUUCAAUAGGAAUAUAGGUCUAGGGUCCACAUUGAUCCUAUACAUAUAAUUAAUAUGUUCUAAGAAAGACUCACUUUCACACUAUUAUACAAAGAAUUUAACUAUUUUAUUAACUUGAACUUAAGAGAGUAUUUUAUAGGUAGAUUUUCCCUCUCAACAACAAAGAUCCUUUUCAGACAAAAGGAACAAGCAAACCACCAUUAGGAUAUUGUCUUUCAGUUAUUGGAGCCUAUAAUAGAACAUUUUGUCCCUUAAGCCCUCCAUUGGAGACAUUUAGUCAUUCUCCUUAGACCUUAAUUAGGGAGCUUAUGUUCUUACCACACUCAAUAGUCUCAUAUCGUUUAAGAGUCGAGAUUAACUGUAGUUAAAAUCACUAUAAGAAAAAUUGCUAUUUCUGACAAUCAAAAUUCGUCGAUAAUGCAUAAAAUUUGACAAUAAAUUAAAGUUAUCGUUGAUAAAAAAUUCAUUAAUAAAAGUGUUGUCGAAAAAUAUUACUGAAGAACUUUUGUUUCGUCGAUAAUUAUUGUUGAAAAUAUCCAUCGGUAAUUACUGAAAGAUUUUUCUGUCGAUAAUUAUCGACAAAUUUUUCCUUCGGUAACGUCCAUCAAUAUUUAUCGACGAAAUAAUUUGUUGGUAAAUAUUAUGAUGUGGUUCAUUUUUUUUCCUACUUUCCUUCUUUUUCUUUCUUUUAUUUUUACCAAAUCAGAAUAAAAGUGGAGCUUGCAUUGAAUAUGGAGAGUUUGGAUUGGAAGGUGAGAUGGAGAGGUUGAGGAGAGACAUGAGAUUUUGUAUGGAUGAAAUUGAGGUUGAGGAACCGGCAACACAAUUCAAGGGAGCAAUUGUUGUCUAUGGAGAACAUAUUGCAAGUCAGAGAGAAGAAAUAUCAGCACAUGAUGUCUUUUCUUUCUAAGGCACUCAACAAUCAAACUUUUAUUCAGCAAUACCUUUACAGAAACACUCAACAGAUAGAGUUGCAAGGUGCUAGAAGAAAGAGAAGACUAACUACUUUUCCAAACGUAGAGAAUUUGCAACAAAAUCCUGUGAUUAGUUGAUGCGGCUUUGCCAACAGAAGAGGAAUCCAUUAAUAUUGAGUGGCUGGUGGAGUCUCUUUUUUCGCGCAAAGAAAAUGGAGACUUGAGAAAGAAAGAAAAAUAAAUAAUAUAUCUCAAAGACUGAGAGAAAAAAUGAGCUGAAAAAUUCUCGCUUUUAUAGCUCUCUUUUAUUCCAUAUUUCAAGUUUUAACUUAAUUAUCUCUUUUAUAUAAUAGUUAAAUUAAAAAUGAGUUCAUUUUACAUUUGUGAAGGGAUGUCACAAAAACCAACAAGGUGAUGGUAUACCAGGCUCUAAAGACUUGUUUUAAGACAUAUAUAUGGGCCUAGGGAGUUUCCAAACAAGAGUUGAAUGUGUAGACUCAAAAUCAAAUGGUUGAGUGAUGUAAACGUCUUCUAGAAUGCCAUUUAUGAAAGAAUUAUUGUUUGUAAAAGCUAAAGUGAGAAUAAGUCUAAUAGUAAGAACCUUCACAGCUGGAUAAGUCCCAUCCAAAUUUACAACAUGCUUUCGUAGGAUGAGUGUGUCUAUAAUAUAACGAAACAACAAGGUCAAUAGGAUUAGCUUCUAUAUAAGAAUUUAGACGCAAUGUAAAUAAAAGACAAACAACAAUAAGUGAUUCAUGGGUAGCAUGUCGAAUUCAGAGUCAACAAUAGAUGAAAUGAUACCAUGAAGAAAUAAUAAAACAAGACAUCGAUCGAAAUAUAUUGUGUUUGAGUAACAAAAAGGAAACUAUUCUGGGAAAUAAAAAUAUUGCCAUUUGAAUCAAGACACUAACAACUUUUGUGAUAUGUGAAAUAACUUAAGAUUGUACAAGCAGGAAAACAAUGUCGUAAAUAUUAGUAUUAUAGAUACUCAAUUAUCACUACUACAAGAAAAUAUUCAGUUAUCUUCGAAAUUCAAUUACUAAAUCACAUGGUUUUUUUUUUUUUUAAUAAAAUAAUUAAACAGAAAGAAGAAAGGAAUAAAAAUGUAAAACCAUAAUAUUGAUGAUAAUAAUUCUUGAAUAAUACAACUCAAAGCCCAAAUAACAAAGGUUUACAGUGAUAAAAGGAAAUAAAUAUGCUAUAAUGAGCUUAUUUAUCAGAGUACAAAAGCAGCAUCAAAGACAAUGUGACCUAAACAACAACACACACAAUGAGGCAUGCACGUAACAUGCAACUGUUAUUGAAAGGUAAAAGCACAACACAGAAGGAAGCCAACAAGCUUUUAGAUAGAGAUACUGUUAGGGAUUCCUCUAAAAGUCAUCCCUGGUUUACUGGUGGGAAGAAGCAGAGUGUAGGGCAAUUUGACUGGUCCAGUACGAUUUUUAAGUCCUUCAGUGUUGUUCCUGUCUGAGAUUUUUUUCUCAAUUUUUUCCAAGUCAUCUGUAAAUCUUUUAAACAAAACUUUUGCUUCUUGAUGAGCAGUCCAAUCUAGACUGUUCCUUUGUCCAAGAUACACCUCGUCUGAAGCAUGGGUUGAUAGUAGCUCCAUUACUGAAAGAUCAACAACGGUCUGGUACUUUGGAGUAAUUGUUUUCAGAAAAGCUUCUUGAGGAUUCUUGGUCAUCUCAUCAUACUCUUCAGUUCCUGGUUUUGGGAUCCAUUUUCGGCUUUGUGUAGGACGGUUCAUUAUAUAACCAUAAGGAUACUGUCCAAAAUUAACAGCGGCGUGAAGAGCUGAAGCAAUCCAUAUAAUGGUAGUGCAAGUCUCAACCAGAUCUUGAGAAGUAAGCAUUUCACACCAUUGUGCUUUUAAGUCACCAUGACCCUUUUGUGCUUUUAAGUCACCAUGACCCUUCUCCACAACUUCCUUCCACCAUUCUUGCAAUUCAGUAUCUCCUUUAAUUGCCUGAUCGUCCGAAUAAUACAGAGCGACAUAGUCUUGUACCCAGAGCUUAGUAGCAUUCCAUAUUUCUAGUCCAUCAACAGCGUAAGGAUAGUCCUCUAUCACUAGCUUAAGGUCGUUAGCGUCAUCCUCAAACGCCAAACCUCUAAAUCAAUCAUAAGAAGAAGAAGAAAAAAGUUACUUUGAUAACAAGGCUAUCUCAAUUUUCACCAUCGACAUGAUAUUUUCCCAUAAUUGGACACAUUGUUUUUUUCUAAUUUAAUACGGUUAAAUUACCUAUUGAUGAGAUCCUUUGGUAAUGCUUGGUCAGCGAAAACCCAUUUCUCGUAUAUAGCAGAAGACAUCUCCAUAGAAUAUGGUCCAGGCAAAAAAGUUUGCUCUAUAACGCUACCUGCACUAAUUAGGGACUUCCUGGCAAGUGAGUUUAUAUUUAUGGUGUCACGGAAGUGAGGAUGAAGGAGUUUGUAAAUGGGGUGAAGUACACUGAGAUUCCUGUUUGUUGAUAUGGCAAAUGGCUCAAUCACUGCGUGAGUAUGUAACCUGUGACAUUUGACAGACACCAAGAAAGUUAAAAGAUUAAAUUUAGUAUUACAUUAACAUGUUUGCAUAUGUAGGCUUUUAGCAGAUUGAGUUCUUGUAUAAAUAUACCAGUGGCUUAUGAGCUGAUGAUAGUUGGUGUCAUUUACAACAACAUGAGCUUUGGCCAAUAACCAAAUUAUACCGUCGACACCUUUGUCUGCAGGCAGCUCCAAUCUGGUCUCGACAUUCCAUUGACCACAACAUGGACAUUGAUGUGGCUUGCUUAAUUCAAUAACAAGUGGUUUCAAUGUGCCGUCAUCUUGUAAGAACAAGAAUGUCCUGGUGGCAUAAGCCUUUGCAGAAGGAAGUUCAUUUAUCUUCGUCAAAUACGCCAUGAAUGCGUCAUAGUAAUCCAAUAUGAACAAUCUCUUCUUAUCAAAUGCCUGUUCCAAAAAAUUUAAGUUCAGUGAUAACUUUGUUAAUUCAUAUACCUUUCAAUCACAAACAAUAUCACUUUAGGUGCCUCCAUACCCCAAAGAAUAAUUUAAAGAAUAUUGAACUACUUUGUAUUUCUAUGAUAUCAUAUUGUUUUCUAUUUACUUCCUGUAUAUUAUCACCUCAUCUAGUGUCAUCUCGUUCAUGUUUUUCUCCAAUAUUUCUUUUGUUUCUACUGUACUGUGUUGAAUACAGUUGCAAAGUUGUUGCUCCAAUGAUAUAAGGUCAUCAUUCUGCCAUUCAUAAAGAUGUCCAAUAAUCAGAAAGAAAGGCCAUGAAAAUAGAAUAAUUUAGCAUAUAAAAGAUCUCUGUAUAUUAAAAAUAAAUUUAAUAUUUGCACUCACUCUAAGAAGCCGAAUUACAAGAGGGUUUACACCGGCAAUCAUCUCUCUUGCAAAUUCUUCAUCAGUCAUCCAUGCAAACUUGCUCUCUAUACAAAACCAUAACAAAGAAAAUAAAAUUGGCAAAGAGUGUAGUGUUUAGAAGUAGUUAUACCGGAGUUCCAAGUAAGCAAUAGUUACCUUUGAUUACAUCAGGAGUUGGGAAGUCAAGGACACUUGGAUUACCGUUUCCAGUGAUAGAUAGAGGCAGAUUAACUCCACCUUCAUACAUUUUCAGCACUUCUUCGAAGCCAUUAAAUUCAUUUGAGGUGGUCUUUAAAUACAAAGAUAGGAGCAAAGGUUCGACGCUUCCACCUAAAGCUUUCUUUGAUAAUUGAAAGAAUUCUGCAGUCUUCUCGUCACUGAAAUUUUCAUCUCUUGGCACAUAAUAAACCUCAGCUUGCUCCUCGUAGUUACCACCUAGUCAAGACAUAAAUUAAGCAUAGAGACAUUUUUGUCAUCAAAGAAUUCAAAUUUUUAUUUGUCACAUGUUUAGUCUAGGCUGGACCUUUCUUUAGAACAUGUAAUUAAAGCAUGAUAAAAUGCAACUCACCAUUUUUGUUGUUGUGGAUAACGUUUCUCCCAGUCCUAACCCUACGAGGGUAGGGAUAUUUGAGGCCUCCAAGAACUGGGUGAUCUUGUUGUCCAUCGCUGUCAAGAAAUCCCAGAUCAUUAUAUACAUCAUAAUCAUAAAUCCUAUCCCAUUUCUCACGCUUUCCAGUUCCAUCCCCCCUUAAAUUCUUCAACUCUUCUUCUCUGUACGCUUGUAAUUGCACCGGUGUCUUAUCAGGAAGAUAUGGCUGCAAUGCAUAUUUUUUCAUAAAUAUAUAGUUUUCUCAUUUAAAUUUUAAGAAUGGAAAUAACAAAGAUCGUCAUUUGACUUACAAUGUUGGCGAAGAAUAUGCGACCUNUUUCGCUACGCUUAUCGUUGUGAACCCAGGAAUUACAGUCNAAGUGAAUAAUAUUGUUCUUGUCGUGUUCACUUGGAUAUUCAAUAGUGACACUAACUAGGAAGAACUCUUCAUUCAUUUUGUUUGUUACAUAAAAUGCACCUGGAGUUCCCAUAUCUUNAUCAUCCCAUUCAAAAUAAAUAUCAAAUUCUUCCCGCGUCUCUUUCAAAGUUCGUAACACAGAAACAUUAUUCUCCAAAUAGGCAACCUUUCCAACUUUCCCAGCCAAACUACAAGCUGCAAAAUGCAAACAAAUCAAAAUCUAAAAAUAACAAGAUAGUAGUACAUGUUUAUAGAAUGCAGAAAGACUUUUUUACAGUAUAAUCUGAUUUCAAAUCAUGAUACAUGAUAUAAACUAUUGGUUUUGAUAAUAAAGGUAACUAUUUUUGAAAGAUUGAUAAUAGAAAAACUUGUAUACUGAUAAUGCAUAGUGUACACUGAAAAGAAAAACAUGAGAAAGAGAGAAGACUAACCAUUCUCUGACUUGGUACGACUAAUCAAUUUGAAAGACACAGACUUAGUGAUAUCAAGUUCGGGUGAGUCGUUAAUUAUCUUGACGCCAGUGGCAACAAGACCCUGAACACUGCUUAUGGUUUGAACCACACUCUUCCGUAUCAACACCACUCUCCCCUUCACCAACUCUUUCUUUUCCACUAUUGAACUCAUUGUUGUAGCAAGGACAAUUUCUUAUGAAUCUAAUUAUGCUGUGAGUUGUGAGGAAUUCAAGUUCUAUUCUCAGCUAUUUAUACACAAAAGUAUGUAUAUGAUGAUAAAUCUCUUUGUAUUGAUACAUGUGUGUGAACACAGCCUUUUACUAAAUUGAGGAUUAUUUUUUAUAAGAAAAAUAAUAUUUUAACACUAUUUUUUGACAUCAUUUUGACACUGCACACAUGUUAAAAUGUGAUUAGACGAUUUCAAAUUAAAAAAGUUGAGGCAGAGGUAUAUUUGGAAGAAAAAAACCAAAGUUUAUUUUUUUAAUUUGAAAUCGUCCAACCACAUUUUGACACGUGUGCAGUGUCAAAAUGAUGUAAAAAAAAUGUGUUAAAAUAUCAUUUCCCUUUUUAUAACAAGUUGCUUCUAUAUAUAGUUAUUCAUUUAUUUCAUCAUUAUUCAAAAUAAAAAAAUCAUAAUUAAUAUUUAAUGCUAUGUCUAAGUAAUAAAAAAUAUAAUUUGACACAUAUAAAAUUUUUUACAUUUUUAUUUUAUAUUAUUCUUUUUUAUUUUUUACUUUCUUAAAAAAAAUACAAAAUUUAUUUUUUUAUUACCAUUUUACCAUUAUAUUAUAUAUCAAAUAAAUAUAAAAUUACGUUACCGAAUCAUUACUCGUUGUUAAUAAUAUAUAGAGAUGAGAACUACUAUCAAGCAUGUAAAGUUUAAUUAUACUUUUUUCCUUAUUUCUUUAAGGUUUUAUACCUUUAUCUUAUUAUUAGGUCACGGUUGUACCAUCCUCGUCUAAAUAUCUUUUCUUAAAAAAAUUAAGAGUUAAGACAAAAAUUAUUAUCAUUGUUUUAAUGUUAAAAUGAUAUAUUAUAUACCUUCUUUUAUAUGUUAAGAUAGCACGUCUAAUAACUAUAUCAUUGAAAAUAGUUAUAUUUUCAUAAAUUUUCAAGCCUUAUUAGGUUAGAUGUAGGAGGAGAAAGAAAAAUUUGUAAUUUUUUAUUCAGUUGUUUGUGUCUAUUAUUAGGACAUAUUUAACCAAAUACUUAUUUAUAAUAAGCUUAAAUGAUGAAUUUGUGGUAAGAGUGAGAUGUUUUGCUAUUAAGAUAAGAAAGUUCUAUUAGAUGAGUUCUGGAUGUUGUUAUUGGGAUAGUUUUGGAUAGAAAAAUAGAAAAAAUGAAUAUACUUAUUAACUUUUUUUUCUUCUUUUUUUCUUUGUGCAUAAAUUUUAUUUUAUAAGUGAAUUUCAAUACUUCAAAUACACUAAGAAAAUUCCAGUAAAUUUAAAAUGGAAAAGAAAGCGAUUGCAGAAAUAUCUAUAAACUCAUUUAUGCUUAAAACGUCAGAUAUUACCUAUGUGAUUAAUUCAAAUAUUCUUUAUUCAUAUCAAAAUAAAUUCAAACAAUACUGAUUGAAUUUUUUUCAUUUGUCAUCUAGAGUAACCAAUUGUAUAAUGUAAUAAAUUAAAUUAAUUAAGGGUGGUUACACCUAAUUUCAAUAAAUAUAUAAAAAAAGUUAAUUUAUCUCUUAUGAUAAAAUAUUUAGACGAUAUAAACCUUCCACGAUCUAUAAUAUUUUUUUCCUUAAGUUGAAUUCUUCACAUUCUAAAAAAUAUUCUUAUCUUUAACUUACUUUUAUAAUAUAUGUUCUAUCAUUUAAUUUUCUCCAUUAUGUUUUAGACAUUACAAUAUUUCCAAUUUGCUUAUUUUAUUUUAUAGUCGACAGGAAAUCAAUAAUAUUAUCACAUUCCUUUAGCACAUGAUUCUUAGAAGGUACUGGUUUGACAUUUGAAGAACAAUAUAAAAGAAAAAUUAUCGAAAAAGAAUCAUAGACAACCGCGAUCUGAGAUGGAGGGAAGAGAACAGGUCGAAACAUGUUUUCUUAAACAUAAAGAGUUUCUAGUGGAAACAUAAAUACUAUUUUUUUCAAUAUAGAUAUACUAAAAAAUAUUAUAUAACCUAAGACUUUAUUCAUGUACAAAAGUCAAGUCAUAUUAAAAAACGUAACAAACUAAGGUUUUAAUAUAAUAGAUAGAGUUGUAAAAAUAAGUUAUAACCCGCAAGUCAAUUUGAUCUACCACAAAUUUGAGUCGAGUUAGAUUUGAAAAAAAUAUAUUUUUUUAUGCAGAUCAAUUUUCAAUCCAACUCAUUUAAUCUUAACUCAUCUAGAUUAAAUUCGUGGUGAGCCGGGUUAGCUCACCAACAUACCUAAUUUACCUUAAAAAAAUACUCUCUUCACUCAUCAUGAUUGUAUACUAAAAAAUAUUAUUUUGUACUUUUUUUUAUUAUUUUGAAUUGUCUUGAGUUUAACACUUUGAUAGUGAAAUUUAUUUAAAUUUGAAAUACAAUUUUUUUUUUUAAUCCAUAAAUUGAUUCACUAAAUGACUAACUCGUAGUAGGUCGAACCAGGUUCAGGUUGGGUUGAAUGACCCGUUUUGAGAAUAUGAUAGAAUUUCAAAUCUUAAACCACCAUAUUUAGAUAGUUUACUCUGUCGUUAGAAACACUGUAACUUUAUAUGGCUUUUUUUUUUUUUUUGUAAUAAUAGAAAAAAAAAAUAUCUUAUCACAAUAAUAAAUAUAGUGUUAAUAAUAAAAUUAUAAAAAAGAUAUGUAAAAAAUAUAAUUAUCGUGAUAUAAUAUGAAUAGAUUGUUGCAGGAAAUCUGCAACUUGUCACAAAUAUGAACUAGUUUUUCAUCAGUUUCGUUGAUUUUUUAUAUAUUUCUCAUGAAGCAGCAUGUAAGUUUUGAAAACUCUGUAUUCAAUUUUGGCAUGCAUCAAAACAAAAUAUUCUAUUUGGGCAUGUAAUAAAAACACACACACACAUAUAUAUAUAUAUAUAUAUAUAUAUAUAUAUAUAUAUAUAUAUAUAUAUUAUUACCACUUGGCAUAGGAGCUUCAUCACGCACGGGUUCUUUUAGAUAUGUUUAUUAGGAUGAGAAAAAAAUUAAGUCAUUUUUAAAUUAAUAAAUUAAUUAAAAUUAAGGAACUGUUUCAAUAAAAUGUAACUCAUACAUUUAUUAUUUUGAAAAGAAGAGAGUAAUUUUGGAAAAUGAGAUUUUUUUUUAUAGUUUUGACUCUCUUUUUUUUUUUUUUUCUUCAUAUUUCAGUAUAUUUCUUUUUACUUUCCUUACUACCAAGGAGGGAUGCACACUUCCAUUUUACUUGCAUUAAUAAUUUUUCACUUUACAAAUAAUAUUGUCAUUAUUUCUUAUUCUAUAUUGAGAACUUAUAUAUAUGUCUGAUAAUGAUUCGAAACAUCAGUACUAAAAUAAUGAAUCUUAACUUUGUAUUAAAAAAAUAUACAGACACAUAUUCUAUUCAUAUAUAUGCACUAAGAUUCGUCCUAAAAUAACAUAUUGCCUUAACAACCCUAAAACAUUAUUAUUAUUAUUAUUAUUAUUAUUAUUAUUAUUAUUAUUAUUAUUAUUAUUAUUAUUAUUAUUAUAAUAAAAGUAUGACUUAUGAGUAAUUUAAUUACGUGUAGUGGUAUAUUUAAAGAAAAUAGAAACAAAUAUAUAAAUAUUUCAGCGUUUUUUUAAAGAUAUAAGAUAUUUAUUUAUACAAGUCUAUGAAAUCCUUUAUAUUUUGAAGUUUGUAUUGAAAGAUGAUUUGUAGGAAGUUUGAUUAAAGAAUAAUUUUAUUUUAAUUUGUUAUGAUUUUUUAUAUAAACGAAUUAAAGUUAAAGUAAUGUUUACAUUUUUGUCAAAAAUUAAUGUUUACAUUUUUUAUAUAAUUUGUUCAGUAUUAUCAUUGAUUUAUCAUUGCUUAUAUAUCUUUUUAGCUAGGAUGAAUCUUUGUGCUGGAAGGAGAUAAAGGUAAUAGCGGAAUAUGACAAAAUAGCUGAGUAAUACAUUUAUGGGAAAGAAAGUAUUGCUAGAAGCUGAAAUUGCCUAUAGUGUGAGAAGAAAAAGUAAUGGUAGGUUACUGGGUAGUGUUGUUGAUGAAAAAGAGAUAAUAUAAUUUUUUUCUAACAUUUUUUAUUAUUUUUUAAACAACUUCUCUUCAUUUUUUUCACAGUUAUAUAUAUUAGUUUAAAAUUUAAAUUUUAAGAAAUCAUUAAAAUCUUAUUUUUGAUAAAUUUUGAUAUAUCAUAUAUUAAAUUAAAUAAUUAUUAAAGAAAAUUAAUCAAAACAAAUCAUUUAAUGUAUAAUAGGUUAUUUUAUUAAUUUAAUGACAUUAUAUUAAUAAAAAUUAUUAUUUUUUAUUUUCUUUAAAAAAUACGGAUGAAUAGUAACAAAAAUAAUUAAAAAAUAAAAUAAAUAUUUUAUCUCCAAGUUAUUAUUUAUCUUUAUAGACUAUUAAAAUAGAUUUCUACAACAUAUUUAUUUAUUUUUAAUAAAAAUUAUUAAAAUUAUUUUCAAUAAAAUAUAAUUUUUUAAUAUAUAAGUAUGAAUAGAUGAUUUUACCCAUAGAAUUUAAAUAUACAAUAUAAAAAUUUGGUUAAUACAUCCUAUGAUGUUUUAUAUGUUAUUUCAAAUUUCUAACUCAACUUUUAUAGACUUCAUUCAUGUAUAUCACACUAUAUUGAUCAUGCAAUUUUAUUUAUAUACAUUCAUGUUUAUCAUCUUCCUUUUCAUCAUGUAAAGUUUACAUAAUGCAUAAAUUACUAAUUUAUUUUCAUUUGAUUUUAAUUUCUUUGAUAAAAUACUAAUGAAUAAUAAAUUAUAUGUAGCAAACAUAACAGAAAUAAUACAAAAGACCAAAUAUAUAUAUAUAUAUAUAUAUAUAUAUAUAUAUAUAUAUAUAUAUAUAUUAAAAGUUAUUCUUUAAUAUUAAUAUUAUUAUGUAUCUUUAAAUAUAGGCUAUUGAAAUAAAUUCGUACUGUAUAUGUAUUUUUUUAAUAAAAUAAUUACUAAAAUUAUUUUCAAUCAGAAAUAAUUCUUUAAAUAAGAAUCUACAUAUAAAAUUUUGAAUUUGAUUGGUUUUUAAAAUCCAAUAUAAAAUUCAAUCCAAUCUAGUAAAAUAUUUUGAUUUUGAAUUGAAUUAUAACAAUUUACCUUUUCCACUAUACGUAUUUUAAUUUUUAUUUUUAGUUUCACUCUCAUAUUAUUUUGAAUUGGUUUAAUGCAUAAAAAUGUCUUCAAAUAAAACUUCUUAUUACUUUUUCUUUUUCAGAAAAAACAUGUUAUUACGUGAAAUUAAGAUGUUUCCAUACGAAUUUUUUUUCAAAAUUUUAUAUAGUCCGAAAUGUUUUUUUUUUUUUUUUAUGAAUUGAGAUUAGAGUGUUGGUAAAUAUUCUGAUCAAGUCAAUAAAUAAUAUGAUAUGUUAUGUUUAUAUUAUCAAAUAAAUCUUAUCUUAAUAAAUAACAUUUCUUAUAUAUCUAUUUUUUUUUCAUGGGUUUUACUUAAAUGAACUUGACUCAGAUAUACUAAUUCUAUUUUAGGAAUUUUUAGGACAUGGACAUUGAUUAACAACAUAGAGUUACUUUUCUUUAGGUUGAAGGAUAAAUAAACAUCAUGUUCUUCUAGGGAUAAAAUCACAAUUAUACUCGAACUCUUCUUCCUAUUUUGAAUCAAUCACAUUUAUAAUAUGAAAUGCCACGAUGGAUUAUGGAUGUAUUUGUUUUUAUAAUUUAAUUAUGUCAGUGUAAACCAUUUUACAGUAUUAUUUAACUACGAAUUGUUAUAGAGAGACAAAUAUUAAUUUUUAAUUAUUUUACUUUAUAAAUUAGUUGAGCACGUGUGUCAAAAUAGAACUAUUAUUUAGGGAAAAUGAUAUUUUAACACCAAUUUUUUACACUUUUGACAUUGCACAUGUGUCAAAAUGUGAUUGGACGAUUUUAAAUUAAAAAAAAGCUGAGACAAGGACAUAUUUGGAAGAGAAAAACUAAAGUUCUUUUUUAAUUUGAAAUCGUCCAACUACAUUUUGACAUGUGUGUAAUGUCAAAAUAGUAUCAAAAAAUUAGUGUUAAAAUAUCAUUUUUCUUAUAUAUAACGAUUUCUUUUAAGAGAAUGGGACCUUCCUUAAAACUUCAUGAUUUAGAGAUAAAGAACAAUAAUAAUUUUUAAACAAUCUUCAAAACUAAAUUACUAAAUCACAUGGCUUUGUUUGAAUAAAAUAAUUGAAGAGAAAGAAGAAAGAAAUAAAAAUGUAAAACCAUAACAUUCAUGAUAAUAACUCUUGAAUAAUACAACUCAAAGCUCAAAUAACAAAGGUUUACAGUGAUAAAAGGAAAUAUGCUAAUGGGUACAAAAGCAGCGUCAAAGACAAUGUGACAUAAACAACAACAUACAAAAUGAGACAUAUGCACGUAACAUGGAACUGUUAUUGAAAGGAAAAUGAAGCCACCAAGCCCUUAGAUAGAGACACUGUUAGGGAUUCCUCUAAAAGUCAUCCCUGGUUUACUGGUAGGAAGAAGCAGAGUGUAGGGCAUUUUGACUGGUCCAGUACGAUUUUUAAGUCCUUCAGUCUUGUUCCUUUCUGAGAUUUUUUUCUCAAUUUUUUCUAAGUCAUCUGCAAAUCUUUUAAACAAAUCUUUUGCUUUUUCAUUAGAAGUCCAAUUCAGACUGUUCCUUUGUCCAAGAUACACCUCGUCUGAAGCAUGGGUUGAUAGUAGCUCCAAUAUUGAAAGAUCAACAACGGCCUGGUACUUUGGAGUAAUUGUUUUCAAAUAAGCUUCUUGAGGAUUCUUGCUCAUCUCAUCAUAUUCUGGAGUUUUUUCUUCUGGGAUCCAUCUUCGGCUUUGUGUAGGACGGUUCACGAUAUAACCUCCAUAAGGAUACUGUCCAAAAUUAACAGCGGCAUGAAGAGCUGAAGCAAUCCAUAUAAUGGUAGUGCAAAUCUCCACCAGAUCAUUAGAAGUAUGCAUUUUUGGCCAUAGAUCUGCUUUUAAGUCACCAUGACCCUUCUCCACAGCUUCCUUCCACCAUGCUUGCAAUUCAGUAUCUCUUUGAACUGCUCCCUCCUCUGAAUAGUACAGAGACACAUACUCUUGUACCCACUUCUCAGUAGCAUUCCAUAUUUCUAGUCCAUCAACAGCAUAAGGAUAGUCCUCUAUCGCAAGUUUAAGGCCAUGAGGGGCAGUUGUAUCCUCAACCGCCAAUCCUCUAAAUCGUUCAAAAGAAAAACAAAAAAAAAAAGAGUUAUUUUGAUAUUUUCCCAUAAUUUAACACAUUGUUUUAUCUACUUUAAUACGGUUAAUUUACCUUUUGAUGAGAUCCUUUGGUAAUGCUUGGUCAGCGAAAACCCAAUUCUUGUAUAUAGCAGAAGACAUCACCAUAGAAUAUGGUCCAGGCAAAAAAGUUUGCUCUAUGAUGCUACCUGCACUAAUUAGGGUCUUCCUGGCAAGUGAAUUUAUAUUUAAGGUGUCACGGAAGUGAGGAUGAAGGAGUUUGUAAAUGGGGUGAAGUACACUGAGAUUCCUGUGUGUUGAUAUGACAAAUGGCUCAAUCACUGCGUGAGUAUGUAACCUGUGACAUUUAACAGACACCAAGAAAGUUAAAAGACUAAAUUUCGUAUUACAUUAUAAAGUUUGCAUAUGUAUGCUUCUAGCAGAUAGAGUUGUUAUAAAUAUACCAGUGGCUUAUGAGCUGAUGAUAGUUGGUGUCAUUUACAACAACAUGAGCUUUGGCCAAUAACCAAAUUAUACCGUCCACACCAUUGUCUGCAGGCAGCACCACUUUGGUCUCGUCAUUCGGAUGUGGCUUGCUUAAUUCAAUAGCAAGUGGUUUCAAUGUAUCAUCUUUUAAGAACAAGAAUGUCCUGGUGGCAUAAGCCUUUGCAGAAGGAAGUUCAUUUAUCUUCUCCAAAUACGGCAUGAAUGCGUCAUAGUAAUCCAAUAUGAACAAUUUAUUAUUAGCAAAUGCCUGUUCCACAAAUUUAAGUUCAGUGAUCAUUUUGUUAAUAUCAUAUAUACCUUUGAAUCACAAUAGGAAAGAAUAAUUCCAAAAUCCAAGUAUUUAGAGGAAGUGUUGAACUUUGUAUUUCUAUCAUAUUAAAUCGUUUCUCUUUAGUUCAUUACCUCAUCUACUUUGACUCCAUUCAUGUUAAUCUCCAAAGUUUCUUUUGUUACUGUACUUCGUGAUGUGUUCCCUGGAAAUGCGAGGUCCUCCUUCUGCCAUUAAUAAAGAUGUCCAAUAAUCAGAAAGAAAGGCCAUAUAAAAGAUCUCUGUAUAUUAAAAGUAAAUUUAAUAUAUUUGCACUCACUUUAAGAAGCCGAAUUACAUGAGGGUUUACACCAGCAAUCAUCUCUCUUGCAAAUUCUUCAUCAGUCAUCCAUGCAGACUUGCUCUCUAUACAAAAUGAUAACAAAGAAAAUAAGAUUGGCAAAGAGUGUAAUGUUUGGAAGUGGUUAUGCCGGAGUUAUAAGUAAGCAAUAGUUACCUUUGAUUACAUCAGGAGUUGGGAAGUCAAUGACACUUGGAUUUCCACCUUCAUACAUUUUCAGCAUUUCUUCGAAGCUGUUAAAUUCAUUUGAUGUUGUCUUUAAAUACAAAGAUAGGAGCAAAGGUUUCACUUUUCCACCUAAAGCUUUCCUUGAUAAUUCAAGGAAUUCUAAAGUCUUCUGCUGACUGAAAUCUUCAUCUCUUGGCACAUAAUAAACCUCGUCUGGUACCUCGUAUUUUUCACCUGUCAAGACAUACAUAGAGACUCAUUUAUCAUCCACAAUUCAAACUUUUAUUUGUCACAUGUUUCGUUUACUGGGCCUUUCAUAUUAGACCAUGUGAUUAAAACAUGAUAAAAUGUAACUCACCAUUUCUUUCGAUGAGGGGUCUCCCCGUCCUAACCCUACGAGGGUAGGGAUAUUUGAGACCUCCAAGAACUGGGUGAUGUUCUUGUCUAUCGCUUUCAAGAAAGCCCAGAUCAUUAUAGACAUCAUAAUCAUAAAUCCUAUCCCCUUUCUCACGCUUUCCAGUUCCAUUUCCCCUUAAAUUCUCCAACUCCUUUUGUCUGUACGCUUGUAAUUGCACCGGUGUCUCACCAGGAAGAUAUGACUGCAAUGCAUAUUUUUUCAUAAAUAUAUAGUUUUCUCAUUUAAAUUUUAAGAAUGGAAAUAACAAAGAUCGUUAUUUGACUUACAAUGUUGGCGAAGAAUAUGCGACCUGUUUCGCUACGCUUAUCGUUGUGAACCCAGGAAUUACAGUCNAAGUGAAUAAUAUUGUUCUUGUCGUGUUCACUUGGAUAUUCAAUAGUGACACUAACUAGGAAGAACUCUUCAUUCAUUUUGUUUGUUACAUAAAAUGCACCUGGAGUUCCCAUAUCUUCAUCAUCCCAUUCAAAAUAAAUAUCGUAUUCCUCCCGUGUCUCUUUCAAAGUUCGUAACACAGAAACAUUAUUCUCCAAAUAGGCAUCCUUUCCAACUUUCCCAGCUGAAUUACUUUCUGCAAGAUGCAAACAAAUCAAAACCUACAUGUUUAUGGAAUGCAGAAAGACUUUUUUACAGUAUCAUCUGAUUUCAAAUCAUCAUACAUGAUAUAAACUAUUGGUUUUGGUAAGAAACGUAACUAUAUUUGAAAGAUUGAUGAUAGAAAAACUUGUAUACUGAUAAUGCACAGUGUGAACUGAAAAGAAAAACAUGAGAAAGAGAGAAGACUAACCAUUCUCUGACUUGGAACUACUAAUCAACUUGAAAGACACAGACUUAGUGAUAUCAAGUUGGGGUGAGUCGUUAAUUAUCUUGAUGCCAGUGGCAAGAAUACCCUUAGGAGUGCUUAGGGUUUGAACCACACUCUUCCUUAUCAACACCACUCUCCCCUUCACCAACUUUUUCUUUUCCACUAUUGAACUCAUUGCUAUAGCAAGAACAAUUUCUUAUGAAUCUAAUUAUGCUGUGAGUUGUGAGGAAUUCAUGCUCUAAUCUCAGCUAUUUAUACACAAAAGUAUGUGAUACUGAUCGUAUUUGUAUACUCGUAAAGAAAGGAACAUAAACAAAAGAGGAUAGAUCAGAUAAGAUGAUAAAUCUCUUUAUAUAAUAUAUGCCAGUGGUGUGAACACUGCGUGAGCAUUAUUUUUUAUAACAUGUUGCUUCUAUUAUAGUUAUUAAUUUAUUUUAUAAUAUAUGUCCCAUAUUUAUUUUUCUACAUUAUGUUUUAGAUAUUACAACAUUUCCAAUUUACUUAUUUUAUUUUAUCUUCGACAGGAAAUUAAUAGCAAUAUUUCACAUUCUUUAGCACAUGAUUCUUAGAUUCCCCUCAAAAAAAAAAUCACUGGUUUGACAUUUGAAAAACAAUUUAAAAGGAAAAUUAUCACCGCGAUCUGAGAUCGAGGGAAGAGGACAGAUCGAAACAUGUUUCUUAAACAUAAAGUGUUUCAUGUGGAAACAUAAAUACUAUUAUUUUUCAAUAUAGAUUAUAAAAAAGAGGAUAAUAAUAUUUUGACAAUUCUUUUUUAACAACUUUUUAACAAGGAGGACACGUGUUAUCACUCCAUUUUAUUGGUCUGUUUGAAUUUAUGUUUAAAAAGAUAUUUGAAACGGACCAAUCAUAGACGGUCACGUAUGCGUUGUCAGAAAAAAUUGUUAAAAAGACUUUUUCCUAUAAAAUAUUAUAUAACCUAAGACUUUAACUAAUGUACAAAAGUCAAGUCAUAUUAAAAAACACAACAAACUAAGGUUUUAAUAUAAUAGAAUUUCAAAUCUUAAACCACCAUUCAGAUAGUUUACUCUGUCGGUUACAAACACUCUGACUGUAUGGCAUUUUUUUUUCAAUAAUAGCAAAAAAAAUAUCUUAUCACAAUAAUAAAACUGUUAUUAUAUAUAUAGUGUUAAUAAUAAAAUUAUAAAAAAGAUAUGUGAAAUAAAUAUAAUCUUUAUUAUUGUUGCAUUAUCGUGAUUUAAUAUGAACUAGUUUUUCAUCAGUUUCGUUGAUAUUUCAUUUCUCAUGCCACGUUCAAGCAGACAUGUAAGUUCUGAAAACUCUGUAUUUGUGCAUGCAUCAAAACAAAAUAUUUUUUUUAAAUUAAUAAAUUAAUUAAAAUUAAGGACUUGUAUCGAUAAAAUGUAACUUAUACAUUUAUUAUUUUGGAAAGAGAAGAGUAAUUUUGAAAAAUGAGUUAUUUAUUUAUUUAUUUAUUAUUAUUAUUAUUAUAGUUAUCACUUUUUUCUCUUCAUAUUUCACUGGAAAGUAAACAUGAGGAACAAAGUGAUAUAUUUCUUUUUAGGUUAAAACCACUUAGGCGUCCCUGUUUUCGUAAAGUUUUUCCAUUUUGAUCUCGUUCUUAUAAAAGUUCCCAAUUGGUCCUUAAAAGUAUCAAUUUCGUUGAAAUUAACCCGUGCCGUUAAAAUUGAGUAACGAUGUUAAAUCUGGGUAAAGUUGGAUGGAGGACGUGUCAACCAUUAAAAAUCAGAGGAAACGUGGCAGAAAACUGAGUGGUACGUGGCUACUAAUCCAUUCAUUAAAAACGUUAAUUAGAUUUGUAAUUGGUAAAGCAUUUGAAGAAUGAAAUUGUGAGUUUAAGUUCUGAAGUAGGAGACCCAGCUCGACAUAUUUAGGGUUCAUCGGUGUUGAAGAGGGAAGUUCUACAGUACAAGACGUAACCAUGUCCUUGGGUCAUUCCUAUUGCUCUUCAACUUGCAAUGCAUGCAGAAGAAAGCAUUUCCGUUCUGCUUCGAGCUCUCAAGGAGAUGGAGGUUGGAACAAGAAAGAUGCAUCGAUGAUCUGCCAUUGUGGAGAGAAGAGUGUGUUGAGGACUGCAAAAACGACGAAGAAUCGAGGGAAACUGUUCUGGGGUUGCCCUAGGUAUAAGAUGGGGAGUGAAAAUGGAGGAUGCAACUUCUUCAAGUGGUUUACUGAUUGGGGAGUUGAAGAAAGUGUUAGCUGUGAGGUGUUGGAAGCAAAUGAUGAGAGGUUGGUGAAGACUUUUGAAAACCAAGGUGUUAAGCAGAGCUUUGAUGUGUAGAAAGCUAUUAUGGGUCUUCAAAAUUGGAUGAAAUAUUUGGUUUUGGUUGUUAGUGUUGUCUUUAUAAUGAACAUGAUUAUAAUUGCAAUGCUCAUGGGAAGGGUUUGAUAAUGUAUGUAGAUGUAGGUUUUGGUCAGUACAAUGUACUUAGUUGGUUUGUUUUGGUAUUAAUUACAGGAUUUGGUCAUGUUAUUGUACUUAGUUGGUCUGAAGAUGUACUGCUUCAGAUGUAGGUUUUGGGUAAUGUUAAUGUUUUGUGCACUGAAGAUGUAUUGUUUCAGAUGUUUAAGAUGUUUAAUGUAGUGCUUGAUAUGUUUAAUGAAAAUGAUAUUUUGGAAAGCAUGACUUCAGACUAUUGGCAGUUGAUAAAACAUCAUUUAUCAAAGUUGUUUACUGGCACCUGAUUAAAGAAGUAACAUCAACUUAUAUAUAUAUAUAUAUAUAUAUAUAUAUAUAUAUAUAUAUAUAUAUAUAUAUAUAUAUAUAUAUAUAUAUAUCAAUCUGAAUACAGAAGUAAAAUAGACAAGGGAGUUUAACAACUGAAACAAAGAUUUUAAUAUAAAUAACAAAAGGUAAUCUUUCAUUGUUCAUCAGCCAACACUGUAAACAUCAAAGUUACAUAUGGUACCACUAAAACAUCAGAGUUUUUUAAACAUAAAAAUCUAGUAAACAUCAAAAUCUGGCCUAUUACAUAUUCUACCAUCAUAAUCUGGCCUAUUACAAAAUAUGUUAAACAUCAAGUUGUCUGUGUAUCUACUCCAUCUGGUUGACCUUAAGGUAAUGUGCUGGGUUCUCCCUGUUGCUGCCCUUGGCUUUGUUUUGGGCAAUUUCUUUUGUUGUGUCCCACUUCCCUACAGAUGGUGCAUCUCUUGAGUAAGCCCCCUUUAGACAUCUUGGUAGAACUUUUCUUCAACUCCUAUUGCUCUAAUCUCCUUUUCUUCUUAUGACGACCAGGCAGCUGUCUUUUUGGUGGAGGCAAGACAUCUGGACAUUGAGUGACCUCCCAUAGAUGUUUUCCAUUAAUGGGGUAUAUAAUGGAGGAAUACAUCUCUUCAUAGGUUGACUUUUUAAACCAUACAGGUAGAUAGUCCUCCGCAGUUAGGUUCAGAAACUUCAUUGUUGUCAAUGCAUGCACACAUGGAAUUCCACUGAUGCUCCACUUCCUGCAAGAACAUGUAUAUUUAUCUAUAUCCACCACAAAGUUGUCCCCACUUUGGGACACAUGUCUGAUCUCAAAAAGUUUGUGUGCAGACCAGCUGUCAACAUAAACAACCAUUAUUUAUAUGAUAUAUGGGUAAACAUAAACAAGUAUAUACUAAUGUAAUAGUUUUGGAUACCUGGGAACCCAGUUCUUUGUUUGUAGUGCCUCCUUCCGUAAUCUACUUUGAGUUGUGGUUGUGAACCUUGAUUUUGACCAAAACCUUCAAGGAAAACAAAAUUUAACUUAGAUAAUAUGAAAACAAGAGUUGUGUUAGAUAAUUUGAUAAGUAGUAUUAAGUAAGAAUGACAAACCUUGGAGGAAUGGACAUCAGAUGUUUAAAAGCAUCUUCAUUAACCUCUUUCAUAUGUCUCAUCUCAGUCUCCCAUUGUUGUGGAUGGGUUGUUGUAGCUGCCCUCCACAUGAGCCUCUUCAAGUUUUUCCCAGGGAAUUUUUUCUUGAAGUUGGCAUAUAAGUGCCUUACACAAAAUCUUUGUGCAACUCCAGGUAUAACAUCUUCUACAGCAUAUCUUAAACCCUAUCAUUCAUAUGCUUCAUUAGAUGGAGAAGUUAUUUGUGUAAGAGGAAAGACAAGAACUAAAAAGGAAACAACCUUUUGUUGAUCUGACAUGAUAGUUAGUCCAGAACACACAUCUGGACCACCUAAGUCUGCAAUCAAUAGCUCCAGAAACCAUGUCCACGUGUCCUUGUUUUCAACUUCAACAAUUGCAUACGUCAGUGGCAACAUUUGGUCAUUUGCAUCUCGUGCCACAACAGUUAAUAGCUCACCAUGAUGGUUGCCUUUCAAGAAGGCUCCAUCAAGACCAAUGAUUGGCCUGCAUGAAAGAAAGCUAUUUUUGCAUGCUUUAAGGCAUGCGUAAAACCUCUGGAAUAUUACUUUCCCAUUAUUCCCAUCAUAAGGCUCAACUUUUACUUUGAUUGUAGACCCAGGGAUUCUUGCUAAUAACUCAUUUGCAUAAUCAAAUAUUCUUGUAUAUUGCUUAGUGAAGGAACCUUCCACUUCGUCUGAUGCAUAUGUUUUGGCCCUAUAAGCCAUAUUCUUAGAUAUGGUUAUAUUCCAUUUCCUUGAAAUUUUGUCUCUAAUGUCAACUCCCUUGACAUUAGGAUUCUCUCUCACUGUUUUUUCCAGUUUUUUACUCAGCCAUUUGGCAUUGAAAAGUCGAACCUUGUGUUCCUUACUACAUGUAUGACUGUCAACCACAGUCCUCAGUUGCCAUGAAUUAACUGCACCCAUGAAACCAAAAUAUGCCACCCAUGGGCAUUCUCCUUUUGAACCCAAGCAUGUAACCCUUAUUCGUUUUUUAUCAUUCUUGACAAGUUUCAAAUUUUUCCCAUUCUCCAUUGCAUAACUUUUGAUGGCAUCAAGGAUGUCUUCUUUAUUCAUAAAGUAAGUUCCCACUUCCCAGUUAAAAUCAACCAUAUUUUUUGGUUGAGUAAAUGUGGCAAAAUUCUCAUACCCUUCGUGUUCACUGUCUUCAUCACUAUUGUGAGGAGAAAUUAAUUCCUCAGAUUGCCAAUCAUCAUUGAACCAUCUGGAAUCGUCCAUAUCGUGUUCAUCCAAAUCAGAAUCAGAACCAGGUAGAAAAGGUUCAACCUCAACCUCCAAAUCACCACAACUUUCACUUACAUCACAUUGAACAUCUAUGUCUACUAAUCCAUCCUCAUUAUCCAUCUCACCAUCACUUUCUUGUGUUGAACUCCAAUCACCAACUUCUACAUCAUCCAUCUCACCAUCCUUUUCAGCCUCAACUUCAACUUCACCUGCUUCUGCCCUAUCAACCUCAGAAGUAUUAGCCUAAACUUCAAUACCAUCUAGUUCUGCCUUAUCAACUUCAAUACCAUAUGCUUCUGCCCUAUCAACUUCAAUACUAGGAGUUUGAAGUUCAACUUCAGCUGCCUCUGUCCUCUGAACAUCAUUUUCAUUUUCCUCACCAUGAACUUCCUCAGCCUCACCAACAACUAUAACAUCUAUACCCUCACCAACAACUACAGCAUCCUCACCAACAACUUCCUCAGCCUGGCCGACAACAACUUCUAUCCUCUCACCAUCAGCAGGUACCCCCUCAUCCAACUCUUCACCCUCACCACCCUCUUCUAAACCCUCAACAAAUGGUGCAACUUCCUCACCUCCUACAUCAACGUUAUACUCAAUCAUGUGAAUGACUUCAGCCUCAGACACAUUGUGCACUACAUACAAAUGAACUCGUCCAUUUAAGUGAGCUAAGGUGACCAUUUGCAUGGCACCAACGUCAUCAGUCAAUGCUUGUAGCCUAUCAUCUAAGACAGGACCACAACCAACAGAAUACCAUAACUCUUUAAAACCAUCAUACCCUAGACUUUUCACUACACUCACUACCACCAAAUAACUCCAUACGUUAGGAUCAAAACAAAGUGUCUCAAUUUCCCCUUCAUACUUCAAGCAGCCCUCAUUCACGAACUUUCCCCCAUGGUGAAUAACUACUUGUAUGUGGUCCAUCACUCACAACACCGUAAACAAAGUUCUACACCUACCAAAAGAAAAUAAAAGGACAAAACACACCGCUCAUUAAAGUGAUACUGACAAAAGAAACUUAAGUAUAACUAUGGGGGGACAUGGGGGACCACAACCGCAGAAAGAAUACACCACAUUUUCAGACAACACACACCCCACAUUAAAAAAGGCAUCCCCAGAUAACAACGUCAACAAUCACAAUCCAAUAUAAAAUUCAUAGCUAAAUAAGAUAUUGUUUCAUCAGAUUCAAGACAAACCUUCCAGCAAAUUCGAGACAAACCAGUUGACGGACACGUAUAACCAAGUCGCAAUUGAAGUCAAAAUAGGGAAUGGCCAAGCUUCAAAGACCGAAUCAAGUAUGGAUCGUCUCCACUGACGAUUGAUAAUGAACUUUCGAUGAUACCUCUCAGAUUCCUCUCACAGUUUUAAUGAAAUUUAAUCCCAAUUGCUUUUCGAUUUACUAUAACCCUAAUUCCCCUUUUUUAUUUCACUCAACCCUAAUUCCCUUUUUUAAUUAACUAACUCUAAUCCCCUUUUUAAUUUCAAUUUAUCAAUUAAUCACGCCACGUAUCACUCAGAUUUCUGCCACGUUUUUAAUGGUUGACAUGUCUUCCAUCCAACUCUGCCCAGAUUUAACACCAUUUCUCAAUUUUCACGGCAGGGGUUAAUUUCAACGAAAUUGGCACUUUUAAGGACCCAAUUGGGAACUUUUAUAAAAACGGGAUCAAAAUGGGAAGAUCUUACGAAAACAGGGACGCCUAAGUGGUUUUAACCUUCUUUUACUUUCCUUUCUAUCAAAGGAGGGAUGCACUUUCUUUUUAGUUAUUUUUCUACAUUAAUAAUUUUUCACUUUACAAACAAUAUGUCAUCUUUUAUUCUAUAUUGAGAACGUAUAUUACUGAUAUAAUGAUUCGAAACAAACCAUGUUCAGUGCUAAAGAUAAUGAAACUUAACUUUGAAAAAGUCUACAGCCAUAUUGUCGCAACCAGAAUCGCGACGGGACGACGACGAUCCAAAAAAAGAGAAAUAAUUUGAAAAAUAUGUUUUGGAGUCGCCAUCAUAGUUUAUUCUGGAAAACUACGGAAAAACCAUAAAAUGACAAGGCAAGGUCUGCGAAAACCGAAUUUCGGGUUCGGAAAUCGGUUACGUGUAGGGAAGGUAUUAGCACCCUACAACGCCUGCCCUAAGGCAGUACCUUUAAUUAAAUGCGCGAAUAAAGAUAUGUUUGCAAAAUGUUUAACUAUCCCAAGAACAACAAAAUAAAGAAACAAAAAUAUUUUUUAGGUUUUUGGGCCCGACAAGGAUAGACCUUGCUCCUACGUAUUCUCAUUCAAAAUGAGAAAUCAGGGUUACGUAGUUCUUUCUGAAAAUUUGUUGUUUGAAGAUAUUUUUACUUUUUGAAGAUUUUAUAUUUUUUGUAUUUUUUAUAUAAAAGAGAAGAGGUUUUUAGCACAAGGCCUACGCGAGCGGUCGCACGUGUGCUUAAACCUUUUCAAAAUAUUUUUAUUGAUUUUGAUUUAUUAUGAAAGAGAAGGAAAAUAUUUUCAGCACAAGGCCUACGCGAGCAGUCGCACGUGUGCUUAAACCUUUCAAAAUAUUUUUGUUUAAUUUUUAAUUUUGGUAAAAGAAAAGGAAAAGGUUUUCAGCACAAGGCCUAAGCGAGCGGUCGCACGUGUGCUUAAACCUUUUCAAAAUAUUUUUAUUUAAUUUUUAAUUUUUGUAAAAGAAAAGGAAAAGAUUUUCAGCACAAGGCCUACGCGAGCGGUCGCACAUGUGCUUAAAUCUUUUCAAAAUAUUUUUANCUUUUCAAAAUAUUUUUAAUUGAUUUUUAAUUUUUGUAAAAGAAAAGGAAAAGAUUUUCAGCACAAGGCCUACGCGAGCGGUCGCACGUGUGCUUCAAUUUCUCCUCUGCACCUCAAGGUACCAUGACAAAAGCAUUCCCAUGCAACCGUUGAGUAGCUCUCUUCCUCCUAUUUAUUGAACACCUAAAUUUAUUUUAUAAUAACAAAACACCACUGUCCCUUACUCAUAUUACUCAUGUAACUCUACGUUUUUUUCCAAGGUCCCUCCACAAGUCACUCUCCCCCUUCUUUCCUUUUUCUUCCACAAACCGAGACCCAUAAAACACUACCCCAAAAUUGAUUCUCUUUUUAAUGUCACAAACUUUUUCACUUCCAAACAACUUAUAAUAGUUCAAUCUAUAACCAUCAUAAAUUAAACAUACUCAUUUUUCACCAGUUUCAUAACUCAUCACAUAUCCUCCAAUAUUCAUAAAACUUAACAUACAAUUCCAAAAUAACACACCAAAAUAAAAUUCACCAUAUAUGUAGAGCAUAUAAACAAUUCAAAGAAACAUAACUAGCUCCCCUUACUUUUUGGUUCUCACAACACAGUUCCUAGAAAACGCCCUAACAGUAUCUCCGCACAGAGGUAAUUUCGACAAUACCUACAAGCCACCAAUUUGGUGUAGAGCAUAGACUUUAAGGCUUGAUAGGAUAAGGAAAAUAAAAAUAACUCUACUUGCAAGGUAGAACCUUUGCAUGAGUAAAACACUAGGGUACGGAGAAUGGGAAAUUUACCUUAUCAGUGGAGAGACGCGAAACUAAUCGGAUGGAUUGGAAGCUCUCAACUCCGGGAACGUAGGGACACCACCUAUUUGGAAAAGCAAUGAUAGAAAUUUGAGAAAGGGUAGAGAGAAGAUGGAGCAAGGUUUAGAGAGAAGGCAGAGCUUCUAAAGAACCCAACUUUUAGAAAGAGAGGGAAGUUAACAAAUGAGUUCUAAUUUCUGAAAAAUUUCUCUCUAAGGUCAGAUUGUCCCUAGCCUUAUGGGCUUGACUGUCUCACAUAAGGCCCAAUGACUUUAAAAAACUUUUUAGGCCCUUACAUCUUUAAAUAUAGGCUAUUAAAAUAAAUUUGUACUGUAUAUGUAUUUGUUUUAAUAAAAUAAUUACUAAAAAUUAUUUUCAAUCACAUAUAAUUCUUUAAAUAAUAAUCUACAUAUAAAAUUUUGAAUUUGAUUGACUUUUAAAAUUCAAUUUAAAAUUCAAUCCAAUAAAAUAUUUUGAUAUGGAAUUGAAUUAAAACAAUUUAUCUUUUUCACUGUACACAUUUUAAUUUUAAUUUUUUGUUUCACUAUUUUAUUAUUUUGAAUUGGUUUAAUGCAUAAAAUUGUCUUCAAAUAAAACUUACAAGAAAAGAUGUUUUAUUACUUUUUCUUUUUCAAAAAAUAUGUUAUUACUUGAAAUUAAGAUAUUUCACAAUACUCUUUUUUUCUUGAAAUUUUAAUAUUCUCUUUCUGUUUAUCCCAAAUGUUCCUUUCACUAAAUUAAAAUGGAUAAUGAUAUUUAGACAACAUUUUUUUUAUAACAUUUGAAUAUUAAUUGAUACGUAAUCAAUGUUCGAAUGUUGUAAAAGAAAUAUUGUCUAAAUAUCAUCAUCCAAUUGAAAUACAAGUGCUUGUGAAGACUCUCAUGUUUAAUCAUGUUUAAGUAAUAUGAUAUGUUAUGUUUAUAUUUAUCAAAGAAAUGUUACCUUAAUAAAUAACAUUUCUUAUAUAUCUUUUCUCUUUUUUUUUCAUGGGUUUUGCUUGAAUGAACUUGACUCAAAUAUAUUAAUUUUAUUUUAGGAAUGUUUAGGACAUGUACAUUGAUUAACAACAGAGAGUUACUUUUCUUCAGGUUGAAGGAUAGAUAAACAUCAUGUUUUUCUAGGGCUAAAAUUACAGUUAUACUCGUACUCUUCAUUGGUACUUCGCUUUCUUCUUCAGAGCUUCUUCCUACUGCAUGAUUUCUAAUAAGGUAACGACGACCAAAGUGAUCAAUAUCUCUUUCUCUGAUGAGCUUUCGGUUAGGGAAGCCAAGGAGUGAGUACACAGACGACACUUCUUCGAACACAUAUAUUGACUUUUGGAUUUUUUGUCAUAAUUAGAUCAAUUUUAAUAAAAAAAAAAUUAUUUCAAAACUUAUAAAUACAUAAUUAAGGUGGAUGUUUGCAUUCAUUGUGAAUUUAAGAAUUUAUUAUGAUAAUGAUCAAAACAUAUAAUUGACUUUGUAAUGGAAUUGAGAAGAAGGAUAACUUUGUAAUGAAAUCCUAAGACAACACUAAAAAUUAAAAAAAAAAUGUGAAAGAGUGUUAAGUGUGAGAAUGUUAACUCUGAUUCUCGACCCCACACUCGAAACAAUAUAUUAACUAAAUUUAUCUUUAUCAUAAAUAAAGCUAAAUUUAUAAUAUAUAAAUAAAUACAAAUAAUUAAGAUUUAUUAUAAAUAAAUAUUAUUUUAGUAAUUCUUUUUAUAUAUAUUAUUAUAUUCAUAUGUAAUUUUUUCUUUUUAUUCUAGAACAAUUUAAUAAAAAAAAUCAGCUAUUAGACUAUAGUCAAAUAGCAAUACUCAGGUUUUUCAUGAAAAAAUUAAAUAGAUUGAAAUUGAUCUUAUUUUGUUCGUAAUGAAAUAAUAGCUAGCACUAUUUGUCCUUCAUAUCUUCUUAUAACUAGUAUACAUUGGACAAAAAUAAAAACACAAUCUGACUAUUUUUUUGUGCAUGUCAGACAUUCAAGAUCUUCCUAUUUUAUUAUCUUCAUAUAUUUCAGUAUCAUUAUGAUGGUUUAUUUUAUUAUUGAUAGGGAGAUAUAUAUUUUAUUUUUUCAUAAACAUAAUUAUCAUCAUAUUUAUAAUUAUGUUUAAGAACAUUAUUUGAAAGCUGUUUGUAAUAUAUAUUUAUAUUAGUGGCUUAAUAAAUAAAGGAGAAUGAGUUUUUUUUUUUUUCUGUAGAACUUAUCACAACUCUGCUAAAAUAAUACAAAAGAAACAAUUCCCUGUCAAAUAUAACGAGUUUUCUUAAUAAGGAAAUGCUUUUGUUACUAACAUAAGAGCUUAACUUCAGCAUAAGCCAUGCCAAAGAUCAGUACAGAAGGUCAUAUACAUAUAUGACAGCAAACAAUAGUAAAAAAAACCCUAAUAGUAAAACCACAACCAGAAAAAUUGACCAACAACCUUAGAUAUAUAUGAAGACCUUAUUUCUUAAAACUCUUAACAAAUGAUACCGAAAUGCAAUAUAAUCAAACAGAUACGUAAUAUUAAAGUCACGCUUAAAUACCAUGCACAAGUUUAGAUAGAGAUACUGUUUGGAAUUCCUCUAAAAGUUAAACCCGUAUCACUGUUGGGAAGAAGAACAGUAUAAGGCAAUUGAACUGGUCCAGUUCGAUUUUUAAGAUUCGGAUCAUGGUUUCUUUCUGAAAUUCUUUUCUCAAUCUCUGCUAACUUUUCUCCGAACCUUUUAAAGGCUUCUAUUGCCUUUGGAUUAGAUGUCCAAUAUGGAUUGUCCCUCUGUCCAAGGUACACCUCAUCAGAAGCAUGUCUUGACAAUAUUUCUAUCACUGAAAGGUCAACAAGAGUUUGAUACUUAGGCGUAAUUGUUCUCAAAUAAGCCUUUUCAGGAUUCUUCUCCAUCUCAUCAUAUUCUGCUGUUCCUUUUUCCGGUAUCAAUCUUCUGCUAAGAGUUGGACGAUUGAGGAUAAAUCCACCGUAAGGAUAUUGUCCGAAAUUAACCGCUGCAUGAAGAGCUGAAGCAACCCAUAUAAUGAUAGUACAAGAUUGAAUAAGCUCUUCACGAGUGUGUACUUUAGGCCACCACGACUUUUCUUUUAAAUCGCCAUGACCCUUCUCAACAACUUCUCUCCACCAAGCUUGGAGUUCACGGUCUUUUUUAACCAUAUCAUCUGUCACAUAGUACAAGGACACAUAUUCUUUGACCCAUGUCUUGAUAGCAUUCCAUAUCUCCAAUCCAUCCACAGCAUAAGGGUAGUCCUUUAUCACAAGACGGAGGCCGUUCGGAGAAGACGAAUCCUCAAUAGCCAUUCCCCUUAAACAUGCAAAACAAAUCGUUAUCAAUGAUAUAGCUUUCCAUUAUGAAAGAGAAACAAUGUGUUAUAACACAGAAAAAUGUUCCUUCAUGUCAAUCAGUUUUAAGAAAGUUAGUUUGCACAUAUUGAGUGGCUCUCAUUUGACAAAAGUCAAAAUUUGAAUUUUUAAAAAUCAGUUUGAUAUUACUGUACUACAGGCAAGACCAAUCAUAUAUAUAUAUAUAUAUAUAUAUAUAUAUAUAUAUAUAUAUAUGGGUUUGUUAAUACGCGUUCGCCUGUUUUUCAGUUGGUACGUUUUAACAUUGUGUACCAGAUUAUAGUAGACAAAAAUACCCUUAUUUAUCAUGGAUUCUAAGUUUUAAGGUCAAGGAUAUUUAAAUAAUUUUCAUUCUCAAAACAUAAAAAAAAAGAAACCCCCAAACACUUUCUCACCUUCCUCAUUCCUCUCAACCCUUUCUCUUUCAUCUCUCACUCCAACAUUUUAUCUGUCAUCUUUAUUGUCCCAAUUGAAAAAAAAAAUCAGAAACCCUUACCUAAACCUAAUUCACCUUCCUCACUUAUCCAAUUUGUUUCUCUCUCGUUUCCAUACUCUCCCUCAGCCACACACAACAACCCGUGACAUCAUAAUUUGUUGCUCUUGCUCUGUUCGUUCAUUUGGAGGAUGUGUUAUAUAUUUUCCCUUCUUAUUAUUAUUAAAUUUCAUUUUUAAAUUAAAUCAUGUAAAUAAAUGUCUGUUCGUUCAUUUGGAGGAUGUGUUAUAUAUUUUCCCUUCUUAUUAUUAUUAAAUUUCAUUUUUAAAUUAAAUCAUGUAAAUAAAACCUUCAUAAAUCAAUUAAAUUUUCAUAUAUUAUUUACACAUCUACACCACAUUUCAUUAUAUUUUUAAAGAACAAGAUAUUUUCCUCUAUUGUCCUUUUCCCUUUACACAAAGUGUUUCUUUUUCCUUUCUCUAUUGAUAUGGGAUACAUGAUGUAAGAUUACAACCUAGAAUUGAAAGAAUUGUACUCCUAAGGAGCUCUUCUAAACCUAUUUCUUUAAUUUCCUUAUGUCCCGUUUUUAUCAGUGAAUCAACUUCUACAGGCGUUUAGAAUAAACUUUAACCACUGUGCAAGAUAAAAAACAGUAAACUCAUUUUUUACCUUUGAGAUUUGGAAAGAGUAACNUANAGUGACAAAGUUUAUAUUCAUUUUACACANAUUAAUAAAUAUAAAAUGAUUAUAAAAGAGUAAACUUUUUCAAUUUUUAAAAAAUAUCUCUGAUUCAAAUUACCGCCACCAUCUUCAAUUGGGUUGAGAUGAGAGAAAAAAUGGUGGAGUGAUGACAGAGAAAAUGUUGAGAUGAGAGAGAAGAUAUCUCUGAUGACAAAGGGUUUCUGAUUUUUUUUCCAAUUGGGGCAACAAUAGGAAUGACAGAGAAAAUGUUGUUGGAGGUUGGAGGGAGAAAGAUGAAAGAGAAAAGGUUGAGAGGAAUGCGGGAGGUGAGGAAGGGUUUUGGGGUUUCUUUUUUUUCUUUUAGUUUUGAGAAUGAAAAUUAUUUAAAUAUCCUUAACCUUACAACUUAGAAUUCAUAAUGAGAGUAUUUUUGUCUACUAUGAUCCGAUACAUAUUGUUAAAACGUACCAACUGAAAAACAGGCGUACGCGUGUUAACAAACUCAUUGAUAUAUAUAUAUAUAUAUAUAUAUAUAAGUGAAAGGAAUAUUCAUUUUACAAGUUGAUGUUUUAAGGAUGAUUUAAUCUUGAAGUCACUUCUUAAUAAUGUAAUAUUAUAAUCUACUUUAAUAACGUUUAUUAUAUUAUUUCCUAUUGGAUCACCCACAAAUAUUUACUCUUGCCUAAAAGUUAUAUAUAUCUUAAUAAAGAGUGAAUGUUGAAUUAUAACGUGGAGAUCAAUAUAAUUGCAUUAUAUAAUUAUAUAUAUAGGUUUAGAUUUUAUCCAUAAAAGCAUCAAAAAUUAAGAUUCAAAAGAAAAAUAAAAUGGGUUUCUUUUGUAAGUUAAAUUUAAUUUAUCUUUGUGAGUUAAAUUCUUAGACGUGAGUUGAUAUAAGGUUACAGAAAAGAUGAAAUAGAUAUACAAUAGUUAUAUAAUCUAAUUUUAGUUUAUGAAAAAACUGAUUUAAUUUCAUUACAUAAUUCUCACUUUAUGUAAAAUUUCUCCCACGAUCAUAUAGAUUACCUCUUGAUAAGAUCAGCUGUCAAUGCUUGUUCAGGGAAUUUCCAAUGUUUGUAAACUGCCGAAGACAUCUCCAUAGCAUACUUUCCACCCAAAAAGCAGUUCUCUAUGGUGCCAUCAGCAUUAAUAAGUGAUUCUCGAGCAAGUGCAUUGAUAUUCAUUGUGUCACGAUAGUGAGGAAAUAGAAGUUUAUGAACAGGGUGAAGAACACUCAGAUUUCUGUUUGUUGCUAUGACAAAGGGUUCAAUCACGGCAUGAGUAUUCAACCUGUGACCCCAUAUAAUAAAAAAAGGUUAGGAAUAAUUUUGUAUGCAUAUAUUAAAGCUUUGUGCAAUGAUUUCAGUGACAGAGUUCAUACCAGUGGCUUAUGAGCUGAUGAUAACAGGAAUCGUUCACAAUAACGUGAGCCUUGGCUCAUAGCCAUAUUGUACUUUCAACUCCAUCGUUUGCAGGCAAUACCACUUUACUACAGGCACCCAGUUGUUGAUUUGGAUGUGGCAAACUUAACUCAAUGGCCAAUGGCUUUAAGGUACCAUCGUCUUUCAAGAAAAGGAUUGUCCUCGUUGCAUAAGCCUUUGAUGAUGUAUAUUCAUUUAUACUUCUCAAAAACGGCAUGAAUACGUCAUGGUGAUCCAGUAUGAAUAAUCUAUCACGCUUAAUUGCCUGUUCCACAGAUACAAAAUGUUAACAACUCCAGUUUCAUGAUGCAGUAAUGGAUAACAACACUCCAAAAACAAAAAACAUUCUAACAAUGAUGUUUUUUUAAGCGGAAUCAUUGCCUUAUCUAGUGUGACCCCUUCGAGGUUGAUCUUCAAAUGUUGUUCACUGAUUUUACUGGUUUGAUCACCAUAGACUGAGCGAUCCAACUUGCUUUGUGGUGGAAACUCCUGUCAUUUCAUCAAACAUUAUGUAUCAAAGAUUAUUUAUCAAGAAAUAUGAAAGAGAACAAGCUUGGUACAACUUCUAUUUCAACUUACUUGUAGACGGCGAAUCGAACAAGGAUUUACACCAGCCAGCAUCUCUCUCGCAAAUUCAUCAUCAGUCAUCCAUGCAGAUUUACUAACUGUUCCAAACAGUAAACAAAAACAAUUGUCAGAUUUAUUAAUUUUGACGUUACAUGUAGCUAGCAUAUAUAAAUAUUAUGUGUAUAAUAUGAUAUAUGUACCUCUAUUUACAUGAGGUACUGAAAACUUGAGGACAUUUUCACCGUCAGUGCGGAAGAUCUCCUGCAGCAGAGGUAAAGGGCUAAUUUUGCUGAGAGUAUCAAGAGGCAGCUUAAUGCCACCUUCAGAGAGGUGAUGUACUUCAUCAAAGCUCUCAAACUCAUCCUUUGAGAUAUCUGAAUCAAGUCGAGGUUUGAGGUAAGGCCACACGUUUUUUGAUAUAGAUUUUAUCCCAAAAGAAAGGAAGUCAGAUGACUUUAAGUGACCAAAAUGUUCAUCUCUUGGAACAUAAAUUUUACUGCUUCGUUUCUCACUCUUACAAUCUGCCACGAAUCGAAUAACACCAUAAAUUACACCAAAAUGAAGCCAAAAGUUUCUUAAACUUUGUCUUACACAAACAAAAUUGAGUUAUGUUUAAGAAGUAAAAGUGAAACCUUUUUUUGUGGGUUUUCUUCCGGUUCUUCCUCUUCGAGGGUAGGGAUAAGUGACAGACCCUCCAAGAACUGGACGAGCCAAGUCUUCAUUGCUGUCAGGAUUGCCCAAAUCAUUGUAAACAUCGUAAUCGUAAACUCUAUGCCAUUGUCUCAGUUUCCCUUUUCCAUUUCCUUUCAGAAUCUGCAGUUCUUCUUCUCUGUAGCUCACUAAUGCUACUGGUGUUUCACUUGGAACAUAUGUCUGCAAUAUAUAUAUAUAUAUAUACAUUUAUUUAAUGCUCAUUAUAUAAAUAACUUAAACUUGUUGUGGUGAAGAUGAUUAAAAAGCUUCAAUUAUUUCGGAAACAUUUGAAAAAUGGUAUUUUAAUUUUAUGAUACAUGAAAAUAGUGGCUUACCUCAUUAGAAAAGAAGAUUCGGUCCUUGUCGUAAAGAUGAUGAUUGUAAACCCAUGAGUUGCAAACGAAGUGCAAUGAUCCUUUACGAUUAGGAACAUCUUCAAGAGUCAAACUGACGAGAAAGAACUCAACUAGCAGAUGAUUUCUUAUUGUAAAUGCUCCAGGAAUUCCCAUGUCCUCAAUGUCCCAAUCAAAAUGAACAUCAAAUGCACAUUUCUCCGCUGUCAAAGUUGGCAUGGUGGAAAUUACACCUUCCAAAUAAGUCUUCUUUCCAACUUUCCCACUUCCAUUUUCUGCAAACAUCGAUUUGAUACAUAUUUUGUUUAAUAGUGAUAUGUAAUAUAUACAUUUUAGAACAAGUUAACUUGGUUGUUGACAUGUUUUUUGAAUGUGAUGCAUGUUGAUAGAGAAGAAGUGAAAGAGAGAGAGAGAAGUAAUACCAGCAGCUUUGGUAGCACUGAUCAAGCGAAGAGACACACAUUUACCAGAGAAUGCACUGAGACUAUCAAUGAAUGUUGAACCAACUACACUCAUGGUAGUUUGAACAACCCCUUUCACACUGGUAAUGCUAUUUGUGUCCAACACAUUCUUGGGUAUCAACACCACGCUACCCUUCAGCUUCUUGCUUCUGUUGAACAACGCCUUCACCCCAGAAUACAUUUUACUCACUUCUCUCAGUUACACCAACAGUGUUUGAUUUCUUGUACCUUGCUUCGUUUGUGAGAAGUGUUAAGGUGAUAACAGCUAUUUAUAGAGAUGACUUAGAAUAAAAUAAUCAAACCAACAUCACAUUCUUUUAGCUUUUCACAACUAGCAUUACAUAAUACUUCCAUUAAGAAACAUGAUACUUUUACUAUGAAAUUUUAGUUCUUUGUGACAGACACUGAAUAAUUUUAUAAUGGUGACAUUUUUAUAACAAUUUAAACCAAAUUUAAUUCAAAAGGGCAAAGUUAAAUUCACACUUUCUAUAUAGAAACAUCUUCAAAAAAUAUGAUUCGUAAGACACUUUUCUAAGAAUGUUAUUUUCACAACCUGAAAAAAUAAAACAAAUUCAGCAUAAGAAACUGAUAUUCUCAAUUUAGAUUCUCAUGACUUAAAGUUUAAUUCUUAACACUUCAAAUCAAAUUUUAACGUGAAAAAUGUAAUAGCUAGAGAUUUGGAACUAAUCUCAAUGUGAAAUUGAGUUUUUUUUUUUAGCUAAUAAAUUUAAAAGUUAACUCUGUUUUAUUUAUUACAUAAAAAAAUAUAUAAUUAAGAUAAAGAAUAACUAUUGUAAAAUAUUAAUAUUAGAGUAACUUAAUAUUUCAUUAUUAUAUUUUAUAAUAUAAUAAAUUGUAUACUUCCGGCUUGAUUUAAUAAUAUCCUAUCCUAAUCAUUAUACAACAAAUUAUAUUAAAUUCAAAUAGUUAAUAUAAUUAUAGAAAUUUAAAUAUAUUGCACCACAAUCAAUUAAUUUAAUUUGAUUUAAUUAGCUAUUUGAGUCUAUUGUUUUUAUUUAUCCAUUAGACAAGCAACUCUCGUUAAUGAUAAGCCACACGGUAUAAGAAAUAGUCAACAUCAAAGCCGUUUUACAUAAAAAGGAAUGUAUCAAUAUUGAGAAAACUAUGCUUUAGAGAAAAAAUAUUAAAAAUUUAAAUAUAAAUUGGAAGUUUGGCAUCAAAUAAAAUGAACUACCUAAAAUAAUAUUAUAAUAAAAACUUUCGAACUCAUUAUAUCUUAAAAUUUUAAAUUAAAAUAGUGUUUUAAUAGAUAUAACUUAAAUCUUUUGUAUUUUCUUUAGAAGAAGAAAAAAACUAACAUGAUCUCAAUUAAUACCAUUAAUCAAUUUUAUCUUUACAAUAUAUUUCAACUCAUACAACACGUGAAUAAAAAACAUAGAUAAACGUAUAUAAAUAAUCAGUUAUCCUUACAAGUAGUUGCAUGCCUCACUAAUAAUAGCACAAUCAAUGUCAACAUUAAACUUAGUCAAAACUUUAAUUCUACAUACAGCCAAAUGACAUAUCUACCUUAAUCUUGAGAAUAUAAAAAUUUAUAUUUCUAUAAAGAUGAAGUUUAGAUUAAAAUAAAAAAUAUAUAUAAUUUUAAGCUUAUAUAAUUUUUUUUUAUUUUUCAUUGAUUAAGAAAAAGCAUAUGUCAUAUAUAUAUAUAAAUUAACAUAAAUUAAACAGGUCUUAUAAUAUGAAUAGAUUCAUCGCUAUAUCCUUUAAAAAUAAUUCAACAAUUGAGUGAUUAAACUAUAAUUGAAGAACGACUAAUAAAGCAAUAUAAGAUAAGAUGAGAAAAUAUAGUAUGAUAUUAAAGUUUGUAUAUAAUAUAUUAUAUAAUUUUUAACAGUAAAAAAUUAAGAAAAUGAAUCAAAUGAGUAUACCAUAAUAUGUAAAUUUAAAUUUCAACAAUUUAAAACAAUAGAUUUUAAAAAUAACAAUUUUAAAUUUAAAAUAGAAAAAGUGAAAAUGCUUUAGAUUAUUUUUAUUUUGUUUUGGUGUUUAUCAAGUUUUACUGGUUCACCAGAUCUACUGAACUAUAAGUCGUUUCUAUUUUGAGUUAAACUGGCAAAUUUCAUCUGAUACUAUAUUCAAAGAAAACAAUAUUUACUAACGUGUUAUUAAACUCAUACUGAAUCGGUCAAUUCGAACAAAUUAACUAAAAGUCAAAAUGUUACCAAGUUGACCGCUGACUUACGAUUUUAUCUGUAUGCUAAUAGAUUUAUAUAAUUAAUAAUGUUAUUAAAGCUGCAUAUUUAUAAUUUUUUUUAUAAUUAAAAUGUUACUAAAAAGUUAAAAUUUGCAAAACUCCUUUGGUUCGUUCGAAUGAUUGAAAAAUUAUUCAUAUUUAGUAUAUCAGGUCAUAUCAUUUGCUUAUUUUAAUUUUAGUAUUUAUAAAAUGUAGUAUAUAUAUAGCGUGAUUGUGAUUAUUACGGCCAUAUAUGAGACCAAAUAAUUAACAUUUGUAAGUAUAAACUCAAAUUUAAUUCGUAUUCUUUUAAUGUAUAAAAACUUUAAAUUGAAAAUGAUAAUAUUUAGAGAAUUUUAUUUACCAAAUUUAACCUUAAAUUGAUUUAUAAAGUUUGAAAUUUCAAUACAUUGAGAGGCUUCUUAUCCCCUGAAGAGUACUACAGAUUAUGUUAUAUAUAAUCAGAUAUUUUUAAUAUUGUUCUCUUUACGUUCAUUUCACAAACUUGUCUAACAAUUUUCUCCAUUAAUCAUCUAACAACAUCUUUCUUUUUAUUUUAUCUCCUUUUAUCUCCAAAGUAACUUUAUUUCCUUGAAAAAUUCAAUAAUCCAAAUAAUUUGGUAUCACAAUUCAAAUUAUUAAUUAUACAUUAAAUGUGUCUUUUUGUGUUCCUAUUACGUCCAACAAUUCUAAGUGGCUUUUAAAAAUAGAAUGUAACAAAGUUUCAUUCUCAAAAACAGACAAUAUUUCAGAUGUAUGGUGAUGAUAUUAACAAUUUCACUCUAUGGAUAUGAAAUCAAAACAUUAACAUCUAUCGUAAGACGAUAACAAAACAUUUAGUCUUUUAAAUCUUCUAUUAUGAAUGACCAAUUAUUCUUAUUAGACGUCGACGGUAAAAUUUAUGUUCUUACCAUAUCUAAUAAUUUUAUAUUAUUUUAGAAUCGAUGUCAAACACAGUUUAAAUACUUUUUCCUUUUAAAUAUUUUCUAUUUUAGAGAGUGUAUAUAUUCAAAACGCUUAUUUUUUUAAAAUUUGUGAUAUAAUUUAUAUAUUAAAAUUUUAUAAUAAAAAAUAUACUUAAAUAAAGUUGGUUUUACAAAAUCAAUUUUAAAUAAAAUUACAAAAACAGACAUUCAUUAAAUAUUAUUUUUCAAUAUUCAUUCAAAAUCUGAUUGAAAUAUCAAGUAGCCUAUACAUUUAAAACUUGGAAACAUCCAUUUGACUUUAUGAGACAAGAUUAAAAAUUGGUGUUCUGCAUGUUCCAACAUUUUCUAACUGUGUUUCCUUGUACAAGUUGCUGUGCAUUCAUUGUUUUGUCUCUCUUGUCCCUCACUUCUGACAAUCACACGUUCAUCUUUAUCCUUUUUCCCAUAUAAAUAUUCGAUUUACCAUUUCAACAAAACAAAAAUAUAUUGCAACUAUGAGUAUCCAUUUCUAUAAGUAGUGAAAUGGGUUGAAUUAGCAAUAACUAAAGUUGAGUAAUUAAUGUUAAUAAACACUUUAAGAACAGUUGUCAUUCCCUUCUAGAAUCAGUAGCAGUGAAAUGAAAGUGUAAAGAAAUUGAAUAGAAUGUAUAUUAAUUUUAGAUUAAAAACUUUGGAGAAACAAUAUGCCACUAAACAUGUUUGAAUACAAAAAUUACUGCUAUAAAUAGUACAAAUUAAAUCGAUUGCAAAGAAAAUUAUUCUGAAUGUAUAAAAGAAAGAAUCAUUAAAUACUUCAAUGAAAAAAUAUAUGAUUUAUAUCUAUUCACAUUAAUAAAAAAAAUAUUGUGAAACAUCAAUUCAGAAAUAACAUCAACCUAUUUUAACACUUUCUAUCCAUGUAAACUACAUAAAAAAAUAAAACAUAAAUAAAACAUAAAAAAUAAAAUCGUAUAUGAACAUUAACUUAAUAAAAUAUUGACUUACAUUCACCAAAAAAAAUUUCAUUAACAUCAAUAAAAAAAAAAACUAGCUAAUAUUGGCUAAAAGUAGUACUACUACCAAUGUUGGUCAAAAACAUUCUAAAACAUUGAUAAAAACAAAAUAAACCCAACUUAUGUUAUAAUCAAUGUCGGUAAAAAAUUACAACUUUAUUUUACGACAACAAAAAAAAAAUCUUAGUAGAUAUCAAUAAAAAAAUGCAUUUGACAUUAACUGAAAAGCACUACUAAUAUAAAAAAAAAAAAAAAAAAAAAAAAAAAAAAAAAACUUUUAACAACGUAAAUUGAAAAAUAACAUAAGUUUAUAUAAAAAAAAUAUAUAUAUAAACUUUGACUAUAAAAUGAAACUUUGACAAUAAAAAUGUCUAACGUUUGCUAAGUAAGCAAUGUUUCAAUUGAAAUUAAAUCGAAGAUAUUUCAACAUACAUUAAGUCCCAGAGAAAACAAAUAAACAAGAAACAUAAGUUUUAAGAAAAUAAAAUGUAUAAAAGAAUUUCAAAUUUUAACUUUACAAAUGAAAUUUAAAAUUUUUUAAUUCUAAAUGAUAAAAUUAAUAUAAUAAUUUUUUUAAGUUUCAAAUUGUUAUUAAUUUUUCUAGACAAGCAUUAUAUUUUAAGAUAAAAUAUUUUAAAUUCUCUAUGAAAAAAUUAAUUACCUCUAAAAACUUUCUUGUCUACACGAACUGUCAAGAAUUUUAUUCAAUAAUUUUUACACAAAAAUUGUACAUGUAGAAAUAAGUUUCUACUUCAAUAUCAUUGAAUUUUGAGUUACAUUACCAUCCUAAGUACGCAUUUUCUCUAGUGACAAAAUAAGCUAUAUGCAAGUGGCGUAUAUCCCAACUAAGAUUAUAUUAAAUAGAACAUAAAAACGACAAAAAUAUAGCCAUAUUUAGAAAAGCAACUCAUCCUGAAAUGUUUAUAAUUUUCAAAUUUUGAUCGACAUUGGUAAGAUAUUGUAUGUUUUGAAUCAAGGUUUAACAGAUUUGUUUUUGAUACUACUUCAAAAGAUCUUUUACCAAUAGAGUAUCUAUGUGUAUAUAAACCAAUAUCUAAUUCUUCUUUCUAAUAUGAGACUUUAUUUAAGAAAAACCUUCUAAUUGUAGGUUUUUUCUUGUUUUGUUUUAAAUUUCUUAUUUUUAUUUUUAUUAUGAGUACUAAGUAUGCAGUAUUUGACCGAAUAAUCUAAGCAAGUUGUGUCACCCCAAGUCGAACAUAAAAACACCAUAAAUGUUGUCAUAAUUUAUUUUAAACAGUAACAAUAUACAACAGAUUCUGAAAUAAAUAAAAAAAUUAUAAUUAAAGUGUCUACAUUAAGUGACAUAAAUUGUCAACGAUUUAUUUACCAAGCAAGUAAACGGAAAGACCUUCAAAUAUUAUAGGUUUUCAUUUUUAUUUUCUUAAAUUCUUUUCUUUUAUGAGUAGUAAGCAUAUAUAUUUGACCAAACAAUCAAAACAAGUUGUAUAUAUAUGUUCAUUAAAGUUAUGGCAAAUUGAACUUAGAAACACAAAACAAUAUUGCCCUAAGUCAUUUUAAAACAGUACCAAAAAAACGUGUCUAAAUAAAUUGGUCAGCAAUAUAUUAAUAUUUCCCAAGCAUAAAAAAAUGCUCAAAAAAUUCAAAUAUUAUAGGUUUUCAUUUUUGUUUCUGUGAAUAGUAAGUAUAUACUAUUUGACCAAAUAAUGUAAGCAAGUUGUAUAUUUGUGUUAUCAUUAAGAUUUAGCAAAUUGAACGUACCAAUAAUUAUGUCAUAAGUUAUUUUAUAACAGUUAUAAAUUUUUUAAUUUUUAUAGACUUAUCCAAAUUUUAUUUUUGAACUUUUUCUAGAAGCUAAAUCCUCUUUUGAGUUUGGUUUUCCCACUACUAUAUAUCAUUAAUUUAUAAUGAAUUGCACACUCUGUCAACUAGAACUGUGAGAUGUAAGAUUUGUUUAGUUUAAUCCUUUUCACAUGGAGAAACUAGCUUCCAUUCACACAUAAUUAAUGGAGAAUAAAAAGGUUGACUAUCAUUACAACCAAAUUUAGCCACAUUUCAGUUUAGUCGACUUUCACUUAAACUAAUAAAAAGUUUUGAUUAUAGAACUGUUAUUAAUUGGUUUAACCUUUUCUAUUAUUUAUAUUAUCUUCAUUAUAAAAAACAGUUUUGAAAUUUUUAAUUUUUAUGUAGAUUGUAAAUUUUCCAUUUUAGUUAAUUAAGUUUGUUAUUUAAAAAUCUUAACUCUUAAAUUCCAUUUAAUAAUUAAACAGUAAAUUUCAAGACAAAAAAUAAUUUUAAAUCUCCCUUAAUAUUUUUUCUUAUUCCAACCGAAGACAACUUUAAUGAAGAACUAGAUCAUUUUAAUGAAAUAAAAAAUAAUGAUAAUAAGGAUUAACUUUUUGUUUUAUUAAAUUUCCUGAUAAUUAAUUUAAUUUUUUACAAAAAGAAUAAUUUAUUUAUAAUUCAAGUUCAUCAUAAAGAGUAUUUUCAUUGAUCCUGUUAAAUUUGUUUUUUCCGUAAUAUAAUAGCUUCAAACUCCUAAAGUUGUGUAAGGAAAACACUUUUUCUUAUAACAUUUUGAUCAUUUAUAAUGAUUUGUGAUUGAUAUAUUUUAAAUAUAUUUUUAAAAAUAAAUUUAAACGGAUUAAUAGAAUAAUGACAUGGAUCUGCUGUAAAAGAUUGUUAUAUGAAAAAGUUAUUAAGGUAUCAAGAUCUGUUUGUGGAAAAUUUUAUAAAAAAAUUUAACAGAUAGAAAAUGUUUUUUUAAUAAUUAUUUUUUGACAAAUUUUUUACAUUAAAUUACGUGACAUUGUUGAUCCAUUUCAAAUAUAUAAAUCAAUAAAACAGUAAGACAUUAUAAAAAAAUUAUUAAAAAGAAAUUGUUAACUUAUAAUAAUAAUAAUAAUCCUUGAUAGAUUCAUUUCCUUUUAUAAUAGCUCGAAACUUCCUCAAGUUGAAUAUCAGUAUUUUUCGUCCUUUCAUUCCCUGAAAACUGUAAAGAACCAACUGAAGUAUUUCAAACUUCUUAACUCAGUUUUGAAAUAUUAUAACAAGUUGUUUAAAUCAAAAUCUAACCAUAGCUAAACUGGAGAAAAACUAACAACAAAUCAUAACAUAACAAACCUUCUGAAAAAGUUAAGCACAAUACAAGAAUACACACAGAGAGACAUUAUAACACUAUAUUAAGUUAAAAACAACCUAAAUUCAGAUAGAGAUGCUGUUGGGAAUUCCUCUAAAAGUCAACCCCGUUUCACUAGUAGGAAGAAGCAAAGUGUAAGGCAAUUCAGCUGGUCCAGUUCGAUUUUUAAGAUUUGGAUCAUGAUUCCUUUCUGAGAUUUUUGUCUCAAUCUCUUUUAGCCUUUUUCCAAACUUUUUAAAGGCUUCUAUAGCCCUUGAAUCGGAGGUCCAAUUUGGAUUGUCCCUCUGUCCAAGGUACACCUCAUCAGAAGCAUGUCUUGAUAAUAUCUCUAUCACUGAAAGGUCAACAAGAGCCUGAUACUUUGGUGUAAUCGUUCUCAAAUAAGCCUUUUGAGGAUUCUUUGUCAUCUCUUCAUAUUCUGGAGUUCCCUUUUCUGGAAUCAAUCUUCUGCUUAGAGUUGGACGAUUCAGGAUAAAGCCACCAUAAGGAUAUUGUCCAAAAUUAACUGCUGCAUGAAAAGCUGAAGCAAUCCAUAUGAUGGUACUACAAGAUCGAAUCAGCUCUUCACGACUGUGUAAUUUAGGCCACCAUGGCUUAUCUUUUAAGUCACCGUGACCCUUUUCAACAACUUCUUUCCACCAAGCUUGAAGUUCAAUAUCCUUUUUAACCGCAUCAUCUGUAACAUAAUACAACAAGACAUAUUCACGGACCCAUGUCUCGAUAGCGUUCCAUAUCUCUAAUCCAUCAACAGCAUACGGGUAGUCCUUUAUCACAAGACUAAGACCAUUUCGAGAAGAUGAAUCCUUAAUAGCCAUGCCUCUGAAUCAGGCAAAGAAAAACUGUUAUUAACAGCAAAUGUAGAAAAAUUGUAUGCGUUUUCACUAAGAAAGUGAGUUUUUAACAUUUAAGAAAGUGAGUUUUUGGCAUGCCUUAAGACCAACGAGAUACUAGGGAAUCAACCCUUUUGGAUUUGAAUGUAAAAAAUAAGACACUAAUUAGUAAAACUAUUCACAUAAAACCCUUGUUCCAUGUUCACAUAGCUUACCUCUUUAUAAGAUCAGUAGGUAAGGCUUGCUCAGGAAACACCCAAUUUUUGUAAGCUGCCGAAGAUAUCUCCACUGCAUACUUUCCACCCAAAAAGGAUUGCUCUAUAACGCCAUCGGCAUUGAUUAGUGAUUCCCGAGCAAGUGCAUUGAUAUUCAUUGUGUCACGAUAAUGAGGAAAUAGAAGUUUAUAAAUAGGAUGAAGAACACUGAGAUUUCUGUUUGUUGAUAUGACAAAGGGUUCGAUUACAGCAUGAGUAUUCAACCUGUGACCACGUUUAUAUAUAUGUAUAAGAAAAAGGGUUAGGAAUAAUUUUGUAUACAUAUAUUAAAACUGUGUGCAAUGAUUUUAGUGAGAGAGUUCAGACCAGUGGCUUAUGAGCUGAUGAUAGCAGGAAUCAUUCACAAUAACAUGAGCCUUGGCUAACAGCCAAAUUGUACUUUCAACUCCAAGUUUUGCGGGCAAUAUCACUUUACUGAUGGAACCACGUCGUUGUUCAACUGAAUUUGGCAAACUUAAUUCGAUGACCAAUGGCUUUAAGGUCCCAUCAUCUUUCAAGAAAAGGAUUGUCCUCGUGGCAUAAGCCUUUGUAUUUUUUAAUUCGUUUAGCCUUGUCAAAAACGGCAUAAACACAUCAUGGUGAUCUAAUAUGAACAGUCUCUUGCCUUCAAUUGCCUUAUCUACUGUGAACCCUUCAAGGUUAAUCUCCAAGUGUUGCUUAGUUAUUUUACUGGAUUGAUCACCAUAGAUGGAGGGAUCCAACUUGCUUUGAGGUGGAAACUCCUGUCAGUCAUUAAAGAAUAUUAUGAAGAAAGAUGACAGACAACUUCAACUCUCAAAGUAAAGAAUAGAACACUUGGACUUACUUUUAGACGGGUAAUCAAGCAAGGAUUUACACCUGCAAUCAUCUCUCUUGCAAAUUCUUCAUCGGUCAUCCAUGCAGAUUUACUAACUGCUCCAAAUAAAAAUGAAAAUAAUUUUCAAAGUUCAAUCAUGGUUUUGUUAAGAUUCACUGUAUAUGUUUGUGCAAAUAUAAAAGUCUACACAUAUGAAAACACCUCUGAUUACAUGAGGCACUGAAAACUGGAGGACGUUUUCACCAUCUGUGCGAAAGAUUUCUUUGAGCACAGGUAAAGGGCUAAUUUUGCAGAGUAGAUCUGUAUGCAGUUUAAUUCCACCUUCACAUAGUUGACGUACAUCUUCGAAGCUAUCAAACUCAUUUGGUGUGAAAUUCAGAUCAAAUGAAGAUCUGAGCAGUGGCAAGAAGUUUCGAGAUACAGCUUUUACCCCAUAAGUAAGGAAAUCAGAUGACUUCAAAUGACCGAAAUUUUCAUCUCUCGGAACGUAAAAAUUAUCGCUCAGUUUCUCACUGUUGGGAUCUGACAAGAGUGGAAUAAAGCUACAAAUUUAUGUCAAGAAGAACUACAGAAGAAAACAAAAUUAGGUUAUGUUCCUGAGAUAGAAAUGUAACCUUUUUUGGUAGGUUUUCUACCAGUUCUUCCUCUUCGAGGGUAGGGAUAAGUGACAGAUCCUCCAAGAACUGGGCGAGCAAGGUUUUCACUGCUGUCGGGUUUGCCCAAAUCAUUGUAAACAUCGUAAUCAUAAAUUCUGUCACAUUCCUUACGUUUUCCUGUUCCAUUUCCUCUUAGAGUCUGCAAUUCUGCCUCUCUGUAACUCACUAGUGGUCCUGGUGUUUCACUUGGAAUAUAUGUCUGCAACGUACAUUUCUUUAACGUUCAUAUCAAAACAAAAAUCUUGCAAACGAACUAGGUUAUACUUUUUCUUUUUUUUCAUGAUAAUCAAUAACCAACAUGCAUAUAUACUUGCUGAAAGUAACAGUUUACCUCGUUGGCAAAGAAAAUACGAUCCUUUUCGUAAUUUUUAUAGUUGUAAAGCCAAGAGUUACAAGAAAAGUGCAUGGUUCCAUGAUUAGGAAUAUCUUCAAGAGUUAAACUGACUAGGAAGAACUCAAGUUGCAUAUGAUUUUGUAUUAAAAAGGCUCCAGGAAUUCCCAUGUCACUGUCCCAUUCAAAAUGAAUAUCAAAUGCACAUUGGCCAGCUCCCAAAGUUGGUAUCGAGGUAAUAAUUCCUUCCAGAUAUGUCUUCUUUCCCACUUUUCCAUGUCCAUUUCC
Molecule: long non-coding RNA, 115695 nt
Filed under: Vigna radiata
Lineage: Eukaryota; Viridiplantae; Streptophyta; Magnoliopsida; Fabales; Fabaceae
Description: long non-coding RNA (VRAD_LNC009456)
Source: RNAcentral